This 100798-nucleotide long non-coding RNA is filed under the name Musa acuminata (dwarf banana). Its description in RNAcentral is "long non-coding RNA (MACU_LNC007984)". Lineage: Eukaryota; Viridiplantae; Streptophyta; Magnoliopsida; Zingiberales; Musaceae. The record is from RNAcentral.
UUUUCCAGUGUGACUUCCACCGCUCAACCUCUGCUUCCUGCUAAAGACUAAAGGAAUAUCAGCUUCACUCGGUUCUUAAAGUCUUGUUUGUUGAGAUUGAGGUUCUUCUUCACCGACACAAUCACUUCUCUACUUUAUACUUCUGGAAUAAGAUUUCAAAACAUAGGGAAUGUCCUCAGAAUUAAUUGAAUCUUUUGAUCCGCGAGGCAAGACUGAAUUUGGAACUCCUUUAGCCGACGCCGAGUCAACAACUUCUGUUAGCGCCUCAAAGCCUGUAGCUUAAGAUUCUUAUAGCAUUGGUUACUGGGUUGGUAAAGAGCACAGGGUUCCUAACGCGCCCCACCCCAAGAGGAAGGAUAGGUCGGGGUUGUCAGUUCAUCAAAUCCAGUUCUGGUAUAGAUUGCUGAGUUGCGGUAAACCAUUGAUUUGAAGCUGUUCUCAAGUCAGCUGCUGUGAGAUGUGAGAGUUGCAGACCGGAGAAGGAUAUUCAUAAGAAACAGGAACCAGAGGCAGAAGCUAAGAAUACAGAAAAAGCCAAGCGUAUACUAGUGGAAUUAGUUUCAUCCCCAUAUUCCCUUGUUUCAUCCCUUGUGUCAGUUGCCAGAGGAACAGAAAUGGGUAAGCUUAUGAAUUGCCAGUUUACAGUUUCAUCUUAUUAUAAAGAAAAGUCUCAAGCAGUAGCGGAAUGAAGUAUCUGAGGCUGUAUCCAAAUCCUUAUUUGUAUCAGAAUACGAAGCGGAAUCGGCUGUGGAAGUAGUUCUGGCAUUGUCUUAGUUCUGGCAUUGUCUUAUUAUAGGUUCAAUAUUUCCUUUCCCCGGUGAACUCACAUAUGUAAGCCAGUGAAAACAGGACAGUACUUGAGCCAAGGAUCGGAUACAGAUGAACUUAGCGCUUCAACUUCCUACAAGUCCUUUGUUUAGCAAGCGGGUAUCUCGGGUUCAAGUAAGCUGUUAGAGCGGAUACAGCAGUAGAUGAUUCAAAAUACCAGAAGAGAGGCAAGUCACUGUAGUAGUAGCAGUUAGAGCAGUUGCAAUAAAGAAAGGUGUAUUGUUGGGUUCUUGUUUUCCUGCGUAACACGGGUGGAUAUCCCUCUUCUUUUCUCCUACUCUAGAUACGGAUACAGCAACUGAUCCUUCAACUGAAACUACCUAUUCUCUCGUCGAUUCAUUUAUAUAGCAAUAGCACAGGUGGGAUACCGCAAGGACAGAAAGAUACUCGUCUCCAACAACAAGAACAAGAGCUGGACUCCUACUACUGGGCAGCUACUACCCGGCUUGGCACUGCUUCCAUUGGACUCCUACUACUGGGCUGCUACUACCAGGUCGAUCAUAGGAUUAUGUUUAGAUCCAUAGCACUUAAUAUAGGAUUAUGUUUAUAAAGACACUCGCAACGAAUACACUCGGUAUUCCACAAUAACAGAAACAUCAUUUCUAACAGAAACAUCAUUUACUGAUCUAGCAUCUAAUCUUUAUUCGACUCCUGCAGAAAUACAAUCAACAGGCAAUUGAAUUGGGCCAGCGGGAUUACACUUGAACUCGAGUAGCAUGUCGUCCGCCCUUACCUUACCUGUAAACCUGGACUACCACUAGUUGGGGCUGGAAACCCGGACUUCUCCUCUUGCUCCUAGUAGUAGCUUUCCGGCUUGGCUCUUACUUGAAACUAACACUCCUGGCUCGGCUCCUGUACAUAAGGUAGGAAUUCUCCGAUCAUAAGAUCUAGUACAGAAGAAUAAGGGAUCUACUAAUAAGAUACUAAAACUAAGGGACCUGUCUGAAACUAACACUCUCAACGGGGGAUCUAACUGCCUAACUAUACGGCUGCGACUACUGAUUCUAAGACAACAACCAGUGCUGGAAAGAAUGACUCUAUUGAAGCAUACUUCCAUUGGAAACUCGGAACCAACUACUAGCUAGUAGGAUCGAACUGUUGCUUCUCGGGCUGCCCUUACUCGCUUCAACUCUAGCUAUCCAUUCUUUGACUUACUUAUUCCAUUAUGUACUCCUACAUAGAGAUACUGGGCUCCUUUACGGAGUAGAGUUCUUGCUUGUGAGUUUUUGUAUCGUACUCCCGGGGUUCAAACAACAUCCCUGCCUCUUAUCCUACUAUUGAAGGACUCGAUGCAGUCUUUUACUUACUUCUCCGAUUCUCCAAAUGCUGGCUAUUAACCUGAUAGGUUCCCCAAUAAGCUUCUAUUCUUUAGCUUCAAUAUCAACAUCAACCUGGCUCUAACUCCUCCGCUACUUAUUCUCAAACUCACUACCUUGCGCUUCAGUCUAUAACCCAGUACUAGUGCUUCUAUAUAGCUACUUCAGACUGAAACAAGUGGUAUCAAGACCAACAACCCUAGUCACUUCCUUCAUAACUACUAACUGCCUUCCUCGCCUAGUAACAGACUUCAUAACUAGUAGUGGGCUUCGGGGAGUCGAUAGGCUUCCUAACAACUAACUGACCUAGCCCAGUAACUGAAUGAAACAACAAUCCCUAGUAUAGGAAUGCAACCAGCCUCCCCUAGCCUUCAUUUCCUUCUUCUCAACCUAUACCUAUUGUUUCAUCCUAUUAUAAAGAAAGAAUAUCAUAGUAUACAUAGGCAAAGAGUGACUUAUACUUAGAGGAGUUGUGUUAAGACUUCAUAGCUCAAUACUCUUAUUAUGUUUUAUACCUGAAUUCGGCUCCUCGCCAGUACUUUACUCUGCCCCGACCUAUCUCCGACAAAGAAAGUACUUAUUCUAUUGAUUUACUAAAUGCUAUACUACUCGUGAUAAGAGAUAUAUUCCAAUUCUGAACUGAAAGUCUAUACGAUUGAAGGCAGAAUCAAAUCGAAAAGAAGCUGCCCGCUCACUAUAGCCCUCCGCUCCAACUCCCAGGUAGCCUAAUUCAGUAUCAACGUCAGUAUCAUCUCAUUCUUUACUAACAGGAGCUCGAACCACAAGUGAAAUUCCCUUAGUUUCAAUUCCACAAGCAGGAGAAGUCCAGUCGACAAAAGAUGGAGCUGGAUCAAGAUCAAGUUAGUCAGCAGUGUUAGAGCCUGUUGAGUUAGGAGUGAGCGGUUCCUCGAACACUAGUGGCCCUGCCGCCCUUAAUGCAGGACUCCCGAAGAAAGGUUAACUCUGGAUGCGGUUAUAUCGUAUUUCUUAUUCAUUCCCUAUUCAUUCUAGUUAAUAAUGUCUUUCUUACUUGCUUUGAUAUGAGGUGUACAAAACCCUCUGUUCGCCUAGUGCUUGUUGGGAAAGUUGACUGCCGCGUAACUAGAACUCGCUGACGCACUUGUUCUUGCGGAACUCCCGUUAGCACAAGUAAAAGAUGCAAAUGCUAUAAGGUAUAUCAAAAGUCAUAUUACUUCUCUAAUGGACUAUAGACCUAUAUUAUCUAAUAUACAAUAGGCGUAGCGCAAGUCCAGAAUCAACAGUUGCUUGUUUGGUGCUAGUUUCUUUAAUCCUAUCAUCCUAUAAGAGGUAUGGGGGUGAAGCAGGGAGAGGUGCGAUAUCUCGGUGUUGCAGUAAGUUCAUAGUCUUCUAGUCCCGCUCUAGCAAGCAAAGUGAGUUCUUGUUGUACGGUUGACUUUCUUGUCGGUUCAGUUCUGCAAGUGGAGUUUGCUUUAGGAAAGUUCGUUUGUGUGCGAGUCGAGUAUCACGGUGUUGUAUCAAGCAAGUGUCUACUAGUAGCUCUCAUAUCGCCCAAAGUGUCUUCACCUAUAAACCCAACAAGUAACCACUAGACAAGUCACUUGUUACGCGUCAUCGAGUUACCUGUUACGCGUUAUAAAAGUUUCAUCAUAUGUAAGAAGAAGAUCUCGGAUCAACUGCAGAAGUCAAGUAUAAAGAAUCAUAAAUAGAAAGUUCGUCAGCAGCAAGCGCUAAGUCAAGAAGAAGCAAGUAACUGUAAUCAAACAAAGAGAGGCGAUAAAGAAGGAGGUAAUCAAACAUAUAGGUAGCUGAACCAGCAACAGAACUGGAUCAAGCAACAAGACUCAGUGCUAAUGUUCCAUUUCCAUUCAUGUUUUCCUCUGCGCUCGAUGUCAAGUCAGUGCCGAUUUCGGGUGCACCAUCUUACAACUAUUUCUUAUUAGAGUAACAAAGGGAAAGCCUAUAUACAGAACAGGAACACGGAUCGGAUUCCACUCAUACAUAAGUCAGAAUGGGAUCUCUCUUGCACACUGAUAGAGGGAUGUCAUAACCAAACUGUUUCUUCCGUUGUUUGUAGAAUGGAAGAAAAGAAUGGAACUGACACGUAAAAGGGAAUAGGAUAGGGUAUGGUCUCGUAUAGAAAGCUUGUAAUAAGGGAAUCCGAGUUAUAGGCCUUUCUUGGGACUUACCCGCUUCGCUUCCUUUAGCCUCUAAUUCGAUAUAAGAUUGAAGUUAAGGUGAAACACCAACCUCUAUAGGAUUCAAGUUGCAAAGAGCUGAACCCCUAUUAGACGUAAAGCCAACAAACACGGAUUCAACAAUCACAGUCAAUUCAUAAGCUCACUUUUGAACGGCUUCAUAUCUUUCUUCCUCACUAAGCAUCUAAUCUUGUUUGCCAACACAGAUUCCACUCGGGAUGCUAAGGGCUAACAUGUGGUAGAGUCAAGUCACUAGAGUCAAGUCACAAGUAUUUCUAUACAAUAUGCUACUAAAAAGCGACUCGCGAUGAAACAGAUGAAACACCCCAACCGCCUCCGGACUCUUUUCUUUAACCUAACUAGAAUAAGGUACUCUGGCUUUGAAGCGCUAAGUGGUCAAUGUUUCUUUGGGUGCUUCUUAAACUGGAGCGAGAAAGUAAGGUGUUUAGGUCAGAUCAUCGCUGGUCACAUAGUCGCCCGAGGUAUUAUAUCAGAUAGUUGCCAUAGUCGCCACCAAGUAUAAGAAAUAACAUCUGAAUUCUCUCUUCUCUGACAUGCCUAGCUCCCUCUUUUUUGUCGGUAGGGAGAAUCAGUGCCCUUACUGGGUUAGUUACAGGGUUCAAUGAAUUGUAGCCCGAGUGAAAAUAGCCAUAGGUAGAUUAGAGUCCAGGUCCAGGCACAGGCCCAACAACAACAAGAUCUGAAGCCGGGGAAGACCUUUAGCUAUCGGGCGUAAGGCAGCUAGGCACUACUAAUCUCUGGAAACACAGAUCUUUCAGCAGCAAGUGGUGAUGUUUUCGUAAUAACUCUUAUUGGCUGCCGUUUUUCAGCUCGCUGACGCUCUUUUAACUCGCUACCGUUUAGCUCAGGCUCCUACCGCACAACGUCCGAGCACAGAUACUGUAAUAACUUCGUUAUGACUUCUGACUAUUGCUGACGCACAACAUUAGCAGUUGUUUGUCCCGUUGCUUGGUCAUUAGUAGUUGCUUGGUCGAACACAUAACUAGUAAUAACUGGGGAACUCUAGCGGCCCUGCCGCGCAACAUUAGUAGUUGCUUGGCCCUAUUGUUGUUACUGCCGCACAACGGCGUAGCCGUUGCUUGGCGUCUAGUCUAAGCUUGGCCCCCAACAAGCAAUGGGAGAGAGGCGAGAAAAGAAGCAAGCUACGUUCGAGUUAAGUCCAUUAGAUCAUCAGUAGUUUCAAGAUCAUAAGCAGUGGGGUAUUUCGGAAACAACUAUCAAUCUGGUCUUCAAGCCUUCAACUAGAAAUCCGCUUUCUCUUGCCUUUACUCGGACAAGGGGUCGGGGUUUCUAUUGCCUAUAAAACAGUGUAGCUCCCCCGCUCCCUUAUGAUGACUUUAGAAUCGACAGAAGCACAAGAUCGGAAGAAACGGAAUCAGGGUAUUGAGCUAGGCAUGCUAGAUCUACUAGGUAACUUCCCUCCCCUUUUGCCGACCUAACGGCUUCUUCUCUUGAUUCUACUCCUGCAGAAAUACAAUUAACAGGCGCAGGACUUACUCAUAACCGCCGGACUUAACCGGAGUUUGCUUGAGAAUUAUGGCUUGAGGUAUGGGAUAAGAGGAGAGAGAGGCUUUGUUGCGAGGUGUGGUCCACAGAAUAGAGUUUUCUACUUAAAGAAUCGAUUGUAGCUGACUUUAUCACUCUCACUGGAACACCGGAUUUAGAGUGGAAUACCGAGUUUCGUCUUCAAGUCCUGUGUUCGCCUUCCUCAUCAGUACAAGAAUCCAUACUUUAUUAAACGCACACAGGUAAGGGGCGGGCCUUAGCUCGCUUGCUUAUUGACUUUCGAGCAGAGGAAUAAGAAUAAGGGAAUAUAGAAUCCGACUACUGCUUUUCCUCCUUUAACUUAGAACUUUGACUUCACUACUGGUAGCUAACUCUUGCUUGACUUUCUUUUGAAACUUAUACUGAUGCUAAUAAUAAUUGAGCUACUACUGGCAAGGACCGAACAGGUGCUAUGAUAGAACCCAACUGCUGGUAACAAGAAUUGAUUACUACCUACUAAGACUUUCAUCACUGUUAGCAAGGCUUUCACAACAAAUAGGGAAGUUACACUCACCCUGACUUUCCGUUUAUAGCUGCUGAACCGGCUCUCAACACCGUAUCCAUGCUUUGAUUCUAACUAUCCUGAUUGACUCUUGCUUUGAGUCUACAUAUCCCCUGCACCUAAUUCUCUGACUUGCUAGGGGGCUGAUCUGCAACUUCGCCUACACCCUAUUAGUAAGUCCGCCUUUCCUGUAACUCAGACUUCCCUUACUGUAUACUUACCUUACUGUAUAUAAGGCUUACUAUCCAACCGAACGAACUAAGUCUCACUUUCCUAGCUAACAAACUCAAACUACCGAUCUGGUUUCUUCUGUUAUACUAGUACAGUCCACCCUACCUCUGACUUUACUGAGACCUAUGAGCCUUCCACCUGGUCUUUCAAUCCAUAUCUCCUUGAUCUCCGCCUGCCCACUCCUUGUACGGGUAAUAAGAAUCAGAAUAGUACUUAAUAGGAAGGUAAUAAGAAUAUAGGAAGGUAAUAAGAAUCAGAAUAGUACUCAAUUGGAAGGUAAUAAGAAUCAGAAUAGUACCUAAUAGGUGAGUAUCCGAAUAGCAAUAAGAGUAUAGGAAGUUCACUACAGGUAACAAGGGUCGAUGUAAUUGAGCUACUGAUAAUGCCCGUAAGUAGAAAACUGCUGAUCUAGCAUCCGGUAACCAAUCAGAAUUACCUCCAGGAGUGCAAGAACCAAACCAGUGCUAACAAGAAUGUAACUCACUAGUCCAAGCCUGAAAGCACUAAAGAUAGGGCUCGCGGGUAUAGCACUAAGAAUUGCACUCAGCUAACUCAGGCUCAUCUAAUCUACUUAUUGCUCCUAUCGACUACUACUUUGCCUCACUCCUACAGUUGCUACUAUCUCCUCGCUUCCUCGCCUGUAGACUCCACUCUCACUGCAGACUGCUUUCCUGGCACAUAGUUUUGACUAACAAUUCUAUUUUGGGUAGGAUAGCUCUAUAGUAGUUGGCAUUAACUUGUCCGGUGAAGGGUAAGCAAAAGGGGGGUUGGUUUCUAGCGCGGUGUGUACUUUCAUUGUCUACAAGUUCUGUUAUAGGCUUGACGUCUAUGAAGGAUGGGUUUAAAGCCCCCCGAGUCUGUUGGUAGUUUCUUUAGUGGUGGAUCAAUUCGUUCUUCAGCAGUAAGCAAAGCAGUGUCAUCGUAUCCUGUUGGUUAAGUAUAAAGUGAUCUCCACGAUAGAUAGUCUCUUUCUUUGUUUUCUAAUUCCUUGCUUUGACUACUAAUCAUUACAGCCUUAACCGAGCGCAGAGUUGUUUCAACUCCCGGUAUAAGCUGCUCCAUUAUACACUAUGUUCUGUGUGAAGUUACUAGCCCCCUCUUAUUCUAACUGACUAAUGCCUUUACGCUAAAGAAGCUUAUUUGACUUGUGCCUUAGCGAGCGAAUGUAUUUGACUACUACUACUAUUCCACUCACUUGUUGAAAAGAGUGAAAGAAUAGAGGAUAGACCCGUUACUUUGAAAAAGGAGUGCCAAAAAAGAAGACAAUAAAAUCAGAUAGGUCCGUAGCUUUGAAAGGAGUGCAAGAAUAGAGGAUGGGCCCCUUGAAACUAAUAGAAUAGAGCUACCCACUACAUAUGUAAUAUCGUUCGUAAAAGCAAUUAUUCCAUGCUAUGCCAUUCGAGGACCCUUUUCCUACUCCUAACCUAAUAAGUGAAAUCGACCUACAUUUGCAUUUUCCCGAAAAUGAAGGCAUAGAUUUGCUUUCUUUCCUUCCCCAGUGAUCCUUCCUUUACCUUUAAGAAUGGAGUUUCAGUAUUGCCAGUUGCCUGAGUUCGGGAAGUAUAGUCAAUAAGAUGUAUAGAUUGCUGAGUUGAAGACCGCAUAGUUAUAUAGUAUAGUUAUCAUAUGAGCUAUUGGAUAAGAAACCCUAUCAAAUAAAGGGGUUGGUGCAAAGUUAAUGUCUACUCGAUCAGAGGUUGGAAAAGAAAGGUUCACUCUGGUAUGCCUGCUUGGCCUGUAUGCCCGGGAUGCCUGCUUGGCCCCUACUAAAGGAUAUCUUCUCUUCAAUUUCCUGUUCUUGCUACUUAAUAUAAGGGCAACUAACCACUCCUUUGACUUUUGUCUGCUUGUCCGGCAGGGAAGGAGACUCUCCCAUUAAUAAGUAAGAUAAAAGCUUGUUACCCGCCUAGGUAUUCUAGAGCUAGAGCACCCACCCUCGCUACUUUAUAUUACAAUUGAACUAAGUCGCCUUAGAGAGUUAUAGGCUUUCCUCGCCAUAAAUAAGUGUAUAGGCUUUUAAGCUGGAAGGAAUGUACUGGUCGGGAAGAUACUUGUUCUCGAAAGAAAAGAAUCGAAUUAGUUGACAGCAGGGCUUUCAGGCGGGAAAGGUAGAGUGCAAGAGGCGAGUAGGCAUCCGAUGUUAGUAUUACAAGAAAGAAAGUGAGGGUGCUUGGUCCGCUAGGUUUAGUUCAAUAGGGUAGUGUUUUUGUCUUGUUAAUCCUUAGUGGGUUUCCCUAUUUCUUGUUUAAGUGCGAGAAGCAGUAAAGUGAAGCCUAUGAGCAGGGUAGGACGUCUUUGAGUAAGCAGUAACAGUAUUCGAAGCAGCGGUCUCAGGUUCAGAACAAGGGGGUCAGUUCAGAGGAUAAGUCUUGUCGGGCACUAAGUUCAGUUAGCACCGGUUCAUUUCGAAAAGUCGUAUUUUAUAGCCAGGAAAGGUAUACUAAAACAAACAAGCAAGAAUCAAGGUAAGAAGUAGAAGACUCCGAAGUGAAAUGCAUAACGCAAGAAAAAGGGCAGGGCUAGGUUCCGAGUUGAGAUCUUGUAGUUGUAGUAGAAUCUCUAGUUCCCAGUUAAAGGAUUCAAAGCAGUAGUUCUUUUCUUUGUAGCAGUGUGUUUCUAUUCUCUUUUCUAUACAGUUGUACUCCUUAAGAUAGUAGCGCGUAUCGGGGACAUAUGGGUGAACUGCGGAAUGCAAGUAACCUGUAUAGGAUAGAAUGUCGGGAAGCAAAGAGAAAAGGCAAAGGGAUAUCUGAUUUCAUUCAAGUAGGGAUAGACUAACAGGUGUGUCCAGAGAGAAUGAAACCCUGCAGAGAUAGAUUGAUAGCCAGUAAGGUAAGCCUAUGAGUGGGGAAUGGCAGACUAACAGGCGAGAUAGAAAUGGGAGAUAAAGACCUGGGACGCAGUAGAGCGAAUCCUAUAGUCUAGGGAGUUUCAGGAUCAAAGUGAAGAUAGUAGUAGCUAGCUUGGAAGCACCAGUGACAGCUUGAAGCGAGGAGAGGCAUACUUCAACAUACAAGCAGGCUAAGGGAAUAGAUGGUAAGCCUAAGAGCCGAGGAACGAGUAAAAGAACCGGCAAUACAUAAUUCAAAGUCAUAAGUAUAAGCCUAUAGCCCUGCUAGCAGUGGUUCAACUCCGAGUUAUAAGAACAAGUAUUUGUUGGCAGCGGCUCAAUUCACAAAGACAUAACAGUAACCCCCAACUAACAAAACGGAUUUGGGGGUUUUGAUUCUUGCAGAUGUCCCCUGGGUGCUGUAUUCCCUUCCCGUGUUUAAAUCCUUAGACUCCUUUCUGCAAUGCCUAGUUCCAAGUUCCGUUUGAUAUCCUUAUUACGUUAUGAGAACAAGUGGGUAGGGCACCGUAUCAGAGUGAAGGCAAGUCAAUUAAGCCUUACAGUCCAACUACAAAAUACAAAUAAGCAAUGGGAGUUUUAGAGCUCGAGCGAGGAACUGCAUAAUUGAGGUACGGCACCUAGUUCUUUCAGGUGAGAAAUCAGAAUCAAAGUUGGAGUCAAGUGAUCCGGAUCUCCUUUCACCCAAAUGCCCCCAUAAGAAUUUGACUCAUCAGUAGCAGACCUAAGCUAAGGCGGGAAAACAUAUAAGUUAGCCCUACAUCCCUGUCUUCUAUUCUUUCUCUACAAACUACGAUUCUACCGCUCCUUACUGACUUUCUUUAACACUGACAUGGAAUCCCUGCUUCUUAGAUUUAGUACUCUCCUCUCCUUUCUGAAUCGAUUGUUCCCAGAAGCUAUAGCUUGUUCCACUUGUUCUGCGUGUGCCUCAAUUCAUUCUUAUACUUCUUACUAUCGUCGACUUCUACUUUCAUUUAUUCUCCAGCAGAUGAUCUUGUCGACUUGACUUCUUCUGAUUUAUAUCCUGUUCAAUCUACAGGCUAAGAUCGUAGGAAGAAAAGGAAGUCCUAUUUAUAAGGGUAAGUGUCUUGCUAUCAGCUGUUUUUGUCGGUAGUGUCACAGUUUCAUUCCCUGUUUCUAGUAAGAGUAUUGCUCGUAGUAGAUCUAUUCCGGUAUGCCUAACCACCUAGGGUACAGUUCCAUUUUCUUAUCACUAGUCCAAUUCUAUCCAUUGCCCGUUUUAUUAUGAGAAGCACUUGUUCCUUCUAUUAGGAGUGACAUUCCAAUAAGUACUAGUUCAGUUCAAUUAUGGAUUCCCCAGCUUAUCCUUGUAAGCAGUAGGGGCGCAGCCUCAGUUUCAAGUUAAGGUCUUGUCAGCACUAGUUGAUUCCCUAUAUGGAGUGUUCGAUUCACACUGAGUUGGUUUCGUUGUUGCCUUAGCUGUAGUCGGUUCAGUCUUGUUGGCCUGGGUUUCCUAGUUCCGGGUGUCGGUAUUGUUAGUAGCAGCUCCAUUCCUUUGAGUAGUGAUAGCAAUCUCAUCAGCAGCGGAAUUAGGACUUGCACAAGUUAUAACAAUUCCUUUCUUCGCAUUACAAUUCCUGUUUUUGGGAGUUCAAACACUUCUUUAAUAACUAUGGAUUGCUCCCCCACCUCUGUAAACAAAUACAGAUUCGACUACUCUACUACUUAAGGAUGAAACUGGGAAUUCCACUGAUUGAACUCUUGAUGGCAACUAUGAACUUAAUUCAGCUAAUCUAACUCAUGCUCAUCUACCGGAGUCAACCAAUACAGAUGCAACUUUACCACUACACUCAAGCUUGCUUCUCUGGCUCAUAACUCUAACUCUGACAACCCUUACUAUUAAAGCUUCCACUCUAACAAGUACAGGAACAGAUCCUAUUGCUACUACUACAACUACUACUCCGAUAUUUCACUAAUUCUUCUUUCUGACCAGACCCGUUAGCUGACCUCUUACCUGGUAGCUGACCUCUUACCAGCGCCUAAACCCUACUUGAGAACAGAAGAGCAAAGUAACUACUAGACAAGUAAAGGAACAGACCCGCUUGCAACAGGCUUGGCUCUGUAAACUAACUAUUCCUCUGAUCUUGCUAAUCUACCUCGACUCUGGACUAGAGCAUCUCAGCUAACUUCAUUCGGCUCAUCCAACUUGAAACAAGCACUCCUGGCUCAUCCAACUCGGGCAACGAAUCAAGAUGAAACUUGGCCAAUCCACUACUACUACAUUACAUCUGGUGGAACACUAAGAAUUGAACCACUGUUUCCUUUCUAAUAGGAGCUUGUUUGUAGUAGGAUUCGGCAUUAUCUUAGUUGUACAUAGGCAUAUGGAUGCAAUAAGGCUACUCUCGGCGGGGUGGAUUAGCUUACAUUCGCUACUGCUGCAGCUUGUUUGUUUGCGCCCUAGCUUAAAAGUGCUCUAUGCCCAACACCGGGAAAGAAGAGUGUUUUGCCGUUGAAGCGCGAGCUUAGAUCCAUUUUUCUUAUGCAACUUAACAACAGAAAUGCGCGUCGUACUGAAAGUAGAGUCUCCGAGUUAGUGUUAGAGUCUCCUUUAGAAUAAUAGGAUGGAGCUAUAAGGGGAAGAACCAGAGUGCUGAGCUAGGUAUGCUCAAAGAAUCUAUAAUAAGAGAAUCAAUAGCCCACUAUAUGGGUAAGAACCAGAGUUAUGAGCUAGGUACGCUAGCCGAGUUAGUGUUAGAGUCUCCUUUUUAGUAUCCAUGUGUUAGAGUUCCCGCUGCUUUCGAUCCACCCCUUCCCUUGCUUUAAUCAUUUUAUUGAGUGCACCACUACCACAAAUAUAUAAUAGUCAACAACUAUAAGGAAGAAUCAAGAAUAAAGUAGGAUAACUUCGGAUUGAAAACUAUCUAAUGAACCCACGCACCCUGCAAUAACUCUAUUAGAUUAAGUUAGCACAACGGAACAAGGCGAAAUCUCUCUUAAGGAAGAAGCCCAGCCCAGCCCAGAACAAGCUUUAGGCAGUGAGGUGAUGUGACCAGUAACUUGUUAUUCUAUAAGUUGUGCCAUGAAAGCAGUCAGCAGAAGAAGUAGCGUUUGUAGAGUCUCGAGUUGGUUACUCAGAUACAUGUUGGUUACUCAGAUACAUAAGUUGUGCCAUGAAAGCAGUCAGCAGUCUUAGGUUACUAUCCUUUAAGCAAGGGUGAAAGAAUGAACACGCUAAAAGAGAAAAGGGGCACCUUAUAGAGCCGAGCGUAAUGGGUCAAUAAAAGCAGAAGCCUUAGCGAGAUCUACUGAAGUGGAGUAUCUUAAAGCAGAAGCCUUAGCGGGGUCUACUGAAGUGGAGUAUCUUAAAGCAAUGCAACGGAGUCAAGCUCUUUAGUCAAGUAAACAAACCGUAUUGCUUCCAACAAGAAACUACUAACGCAGAAGUUCAUAACAACACUGCGAACUCAAGUAAAGUAACAAAACACUAUUUUCUGUGCUUCAAAACUCCUAAUGCACAACAAGGCCUUGAGCCAGAUACUGGUAUUAGAGCUAGCUUAUAUAGUAUUUGUAUCAGGUAUUAGAGCUAGCUUAUAUAGUAUUAGUAUCAAUCAGCCCUGCCCUAGCCUUGCCUGUUUCAUUUCACUGACAAAGAAAAGAAGCAUUGAACUAACACGAACAUUAUAUGGAAUUGGGUAAAAAAGAGAUGGGUAGGUUCUCCAAAGAGCAUAGGUAGGUUGUUUCUACUCGUAUUCAAAAUAGAAAAUAAUAAUAAGAAUUUUGGAACUUGCAAAGAAGUCAUCAACGGCUUGCGGAACUCACAUUAGCACUUAUAGGUUACUAUACUAAAGAAAGAAGCGACUCUCGUCUCAGGUCAACAACAACGGCGCUAACAGAAGCUUGAAAGAUGGAAUUGACUCUUGACUUGUGCACUUACGGAGUUUGCCCCACCCUACCAGAUAGUCAGCCUUAGCUAUAGGCCACACCUGCCACGCUCAAGCAAGGACAAGAAGUCUCUCGCGGAUACCCAUACUUGCUCGAAGUAAAGUAUCUCGUCUCGUAAGGUAUCAAUCAAUUCUUCAAUUCCUGAACUUUAGGGAAAGAGUACUUAGGCGGGUUAGCAUACUUUACAGGCAAUAAGCAGGCAAUAAGAGUUUACGCGGAUCCAACAAGGGAUUCAACUCCAAGCGCAUAAGCAUUAGAUCCUUUAUCUCUUCUUACUCAAACACCAUUUGAAAACCACUCACUUCCUGGAGGAACUCUAUUUUGUGACCAAUAUCUAUCAUACCGAGCUAAUGAUUCUGUUUAUUAUCUUUCUAACUUAACGGAAACUGCUUCUUCCCCGGAUCCGUAUCCAGAUCCAGCAUCUGCUUAUACCUCUUUCUCCCCUGUGUUACAUAGAUAUAUCCAUACUAAACUAGAAACGCUAGAUUCCGAUUAUGAAAUACACUGUCGACCCGACCACCUCUACUUAUAAGUGCAGAAUGUCAUUAAGCAACUUCUCUCGCGGGUCCACGCAUACGCACAAAAUGCAAUUGAAAACUCCUAAUGCAUAAGCCAAAGAAGGUAUUGUUUUACUGUCUAUGAGCUCUAAAACGGUGUUUUGUACUUUCUUCUUCUAUUGAAUAACUAAAAAGCUACCACUCGGGUCUAUCAGACUCACUACCUUAUCAAAUAAGUCUUCCUUUCGCCUCUAAACUCCUUACUAGCAAAGGAAUCAGAUUUAGUGUCCCGGGUUAUAAGACCUAGACGAGAGGGUGACUUCACUCGACUUACAGGAAAGGGUGACAAGUGUUUCAGUUAUCCGCAUACUGUGUCAAAACUCACCUCUUUAUGUUGAACAAAAGAUUUCCACAUUACUCCGCUCUUCUUACUAAACCUACACCAAUAAGCUCCCGUAGCAAUAUAUGCCCAUGUGUUAGCAUCUUAGGAAGCCUUGAUAGGAUAAGCAUCUCCGUCCAUGGUAGGAAUCGAGCCAAGCGCAACUUUUAGGCUAUACUUCAAUCAAUAAUUCAAGGCUUUUAGUCAUCGCUCUGUGAAGGAGUGGGCGAAUCAACAUCCGGCAAAGGCACUGCUAGCGCACUCUCGUCGAUCCACCACAAAGGUUAACGACGUAUAAGAGUUUUGAAUCCAAUGGGGUAAGCUCUAAACCAAGAUUGGAUACUAGGUAAAGAACUUAACUCUACGCACUGAAACAAGCGACGGAACAAGAAGAAGCACCGCCCUCCUUACUCCCUAAACACAAUGACACAUGAACUCAAACAUCAUUUCCUCGCACCCUCUGGAUACGAGUGUAAUUGAAUUUCCUCGCACCCUCUGGAUACGAGUGUAAUUGAAUUUCCUCGCAACCGACCUAUACUUGCCUAUUCUCUUAGCGCCUAAGCUUGUUCACUUACUGAUGCCUACUGAGUAAGUCUGGUCCCGGACUUUUACUGUUUGAAUAAUUCAUGGAAUCUUUCUUUCUUGCAGACAAUGCUAGAACUACACUUGAUUGACUUCCUACUUCGCGCUUGCUGCUGAUUGACUUUAUACUGUAAUUACCCGAGAGUUGAUUCUUCCCCUAACUGCCCCCACUCGAUAAGAAUGGAAUGGAAUCUCUGCUGACCUGAGCUUUCGCACACCAUCCCUUUCUUUGGAAUCUGAUUAUGAUCGGCUUGGCACAGAUCCAUCUUUCGCUUCUGAUCCUUCACUUGCUGUUGACGACUAAAUUGAUUAACUACUUCUUAUCGGUUCGGCUUCAUAUCCUGCUCCUAAUAGAGAUGAUUCCUUGCGCUUAGACCAGUUCCAAAUAUGCUUCUGAUUCAAUGCGCUCUUCCUAGGUGAGAGAAAUUCCUUUCUUUAGAGUCAAGAGAGAGAGCAAGCAAGUGGUUAAGUUACAGAUGCAACAAACAACGGGUAGAAUGAACAAGCAAUGGAUCGAGUCACUACUAAACAAGCAUCAUUUUUGGAAUCCUUUGAGCGCCUUAGAUGAAACUCGGGAUUAACGGAGAUUGCUGCUGUCAACGCGGAACUCAAACCUGCUUGCUACUGCGGGAAGUGACUGUUAAUAAGUUGUUCCAGAGGUCUUUCUUUGUCUUCAUUUUCUUUCUUUGUCUUCAUUUGUUUAAGAUCACUACAAGGGGCUGAAGAAGGCAAUAAUCUCGGUGUUGGACUCGGGUCUCUGUUACUGUUAAGAGAGUUCGUGCGGGGGCGGGGUGUGUUAGUGAGUGGUGCGGCGGAUGACUCUCGGGGUGCUAAAGGAAAGGCGAGCAGUCUGAGGUCACUUUAAUGAAAGAUGUAAGCAGCGAGGAAGCAGUUAGGUUACCUUCAAGGAGUGGGUGCUUACGUGAGUUCCAGAGUUCGGUUCCGCAGCCUCCGCAGUUGCUUUAUAUUUGACCUACGUCUCAGCAGUUGAUCUUCAAUCAACAAAGAACUCCUUAGCGGUAAACUCGCAAACUCCCUUACGAAAAUCCCUUCCCUUUUCGUUUGCCCGAAGAAUCCAAUCAGUAUUCAAUCUCCCAUAUAAGUUGAGAAAGAGUCGUUUUAGGUUGUCCCUUAUUGAUAGCCCCGAGUCAGCAUUUAUGAGCUUAGCGGGUGGAUAGUGCAAUAAGCCUAUAUCGAUCCUACCACCUUUCAAAUCCAUAUUUUGGAUAGCCUCUCGCCUUUCGAAAUCAGGUCUAGCAUCAACUCAGUCAGAUCUUCUCUUGUUUGCCCGCUUUUAUUAGGCUUCCAAAUCAUCUUUGAUCGGCAUUUCGUGCCUGCAUCCCUGAUCCAUUCGACCUUUUCUCUGUGAGUGUAGUUGUAGUAAGGUUAGAGGCGCCACUAUCAGAGUAGGCCAGGCGCUAGUUUCUUUUUUCUUAUAUGUCUUUCUGUCUCCGAAGUCCCUUUUUCUCAAUGCUGUCUGUCUCCGAUGAUCCAAAUCUUGCUUAUUAUUCUAAUCUAGCUUCAUAUCCAUCUUCGGCUUCAUAUCCUACAAUAACAGUCCAUUCAGCUGCUGCUUAUUCUGAUUCUAGGGAUUCUUCUUGGCCCAUUUCUUAUUGAUUAUUUCCCCUAUCCCCUGUGUGCCUUGUCAACAACUACUUUAUUGAAUCUUGGUUGCGCAGAGUAAACCUUUUAUGUUAUUGAAUCCUUCUUGACUUGCAAAUAACUCGCCGCGCUACUGACUACUAAGCUUGGCCCAGGAGUGCAUACCGAAGCCCAUAUCCAUUAACAGCUCAUGGGAAUGGUCAUAUGUGGCAGUAGGCAUCAAGACCGACCCUUUCAAAGAGCCUAUUCUAUUCCAUUCCUCAAUAGAGGCACAAGCUAUUAUUGAAAUAUGCGUAGUCAUAGUGUGCUCAUUUAACCCAUUGAAGUGAAGUCUUGUCUUGUCCACCGAUUGUGGGGUAACGGGAACUUUUCUUUGGGAUUCGCUUGGUUAAUCGUACUUCCAAGGGUGUCGUACUCCAGCUUGCCAGGACUUUUGACUGGCCUAGGACCACGAGUCAGAGGCGCAUCUCUUGUCUGUCUCACGAUGGUGCACCACUAAGGGCUUUUCCCUAACAGCGGAUUCCUAGAAUGGAUUAGAAUGUCAACUGAAUCCGGAGUGCAUCAUCCGCCCCAAAAAGGCAACUUCUUUCUUGGUGUACAGCGUCGACUACUGAGUCGUCUGCCUCUUCUUAAGAGAAUUUGAUCAGGCACGCGUUUCUCUAUAGAGUGUCCUACUACACACACCUCCGUGAAACUCAAAAAAACACUUCUUUCUUCGGGAGAAUCUAAUUAAUAUAAAUAAUACCUGAGGUCGGGAUCGAGGAACUACUGCUGGAGAACUGCUGCUUACUAACUGAACUUUCCAUAUCGUUUUGAAUUGGGAACUUCAAGUAUCGUUUGCGUCGACAAGCGAGUUCCCCAUCUCAACGUCUUCCUUCUCAUGAUCCAAAAACCAAAUUCACUACUGUCAACUAUUUCCGCUAUUCUUGAAGCUAAGUCGACUAUUCGGCAUUCAACAUUCUUCAGAAGUACUCUCUUAUUGCGCACCGUCUUUUCAAGUUAUCGAAUUCUUUUUCCCUUGCGAGUUCCGUUGCUUUAAGAUACUCCCCGUACUCUGUACUUUUAAGAAGGUCAUAAUCAAGGUGAAAGGCAGGGCUAUAAGGCUUAUUUCUCUAAGUGGAAGGCAGGGCUAUAAGGCUUAUUUCUCUAAGUGGAAGGCAGGGUAAACGAUACUCUUAUGUGGAAUCUAUCAUUGAGGGUCCGCUCUGAGAAUACAUUAGUAGCCUCAAAUACUGGAUUUGCAAGCACAGAGUCAAUACAUAAUCCUUUUAGCACGAGAAGAUCAGAUCAGAGAACUCCGUAAGCAGAAGUCAAACAAUCAUUUCAUCUAUCGAGCUAAAGUCAAACAUUCAAAUCAGCUGUUGUUUAACCCGCUAACGCACCCGCUCCAGAAUGAAAGGAAGUAGUAGGAAGUAGUUCAAGCUUAAAGCAUAUAGUAUGAUUAACUCGGGACUGGAACUCCACAUUAAGAAGAACCUAGGGCUGCUGAUGAUUCGGCUUCGCCUUUUUCUCCGGAUCCUUCUCCAAAUGCUUUUAUUCUCUUGUCCACUCUACUAGAAUGGAAUUUGAUGAUUCGGCUUCGCCCACCCGACCUCUCCUUAAACAUUAAUUUCCAUCUAUCGCUGUCAGGUAAACUCCCUUUAGCCGCUGAUACACUUAUUCUUGUUGGGCUGGGCCUGUCUGUGAACAAGCAGUAAAGGUCAACUUUCCUUCCCACGGAGUUUGCAACUAACUUGCAUUCGGCUUCAGUCAAACUAAGAAAGAAUUUCCAUCUAUACUUUGCGCCUACGCCUAUAAGAUUGGAUUUGAGAUCAGUUGCACAUGGGGAAUUCCGUAAAUACAUAGCUUGUUAACCUUUUGAAUUAGCAUUAGCGAGUUAACCCUUGAGAACUGCUUCCUUAUAUGAUGAAACAUAUCCUUAAAAGAAAGCAAGCGCCUUAACCGAUUAACUGCGUAGCUACGUGAGAGAAAAGAAAAGAGAUGAGCCUAUAGCCCUAUGCAUUCUAUUAUAGAGUUGAGUAGAUUCCGCUUCAACAUAUGAUAUAAGUGGAACUGGGCGAAGGAUACUUCCGGACAGAUGCGCUUUCGCCAACACCGAUACACCUCUUCUUCACGGCAACACUUCUUAUUACUCAGAUUACCGCUCCGGGGGGCUAUACUGAGUCUAUACAAUAAAUACUUUCGCUUCUAAACUCAUCUGCGCAUAUGAAAGAAAAGAGUAGUAAACUACGGGCUUGACGGAGCUUCUUCUCUCGUUGACAACACUGCACCCUUACAAGACUCUCUGGGCUAUCUUUCUGUACAACUAAAUAAUGAGACCAGCCCUGGAAUUCCAUCUGGGUUUUCCCUUGUAGUGGUCCAGUCCAAGCACCGAACCGCGACUUGACUUCCAUAACUAUCCCAUCCCCGCGUAGUAACUAAACUAUACUUGCAGACCCAAUGGCUUUAUACCCUUACUUUCGACCCUUGCUUGUUCCCCGAACUUCCUUAACUGAGACCAUUGCACUUUUUGCUAACUUAACCUAUGUGAAACAGUGCUAAUAGAAAAAUCCCUUCAUGGAAACUCUCCAACUGGACUUAUAAUGAAUUUCGCCUAAGAAACAUAGACCCACUCCUUGACCUGACAUUACUUAACGCUUUAGUCAAGUCAGAAAAUAGUACAUUUCCAUCUUCGGCAUCAGAUCCAGCUUAGACAGCUUACUUGAGAGCUACUUCUUCUGUUGGGCCAGCGCCAGUACCUGUAAUUGAUCCAUCCCCUUAUUCCCCUUAAACAAACAGCCGCAGAAUGGAAUGACACCUUUCGAGCACAUUAUGGAGAUGGUAUAGAAAUGGGGAAUAUGACCUAAUCUAUACUUCACUUUAUACUUUACUGAGUUUUGCUUGUUUGCUUGUUCGGGACUUGGUCAUAACUUGGCAAAUGGAGAAUCUCUCCUCUGAUCUUGCCUCUGCCCUUAUAAUAAAUGGUAGACUCACUACUUCCCGCCUCAGAUCUUCCUUCUUCUAUGGGAACUCUACUUUCAACAAAUCAUUCUUUACUUAGCUCUCCCUCUUACCUCUGACUCUUGCUCCUCUGUUGCUAUUAUACCUAAGGCAACUAACACUCUCCUCUGGCUCUGGCUCUUUAAUAAGUGCUCUAGAGCUUAAGUCUCCUUUCCUCUUGAACUCCUAUUUCCUAGUUUCCUAUUUCCUCUUUCUCUAGAAACUCAUAGCUUACCGCAAGCACCUAAACUAGUCUCUGCAGAGGCAAACAAAGGGCCCUUACUAUCAUUUCUGCCAAUAAGUCAACAACUACGGGAGGGGUGCCGGUCUUCAAGCCAACAGAUACUGAAUGGAAUUCCGAGGGAACAAACAAGAGUCAGUUUCCCAGUCAGAAGAAGUUCAUUCUACCCUAUAAAGUGGAAAGUCAGCAGCAAGCGCAAAAGAAAGUCAAGGUGGUCGAGGAAAGUCUAUCAGAGAAAGAUGUAGAAGAUGGAAAGUCGAAUGGACGACACUUUACUAAGAUCUAUACUAUGUGCCCGCUAGCGGAGUUCUCUUGUUCGCAAAUCCAGAUUGAGUCCAGGCCAUAUAUUAGAUAGAGACACUCUUUCUUUUUCCCCUUCUCGCCAUUUGUUGUAAGAUAUGCUUUGUUGUAAGAUAUGAUAUAUGGCUGUUUGGUUACUGAAGCAUAUCCAUGUGCAAUAAUCAGAUUCUUGACCUGUGCUAUAUUACCAUAUUAGGAAGCUAUAGAUGCCGGAAGAGAGAAAGAAGCCCAAUUCAAACAAUCAAUACAAAUAGAGAGCUAAAAAAGUGCUAUAUUGCUUCAACGCUAAGGUACCAUUUCGAAUGUCCUUCCUCCGCGCUAAGAUCCUUCCUUUACUGUUUCCGUUCUACUUUCAUCGCUAGUUUCAUCCUAUAUUAUGCAUGUUUCACUCGGCACAAGAAAAAUGACUGGUUGACUCUCGCCCUACUGCUCGAAAGAAAAAAGUGUCAUAUUUCUCAUAUCAUUGCUUAACACAAGCACCGAACCCAUGCCUAUUAAGAAGUGAAGAACCUACUAUCCACCAAUCAACUACUAGGCACCAAUACUAGGCAAAACGGGACCCAUACCUGAACUAACUCUAUCUGACUUGCCGACUUCAACUCGUCUUGAUUGAUUUCCUUCCCUAGUGCUACUCUCUGGCAACAAUUAACUAUAUAAGAAUUCUACUCUCUAUAAUACCUAGGCGGUGUAACAAGACUGAUUCAGUUGCUCCCUAACCCGAUCUUGACUCUCUACUUUAAGUUUCAGAAUAUCUUGCAGCUUAUGGAACUCUACUCACCAAGCUUAUACAAGAGUCGAAUCUCCUUCUUUAUUUCAUAAUUCGUUUAAGUAGUGGGGUCGAGAACUUGAACUGGGCAUUCAACGUCAACAAACAAGGAUUGAACUCACCAAUCAACCUAGAAAUCAAAAGUAUAUAUUGUCUAAGUAGUCAAAGAAUUCAACUAGUUGUCGACUUGGGUGCUAUGCCCAAUAUUCUGCUAUUGCCUACCUAUCCGAUGGCUGAGCCUUUAUCCUAUGCCUUUUCAUCUAAUCCAACUCAUUUGUUUUCAACUUGAUUUGAUAUCUGAAUUAGGCUCAUCUACUUACCCAAGGCAACAAGACCUAUGGCUACAAUUUCAUAAUGCCACUAGUAGUUAAGGCCACUACUCGGGGAUGUAAACCUAGACCGCUCUACUACACCUAUUGCUACUAAUAAAGAAUUGCACUCGGAUCAUCUACUUCAUAAGCUAGAUCAGCUACAGGCAGAAUAUCUUCCUUCUUCAAGCGAGGUAUCUUCGAAGCACCUUUGUAUGCGAAGGAGCGGUCACUGGAACAAGACUUGUGGAACGGGUCGAUAACACACCUAUGGGCUGGGCUAGAUAUGGAACUAAUUGUCCUGAGAAGAAACCCUAUCAAAUGAUAUAUUCUCUUUUACAGAUGAAACUACUCUACUACUUGUUUAAGGGUCAAGGGUCAUCGCCUAUGUCUUCCAAUUCUAUUCCUCAGUUGUUUUUGCUUGGCCCGAUCCUUUACUUCUUUUAGAGGGUCCGCUUGGCCUCACUACUAUAGUUACAAAUCUUGUAGUUGCAGUGAUUGGCUUGACCGAGUUUCAUCAGUUAUCCUUAAUAAGAACAUAUACCUAAUUGAGUAUGGGAAUAGUAUAGAUCAUAUCCAAAGAAAGGGAACUCGUUUCUCACUUUUUGGAAUGUUUUUUCAAUUAGAAAUUAUUUCACCACUACUCAGGUAGUUGCGGCGUUAACUGGGCCCUCUCUUUGCCUUUACCUGCUUGCCCCCUUGUUGGAUCUGUUCUCGUAUAGUUUCAUCUGUUCUCGUAUAGUAAGUAGAAGAAAAGACAUAGCUUGUUCACCCUUUCGCCCGAUAUACCCGGAUGAAAACCCUUCUUUUGAGUCCAGUGUUUUAGGGCUGAUUGAUACGGCAGGGCAAUUCAUAGUUACUAGUGGCAUUCUUAGUCGAGCUGGUAUAGUUGACUUUUGAACUCACCCCUCGUAGUAGUUUUGACUUGUAUGCUUGGCCCUUCCACCGGCAAUCCAAUCCACCGGUUACGGACAUUCCUUUCCUCAUAAGGAUAGUCUAUCUCAGUAUAGUGGGCAACUCGUUUUUCAAAGAUCAAGAUAGGCAGGAGUCACUUUUGUAUCGACAUAUAGCUGCAAAAGUCCUUAAUUCUAAAUAAGUGAGACAGGGAAGACAAGCCAGCAAUAAGCAAUGGAAGCAAUGCCCCAGCUUUUGAACUCAACCAGACCUAGGAACUGCAAUGCCUGUAAAAGAAAGAAGUAAAGCUUGCCAGUCUACUCAUUGCAUUGCUAUCUGAUAGCCAUUGGAAACCUUCUCACUAUUAUCACAUAUAGAAGAAUGCUGCUAUUCGGACAAUCUUCUUCUAGCGAGUCAAUGUCGGAUAAUCUAGCAAGAGCUUAUAGUGCAAGGUGCGGAAAGCCGGAUGGAGCUUAAACAAGUGGGAAUCAAGACAGCAACAAGUCCCAUGUUGAAUGAGAUAGCUUGAAUCUUCCAAUCUUUCUGAGCUAUGAAGUGGAAUAGGCUGUCUUCCCUGUAACUCGGAAGGCGGAUCAAGGUACAUGAACCACUACCGGUGUUGAACCGCUCCUGCCGCUACACUCGAAGACAUCGGAGGUCAAAGGAAAGUCGACAUCGAUAACAGAAUAAUAAGUGGAAGUUUCAGUUUCCAGUGAAAGUUAAGGAAAAGUGAUGGAAUUCUUUGUUGCUUCAGUAAAGUGAUAGUUUAGGUCGGAAAUGCAAAAGAUAAGGGAAUAGAGUAUUGCAUAGACCCCCACGGAGCGGUAAUGAAAGAGGUGAAGCUGUAAGAAAGUAAGCUGCCCAACUUAGAUAAGCGAGACCAGCCCAGGCAAUGAAAUCUGUGUAAAAGUAUCAAUGAAAGUAGGCGAGAGGCCAAAACGAAGCCAAGCCCUUUGUUUACUCGAAUCUAUCAUAAGAAGCAAUAAGGUAUAUUUGGAUUAGGAAUCUGACCCCAGUAUCUAUACGAUCUCGAAAGCCAUCCAUAUCAUAUAUCAUGUCAGUCCUCGUUCCCAUAUACCCAGUGUAGUAUAUGAGUUCAUAGCAGAUUCUGGCUCCUAUUUCUACCAUUUCAUAUUGAAUAAGUUCACGAAGUACUAGGCGGAGCUACUAUUGAGACAGAAAACUCCACGCCGAUACCUAUUAAGGAGGGCUCUCCUUUUUCAUUCCCUUUCUUUCUUCAAUAAAAUAAGCUAAGUAAAGAAGCGAGUUCCCUUUCCUGGCCAGUAAAUGCCAGCGGGAGUGCCUGUUUCAAUUCCCUUUCGAUUAUCGCAGUCGCCGUAUGCUUCACACGUGGUGUAGCGAAAGCAAGGUCAUGGUAUAAAGGCUUGGUUCUCUUCUCGGUCAAAAGCCUAGUUCUCAGUUAGCUAAAAAGAUAUGGGCUAGAGCAAGGCAGAGGAUUUGAAGCAGGUCUAGUCUUCAAAAGCAUCGAUUGGCAGAGGUUUUUUUGUAGCCCAUUGUGAUGAAUAUUGGAAGUUGGAGUUGAUUUUGAUGUCGCUAGGAGUUAUCUUACACCCUACCAGUCUCCCUUUUUGAAAGCCUUUCCGUCCCUUUCCUGUUUCGAUGAGUCAUAAAUGGAAAAAAGCUUAAUAAUCUACUUUCGAGCUUUUCUUCUCGCUCCAAGUUCAUCAAUUGCAAACUUACUUAUUACUUCGAUCGAGCAAGAAUUGAAAGCAAAUUGGAGUCUACAUAUAAGAAGUGGUUUACUUAGGCUAAGGCAUUUCAGUUUACACCCCAUACUAAUUCAUAUGUUAAAGAGUCAAGCGCCUUCCCAUACCCUUAGGAAAACCAGUGUGAAAGCAAACGCAGAAAUCAAUAAUGUGUUUGUUUCUUUAAUCAAAAAAGCAUCGAUUGCUGUUCGAGUCUGAAGGUAAUCUCUUUGGAAAGGAAAGUUCAAGUUCUCUUGCUGAGAGAGAGAGUUCCUGGGAGUUGGAGUCUCCAGACGAGUGUCUCUCAAGUGGAGAUAUUUUCUGACUCGAUCCAUAGGUAAGGGAUAGGAUCUAGCAAGUAUGUUAUUACGCUUAGGAAAGUUCCCCGUCAUCAAAUUCGAAUCCUUCUGCUUUCGAUGGCGCCGAUCUAAUAAUAUACCUUAUAAAUCCAAUAAUAUACCUUAUAAAGAAAAGAUCAAGACUAUAUAAUCCGCUAGCCUAGUUGCAGGGAAUUGGAUUUCUCAGUGCCCGUUGGGAUAAGGUGGAGUCUCUUGGGGCUUACAUCUCGCGCUGUAAUAGAUCUCUUUCCCUUAAAGGUGAUAGUUUCUCUUAAUAAUUCGUUCUUUCCUUUCACUCUAUCGAAGGAUAUGUGUAGGUCUAAGGCGCUGAUAGAUUGAUUUCCUUUCCAAGUGCUAUCUAAGAAGUGAGUGCUCAAUCGAGUUUCAAGUAUGACCGAGUAAUAGGAUUACAGCUUAUACAGGAAUACCCUUUUCUGCUUUUGCUUGAUUCGAUUCAUAAAGUGCUCAAAGAUAAGUGCGUUUUCAAUACCUAAGGCAAGUGUUCUAUAAAUUCGUUAAUAAAGUCCGGGUAGAAAUCAAUACGGAUGGAUUUGAUUGAAGCCUAUAUCUGCCGAUCUUUUGUUGCUCUUGAGCGAACGAAUAGGUUACCUUAUUAUUCCAUAUCCCUCUGCUGGAACAGAAGUCGAGUGGAUCAGUAGCAUCUUGGUAUAAGUAAGUACCGAUAUCGAUAUAGAGCAAUUGUUGCCGGCCUAAAUAGUUGGGCAGGAUAACUCCUGAUAGAUUAACCGAUCUGAGUUUGGUAUUUCCAUUCCUAUAGGAUUUGGGCGGAAUUCCUUUUUGAGAGAAAGAACCAAAUCAAAAGAAAAACAAUGGAGAUCCAUUCACCCUGUCUUUAGAUUCUCAUUCUAUGCUAGGGGGAACUGUUCUACUUUCAUGCAAGGCUUAUUGACGCUGAUGUUCGAAAUCGCUCUGUGUCCAUCUUUACUAACAUGCCUUUGAGAAAUAGAGUCCUUGGUUAUGAUUAUACUGUUCUAUGCCCUCGGGUUCCUUCACUCGCUUAAGAGAACUAUAUUCUUUGCUCUUUCCCCAGACACCGAGACUUGCACUUUUGACUGACAUUCCGCUUGUGUUCCGUGGAGUAGCUUCUUUAUCCCGUCGCAGGAAAGGAGCGACUACUCUUGCUUGGCCGUUAAGAGUUCUGCUAUUUUCUUCUUUUGUGGGGCAUCUUAUAAUCCUUAGUUUUGCUUGCUUCUGUGAGCAUAUCCUGUUCAACGAGUAUGGUUUCUUAGCUACUGGCAUCCUUUCCUUCGUGCUAACAGCCAAAGACCCAUUUGUCCAAUCCAAACCUAUAAGGCGCACAAAGAAGCACUUCUCUUACGAACGUUGGAGCAUCACUUACUCGCGAAUCCCGAAAGACAGACUUCCUGAGCACUUGCCUAUUUCUAUUCAUUUCUAUUCCUUGCCUAUUUCUAUUCAUUUCGAUUCUAUUAUUCUUUGUUAGGCUAUUCGCGGGGAAAAAGAAGGGCCUUUCCUCUUGGCAUCGAUCUCAUAUCUGUGUCAAAGAGCGGAGAUUCUCUUAUCUAUGUCUCUUCUAAACUAUGCAUGCCUGCUCCUAAAAUGCAUUCUUUGUUUAGUUCAUACACUGCACUCCUUCGCCACCCGGAGACAAAGAUUCCAUAAAUGAAGUUUCCUGCAAGCGCAAAGUAGACCAGAGAAUCAAAAGGAGAACGAUCUAAAGUAGAAAGAUACGGGUCUCAAGUAGGAGUAGGAUCUUAUGUGGGUAAAGAAUAUAGAGCUGGUGAGGAAGCCGGGUUCACUCAUAGAAUUAUUCAGAAGCUAACUACAGCGGAAAAGAAGAAAGAGUCAACCUAAAGCAUUAAAGAGAGAAACAGCCCUUAUGUUUUCAAGAGAAAGAAGAUACUUGCUAAGAUAGAUAUACCCCGUUUUGAAGCAAUGCUCUGUUAGGUUAAGAAUUGAUGGAAUAUGCGGAUCAUGUUAUUCAAGCAAGGGCAGCUUAUUUAUUAGAUGGGGAGCGGGUAGUUACAUCAAAAUAAGUAUAGCAAGCCCGAGUUCCCGGUUGAGUCUAUCAGGUAGUAAGCCGAUUCCCUCUUUUGCUUGUUUCGACCUUACCGGUAUUGUAUUGGUGACAGGAUCCGGGUAUCGAGUGCAACUCUUUCCAUUAGUAGUCAAAGGCUAAGUUCCUAGUUAAAGUACUUCCAUUAGCUGUUCCAUCCGCCAAGUCACUACCACAGAUGAGACUGACAUCGCUACUAACGACACAACUAGGCGAUUUAGUUACUACCGGCAAGACUUCACCUAGUACUUCCAAAGCAUUACUCGACCCACACAGGGUUUAGUAGCCCCUGACUUGCUUUCGUUCUCGUAGUCGUCCCUGGCGUUCCGGCUCAACACUUAUACCAUUACUCAUGAGAAUUCAUUGUUGUAGCCCAAGCCGUAGUCUUAUGCCACGCCCAGAGCAGAAAAAAACACGAGUCCUCUGUGUUUCAAAGCUGACACUACUAAGCCAUCAAGUCACCCAACUAUUAGAUCCACCCUAGUGUUAUAGAAAGAAAGUAUAGAUGGUAAGGCGGGGAAACAUAGAUAUCAGAUCUGAAGUAAGUAGUCGAUUUCCUAUUGAGUAGAGCAAGUCUGCUCCAAGCGAGUAAGGAUCUAAAUCAGUAGACACAGGGUGAGAUCGAGCUUUGAGGUAGGUGGUGGCAGUAGAUAGGUCAUAAGUAAAAACAGGCCUAUUAGCAGUAGUUGGUUUCCCGGUUGCUAGUUAAGGACCUGUUAGUGCUAGUGGAAUUCUCUUUUCUUGGAUUCAUUGCUAGAUGCGCUAUAGAUUAUACCUAUGCUUCUAAAUGCCCUAAUAAAUAAGUUCAUUAAGGGUUGCAUUAUGGUUGCAUUCUUAGAAGAACACGGAUAACUAAUUGAAUAAUGAAAAGCGAUAAAAGAAAGAAACACAUAAUAUAGAAUAGAACCCGGGCGGAAAAGACUGCUACUUACUAAUAUAGGAAUAAAAGAACUACUAGAAAGAGUCACUACCUGCCCAACAAACAAGACAACAACUCAUAAGUAGGAGAAUGCGAUCAAUAACAGGAAGACCAGAACUAGCGGUGUAAAGAACUUCUAUAAGAAUACUGAAUUGAGAAGGACACUUGGAAUCCAGCCGUAUAGGAAUAACGACUACCAUAUGGAAUGCAACUAACAACCAUUAGCCUUAAGUUGCUACUGAUAGGGUUCAGUCGGAAUACACCGAACUUGGUCAAGCGCCAAUACUAAUAUAUCAAUAAAAGAAUUGCACCGAUACCAAUAAGGACGGAACUACCAGCCAGCAGCCAGCAGCUGACGCUGACCUUACUUUUCUUCUUUCACUAAUGACCCGGAACCCUGUCGUCUGUAUUGCACCUCGGAUUCUUACACACUCCAUAGAGAUAGGCCUUACUCAUAUAGCCAUAAAACGGAUAAUACUUUCUAUUAGAAUAGAGAAUUGCGCUGGCAUUAGCAGGAUGAAACCGCUGUUUUUAAGGCUGCAUUUAGACAAAAAGAAAGACUUCUUAACGAAAUGGGAGGGAAUUCUUUCACUGCCGGGCAUGAUCCUGAUCCUGUCUCCUUGCUUACUUUAACUGAUUAAGAUAAGACUUGCUCUUUGGCACAAGAGAAUCGAACCUUAUGGCACGUACUCAAAACAGGCAAUCCGAAUAAACCCAAUGAAACAAACCAAUAAGAAGAAUACUAGAAAUAGGAACUAAGCCUGGCAACUACUACCCAUAAUGUAAGUAUUAAUACGGGAGGGCAAAAAGGCAAGUAAAUAAGGAUCGAACUAAGGGAGAAGGAUUGUGCUACUGGGUUGAGUUCUAUGAGUGAAUUUAUUGAUUAUGAGUUGGCAAAGGCAAAGCAAGGAAUAGCUACGUUAUAAUGAGUUAUUCCGGUUUCUCAUUUGUGUUUCUUAGUUUCAUUCCCGUUUUCUUGUUUCGUUAGUGCACAGUUGGAUUCGUUAUGGGCUGUGUCUCAGCCAUGCCCCCCAGGAGAAAGUAUCAUCGGUUUCAGUUCUAUUCAGGGGUUAUCGUCAGAGUAGGAAGAAAGAUGUUUGCUGAGCACCUGCACCAACUGUUAUCAAGGGAAGAGAAAAACAACUACCUUUUUUCACUAAGAAACUAGAAGCAAACUACUAAUAAACUAGAUUCAAAUCUCAUAUAAGAAAAACAUUCUAUCUAACAUGCAUGAGUGAACAAAUUAAUAGAAGAGUGGAACUGGAACAUAGGCAUUUACGAGCUAGCUACUAUAAUACAAAGAAGGGAUAGGCAUAUUUCAAAAAGGCAGGACAGACUUGAUCGAUAGGAUAGUAAGGAUGCCGGAUAGCAGUUUCAGAGCUAAAGCAAGGGUCGACAUACUGAGCUCGCUGGGGAGAUGCUAGAUGAUAAAAGGAACCCCGAUUUCGGUAUGAUUGAAUAUACCACUUUUUCUUAAGGUGCUCGCCCAAGGCUAAUUAUUAUAUCUUAUCUAAUGACAAAUCAUUCUUUCUUUCCCACUUGGCACUUGUGGUAGCUUAGCUGCAUUCCGCUUACUAGUUUUGUUGAGGUCGCUACUCUUUCUUCUCCUUGUUUAGGUCGGCUUACUCUUUCUUCUCCUUGUUUAGGGCGCUUACUCUUUCUUCUCCUACUGAGUUGUUUUAUGUAUUCUGGAAAUGACUGAUUCAGCUAAGGAUCUUACUUAAGCCAAAGAUAUCGUUAUGUUCUUAUUAUUGAUUAUGUCUAUAAGGGGUAAUUGACGAAUUACUAAUUCCAAAAGAGUCUUGACUAGCGCCCAAAGAGUCAAAGUAGGGCGUGGCCAAGCGGUAAGGCAUCGGGGUCCCUACAUUCGGAGGUUAUAAUCCUUCCGUCCCAGAUCGUUUCCAUCAUAAACUCAAGAUGGGAUCACAUUGUAUCCCACAUAAGUGUCAAAAUCAUAAAGAUAACAACCUUUUCUUUUGUUCUGAAUUAGGAGAAUGGAUUCUUAGAAUCCUAUUGCUUUCUAUCUUAUAUCUGACAUGUCAAAAAUCAAUAUAUUUGGAAAUCCAUGUAACGGGGCGGGGGGAUAUUUUGAUAUGGGGAAUCUAUUGGAACUUGAUUGUAAGGUAUAUAUGGAAGAAUUGUUGUAAGGGUAUAUAUGGAAGAAUUGUUGUAAGGGUAUAUAUGGAAGAAUUGAUUGUAAGGUAUAUAUGGAAGAAUUGUUGAACCGGUGAAAACAAUAUAUAAUAUAUCCUUAGAAUUGGAACUAGGCCUAUGUAAUCCGCUUGCUAUCCCUAUAUGUGUCUAUGCUAUCCAUGCUUUCCCUAUAUGCUAUCCCUAUAUGUGCUUAUGCUAUAUCAAAUAAGUUUCUUGUCAUUGUUGUAUUUCAAUAGCAAUGGCCUUUCACUAAAUCAUUUUAGGAAGGGGUGGAGAUCUCUUCUUCUUCAAAUAUCCACGAUUACCCCCAGUUACAAUAUGAUGAUUCGUAUACUUAGGGAAUGAACUAUCCGCUAUGAAUUUGGAGCAACUCAUUGUGCGUCGACUUGGUGAUGGAAUUAUAGAUCCAGUUCUUUAGUCAUGACUAUAAAACAUAGUUCCAGUCAUAAUGCUGAAGUGAAGUCGGAGAUCUUUUCAAACAUUCUUUUAUUAACUCUUGGUUGGUACUCGAAGAAGUAUGAGAAAUCCAUAGUAUAUCAACAAGAAAGGCAGUGAUUCAAGAGGAAUAAUUCCUAUCGGUGAAAUUCAUCUCUUCUCCCAGAUCUUCUUUGUAGUCCGGUAUAUGUCUGAAUUCAUCUUGUCAGUGUCAGUUAGAGGAAUUGUUUGACUUGGCUGCUUCCUUCGAUAAGUAGGUUCUUCCUUUUUUUGACUAUAUACCCCCUCGCUCUUCUUCUCCGUUUUGUAAGUGAAUUAAAGACGAACAUAAGAAAUAGUUGAACGAUCCACUUUUCUAUCCGGCUAGAAAUCCCAGAUAAGCAGUUUUGCCUUCUACACGUACUUUUGCCAAUGCAUCGGCUCUCUGUCCUAAAAACCACACCCGAAGAAAGGCCAGCCCAGAGCUGCUAUUCUAGUUAUUAUAGUCAAAAAGAGGCUAGGCAACGACUCUUCUUUGGUUAUUCUAGUGAAAAGAGGCUAGGCAACAACUCCUCUUUUGGCGGGAACACGAGCAAAGGCAACUUCCAAGUCAGCGGGUACUAGCCUGACAGCCCGACCUCACUAAGGAAUAGAAACAUAGAAAGGCCCUCAAUAAAAGGAAAGAAAGAGUCUCUUCCCCGGAAAACUCUCCUCUUGGUCAGCUGCUCCUCGGUCUCGAACGGUCCCCAGUUCGUUCCUUAAAACAAGAAUCCGCGCCUCUGGUCUUGUCUUGAAAUGAAAGCAAUCUCCUCUGGAAAGGCAUUACUGAGACGUCCGAAUCUCUUCUUAUCUUAUAUUCGAAGCAAGGACAUGUUGGCAGUGAAGUUCCACAGACGUGGUCCAGACAGAGACUAUACUUUCCCUUUCCAUUAGGGUUUUCUAUUGACCACAGACACAGUGCCCCAGAAAAGGCUUAGUAUUCGAUACUGUCGCAGGUGUCCCUACGGCUUCAGGCAGUUCUAUAGCCCGUGCCCACUUUCCCCACCGAGUCAAUCAAAAGUGUUUUGCUUUGGCUAAAGCCCUUUUGUAGAUCCAUGUGGGUCUCCGCCUUUGUCUUUUAGGCUAUAAGGUUGGCGCCCCCCUUUCCCCUGCCCCCCUGUCGUUAAAGAACUUAUUUAGACUUUCGCUUUCGGUUUCAUUUCAUCAGCAGUGAGGGUCUAGAAAAAACUCCUUUCACUGGUUUCCCCUAUACCCUAAGCCGGGCGACGUACGGUGUGACAGACAAAGAAGAUAUGCGUGGGAUUUAGUACCUUACGAAGGGGUAAUCCGACAACCUGUUUCAUCCAACGACAUCGAGGGAAACCCCAAGUCUUCGGGGGCAAGUAGACUAAAUGGAAUAUGAAAUCGCGGAUACACUCGGAACCACUCAAAUCAUGACGAGGUGAAAGCAAACUACUGCUGCAUUCUCAAUAUAUCAUAAGAUCGAUCUCAAAGUAAGGGCGGCAACUAUUAAUAUAAAGAAGGAGAGUGCGCGCUUCCCUUCACUGAUAAGACGGUACGAAAAAGAGUCUGCCUGCAUGAUCGUCCGCUACCUUAGAUUAUACAUCUGUCUUCGCCUAACCAACAUUACUGCAUUGGAUACUAGUGCAUACAGAGAAAAGCCCCUCUCGCUCAAGAUUUCAGGAGGUUACGACCUACUUUUCCUACAAAAACUCACCGCUUUAACUAACUGAGCUGCUUCCACUCCUUAAAGCACUAUCGCUUCCUACUGCUUUAAGUACCAAAAUAGUAUUAGCAUAUAAUAAGAUGAAGAUGCUCGAAAGGGUUCUUUGUCAAGCCAGAAAGCGCAAACCAAAGUUUUUCGAGAGGCCGACCACUUGAGACGGGUAUAAGAACUCACCCUUGUUAGGAAGUUUCCAGAGGGGCGCUUCAAUAGUGUAGAAAUGGGAAUCAAAGACGGAGGAGCCUAGCCUGAUUCUCCUGCUUCCUUCCUUAUCGCUAACCGAUGCUAAUCAUGCUUGACUUUACCUCUGAGAUUGUCCCCAGGCCCUUCUCCUACCUCUAUUGAUGGAAAAUAAGUAGGUCUGUGGUAAUGUCAAAGGUUCCCCACACCUUCUUUGUCUGAGUGCUGCCUCCUUCCUUCUUCCCGUCAAUCAUCGUUAAGGGUUUCAAAUCCAUAGGCGCUGCUAAAAUGGCUUCUUUCUGCCUUGGCUAUAGGAACAUAAUCUCCAUAAUAGGGCGGUUUGCUUCUGAGUAGUUCUGUCCUUCCCUCCCCUAUCCGAGAUGUGCUCUUGAAAGAUCUCCCUCUUCAGCUUGGUUAGGUCUUAGAGAAGUCACUUCUUUACCUAAGGUUGUAGCCAAGGGGAUACUUGAUUCUUCUAACAAAGAAGUAGCCAAGGGGAUACUUGAUUCUUCUAACAAAGAAAGCAAAGGAAAAUCUAUUAUGAGAGAAUCUUCCUUCAAAGAUGCUUUUCUCGAUUCCCCUACAUCUACGAAUGGCUAAAUGCUUUCUCACGUAGGGCUUACUAUAAGGGAGGGGUUCCGCUUUCUUUCAUUCCUAAAGAAGGAAGGGGAAGGUAUUUCCUCAUAAAGGAGUUUGUUCUUAGUAGCAGCCGGAUACCUUUAAAGAGAUAAGUCUACCUUUGUUCCAGCCAUUCUCAAGAUCUUUCAUUUCCGGUUUCAUAAGAGAGGAUAGCAUAUAGCUUAGCCUCAUUCCUAUAGCUCAUAGAGAAGUUCCUCUUAUCCAGCAUAUUUACAUUAGUCAAAUCCUACUGGUCGAUCAAUGGUUGUGCUUGAAGCCUUAUUCUCUGUAUCAGGCAAGAAGAGGAAAGGAAGGUAAGUUCGAGAUAUAUCAUAAGAAAGAGAAGAAAGAAAGAGAUGAACUCUUUAUAAGAAAGAGAAGAAAGAAAGAGAUGAACUCUUUGGAGCGCUUCUCGGCGGUAAGACAGACCGUGAAUGAAUAAGAAAGAAAGAAGAUAUAGUUCUAUUUCCUGCAUGAGGGAAAUCGACCGAUGGACAUGCUUGACUUUACGUAUAAGUAGUGCUAGGAUUACUUGCCUUAUUACAUAUGUCUUGCUAGUAUAUAGCAGUAGUCGGAGUAGCACUAGGAUAAGUCGGGGUCAGCACUUAGUAAACCUUUCCACUCAUACUUAAUAGUAUACCAUCACUGUUAGCAGACUGUGCCAUUCCUUACACUGUUAGAAUAACUUCUCAUCUCCCACCUUCUAUAAUGCGCAUAUUGAGACUGAGCUUGCUUGCAUUAAGCCUAUCGCCUGCCUCCCUAAGACCUUUCUAUUGUGCCUGUCGUUAACUCCAGUGUACCUUCCUUUCGGAGAGUGCCUUACUCUGAAGUAAUAGACUGAUUAGAUUGCCGGGAGUGGAUUCUUCUUUUUACCAAACAUAUGGGAAAAGGAUCCAAUCCAAUGACUUCGAAAGAAUGGAACGAGGAGCAUUCCACGGCCGGGGGAACAGAGGUAUCUCAUGGUUAGUUCUGUAGAGUAGCAGUAAGUGGGGAAUACUAGCUUGCUUUAGGAACUUACUAACUUCGCCGAGGUAACUAUGUCCUCAGCCGAGCCAACUUCAUCAGCAGUUCUAUAUAUGGGUGUUGUCGACACAAGAGAAGAAGCACAAUCCGGAUUAGCAGAUGUGUUUUCAAGUCCACUAUACUCAAUAAUUAGCUUUGCAUUAAAGUCAAGGUUGUCGACAGGAGAAUCUCAAGUGUCUUUCUUUUCUUCUAUACCAAAAGCUCAAUAAGAGAGAUAUUCAAUUCAAAGGUAGACAUCAGAAGAUGCUGUGCCAGGUAAAGUCAAGUUCCGGGAAAGAAUCUAUUACUGGCCGGGGAAGGUAAGAAGAAAAUACUGGCUACGCGGUUCAGGGAAGAGAAUAAUAAAGUACUUCCGAAGCAAGGUGUCAUGGAGACGCGACAUCAAGCCAAUAAUCUCUCUAUACUGUAAGUUAAGGGUUUAGGGCCGCCGGUGACGAAGAAAACACUUUGAUCAGGGUCCUUACACCUUUCCAUACUAUAUGCAAAAGAGAGAGAUUCCGCAAUUCCAGAAUCCGCUGGAGAAGGUUAGGAAGCAGUUCUGGUUUUGCCGACGAGAUCAGUAGAGUAUCUUUCCGUGCAAGUGAAGUCUACGAGAUCAUCCGGAUCUGAAUAAGAAGGGAAGGAGUGGAGUCAGAAGAAAAUAGCCAGUACCAUCUUCUGCCCUACCCAAAAGAAAGUAAUCCUUCCUUGCCUACCCAAAAGAAAGUAAUCCUUCUUUGCUCUUCCUUUCAUGGGGUUUAUUCUGCCGCAAUCCUUCUUUGCUCUUCCUUUCAUGGGGUUUCUUCCGCCGCCCUUAUUAUCUGUCAACAAACAAAGCAUUAGUUUGAGAGUGAGAUUCUGGAAAAGGAACUAAAGCAGAGGCUUUAGAAAGAGGAUCCGACCUCCCGAGCUUAUUAUCUUUAGAAAGAGGAUCCGACCUAGCUUAUUAUCUGUCUUCGGCAGGCAGGAUCGAAUGAGGAUGAUGGGACGAAUGAAUGCUUUUGAAACUACAGUUAAGAGCUUGCUUCAUUUGAUGCUAAGGAACGGAACCUUACUUAUCUAAGUUGCCGGAUAGUGGGAUAUGCCGUACUCUGAUUCAACCGCUUAUGUUCUUCGCCAAUGUUCCAAGGAUAAGGUUGAACACCUUCUAACAUAUACUUACGGACUACUCUGUUUUCUCACUUUUCGAAAUGCUCCUAAGGUAAACAACAUUUUGGACUAGUGGAAUUAGGAGACAAUCUUCUAAAUGUGCCAAGAAAGAGGUGCCCCAAUAGAUAGCUCUGCGGGACAGAUUCCUUCUUUGAGGCUUGGUAUGAUACGGUUCAGUUCCCUUUCUGCAAGGGCGGUGGGCCUGGACAAGUACGCUACUAAAUUCCACCGGAGUACUAAGAUCUAGAUCGAGACUAAGCUCUCAGCCAAGGAUAACUUAGAUGGGCUUCUUUCCCCACUAUUCAAUCCUUAGUUAAAGGGGCCGGUCCGAAAGCUCCGUUUUCUAUACAGCCGAACGCAUAAUUCCAGUUAUUUAUUGUCUCCAGAAAGCGAAACUACUAUCGUUACGCUGCACCAUCAUACGCAGGAAUGGAAUAUAGAGAACCGCUUCUUUAAUACCUUUCAAUAAACUCCUCACUUAGACAUGGCAAAACGGGACCCAUAAUAGGAACCCGUGGAUCUGAAGUCAACGCAGAAGGAUUGGAUUAUGCCUGAAUUAAUAGUAAAGGCCCUGCUUUCCAGGGGUGGAUUAGAGUUAGCAGAGAUGAAGGAAGUCGGGGGUGCUCCUACUAUUGGGGUGCUCGUUAAGUCGUUAAGUUACUGUGGAGCUUCUGUUGGGACUGGGCCUGGCAAUACUGUUCGAAUAGAACCUAGCUCAUUACUGCCUUCCCGCUUCAAAGCAUGGAAUUGACUCUGCCCCACCCUAGUAAUAGGAAUGAAACCACCUUCCCGGAUACCCAGUCCACAAAGAAUGAAACACAAAAGUAGGAAAGGUCGGAAUGACACUAAAGCAGAAGAAUGACCUGCUCCCUUAACUACAACUACCAAGUAUUCAAGUCAGAAGUAAGCCCCGCCAAGAGUCGAGGUGGGCAAGAGAGGCAGUUAGAGCGGAUCCUGUUCUAGCUUCUGAUUCAUAUCCUGCUCCAGCAAGACCAAGACUAGAAGUAAGGGAAGACUGAUUGGAAAUGAAUAAAGUCAAGGCUUUGGUGCGAGGCGAGAGAUGGCUCUUAGCACCUUAUUUGUUGAGACUCGGAUCAAGACUUAGUGGCGAGUUUACAGUGAAAAGUUCCAUUUGUUGAAUGAGUUGGGGCAAGCUAGUAGUUGAUUUAUUAUACAACAUAGCAAUCCGGGUGUAGCAAUGAAAGGUAUUGCUCGAGGCAAGGGGAGGCCCUUAUAGUAAUUGCCAAGAGAGGAAGGAGAGGCCAGUUGCCAGAGGUAUACGGAUGCGGCAGAUUGGUAAUACACCUUAAUGCUCGAUCAAGAGCCCGCCGGUUAGUUCAUCGAUUCUGCAUAAAAAUAUCGAUUAUUAUGUUAGGAUAAAGAGCUACUGUUGCUACUUAGUUUCAUUCUGACCUUACUAUUAAAGCCUCCACUCUCACUCUCACAGGAGCAGUAAAGUAUCUCGGAACAGUCGCUAGGGAUUGCAGAAGAUUGGUCAUAACCUUUCCCUUAACAGAAUCCGGGGAGAUUAGGUGAAAUAGCCGCCCUGUCGCGCCACUAAUAACUCAUUACUAUAUUCUUAUUGGAAUGUUUUCUUUCUAUCCAUCUUAUAUAAGCUUCUAUAAUAGACUUGACUUUAGUACACCUCGCAUCAAAGCCAAGAAGACUGGUAUGCCUGGUAUGCCCGGUAUGCCUGCUGGAUACCUAACAACUCUACUAAAGACAAAGUAAGCAUCAAGUGAUAAGGUAGCUGCAAGCGGGUCUUCACUGAACAGAUGGUUUUCCCCUUCCCCACUGCUCGAAGUAAAGUAUUUGGUUUUUGUCUUUUUUCUGAACUUGUAAAUUCAAUCUGAUAAUAAUAACAGAUCUCGGAUCUCGGAGAGCAGGGCAAUAAGAGAGGUGGACAGGCAAGGUCCAAUCUUUCACCAAGGAAAAGAGGUGGGUUCGGGUGAUGGCAAUGAGAGAGGCUCAACGCACCUCUGUGCUAACAAAGAUCGAAAUAUUCAAUAUGCGAGUUGGAGUCGGGCGCUAAGCUAAGAGAGUUCAAUUCCAGAAGCUCAGGGAUUAGUAGGUGGAGCAGUUAUUGACUUUCCCCUUUCCCGAGUCGGGUGCUUAGAAACUAUAAGAAAAGGUGUUAGCCCUUUCGUUUCGGUGGAAGUCUUCGUAUUAGAUAUAUAGAAAUAGGGGACAAUUAAGAGAUGGGUAACCAGCUAGAGAUAGAGAUUGGUAAGGGUAUAGUUAUUGUUGCCCGAGGAUGGGUAUGCAAGGGUGAAGAAGAAAGAUAUGGGUAUCAGGUAGAAAGAGAAGAAAGAGAAUUGCCUGUUAUAUAGUUCAAGUAGAAGUGAAAGUAGAUGUUUCAUCCUCUAUAGAAGCUGUUCCAGUGUUGGCGAUCAGAUGCUUGCUUGAUCAGAAGGUGUUUCAAGAUCCUUUCUAACGCUCUAAAUGACUACCUUUUAUUCCCUUCCUUCUCUCUGCUACAAGCCGAGUGAGAGUGAAAGUGGCAAGUAAAGUGGCUUGUGUUUCAGUCUGAAGCGGUACCUCGAGAUAGAGUUCAAGUGGCAAGUAAAGCUCUUAAAGCAAAGGUUUCCUGUUCCGUUUUCGUAUCAGCAUCGGCGUCAAGAGUCACUGUUGUGCGUAAGGGAGCUGCAAGUGCAAUUGCUUAUGUCAGGCGAUGAGAAGGAGUUGGCUUACCAGAAUCAACUGACAUACAUAUGUUUGUAACCAAAGGGAGAGGUAGCGGAACCUGCGAGGGAACUAGCAUCUGUCCCUUGAAAUCUAUAUUUGCUACUCACAAUAAGCUGCUGUUCCAAUGUUUGGCUUAGAAGCGGGAAGGAAAGAAAGGAACUCUCAUUAUUGAGUUUGUAGGAGUUGUUCUGGAGUCCUGUAUUUAUGGCUAAAGUGAGUUAGUAGGCUAUUCAGGUAUCAAACUAUCGAACAGAACCCACCCCUCUUAGACGUCAAGCCAACAAACACAUCAUUAACAGGCGGAUGCGGAUUCUCUGUCUCUUGUCAACAAUGAGGGUGCUACAGGGGCAGGGCAGGGGAAAACUCUACUCAAAAGUUUGAAUUGAACUCCUUAUUGCAAACCGACUAUAUUUCUUGCUGCCAAUAACUAUCUUGGAGACAACACUCGAACAGAAGGAUACAAAACGGUAGUAUACCUCCGCAUCAGAAGGAACUAUCUCUCCACGACCAACAUAAACAACUGGAGAGAGACUUUCUUACUUGCUCAUAACUCACUACCUUUCUACUAUUCUUCUCUACUUAACCGUUACGUGGGCAGUUUCGCAUUAAACAUUCCAUUCUUUCGACAACACUCUCACUAGGCGAACGAACAAAAAGACAAUCCGGCAAUUCAUUUACCAUACCCUCUUCUCUCUCUACUACAAGGAGCUAAAGGAACUCUACGACAAACAAAUACUUCAUUUCUAUCUAUCGAGUAAGCAUGUGAUAUAUAAUCCAAAGGGUAAAUAGACUGAACGAACAAGUCCUUUUUUCGUCAUGGCGGUAGGGCAGCUAAGAACCACUUCUCAAAUAGCUAAUUUCCCUAUGUUGGUACCCGGAAAACUGGAAUGGAAUCUCUCUCGUCAACUACAGGAAUUUCAUAUCUAUAGAACCAGUAUUUGAACCAACCUUCUUCUUUACCUUUUGAACCAACCUUCUUCUUUACCUUCUGAAGAUCUCGUUGAUGUCGACUUUUCUUUCUUCGGAUCCUUCUCUUGAAACUGUUUCUGAUCGCAGCUUCUUCACUUGCGGAUUCCCUUGCUUUAGAAUAUCAAUUAUGUGCAUUCACUACAAUAGACAGACCAGUGGGGAGAGUGAUACUUAUUUCAACCAGACGAGAUACUAUACUUUAGACGAUACCGAUAUCGCAUUAACCACAAGGCAGAGUUGGGACAGUGAACAAGCUACGUUUUGCUUUCCUUUGAGGUUGGUUUCUCUUCUCUUCCAUCUGCCACGGAACCGUCGUGUUCAGGAGCUAGGCGGGAAAGAAAAGCACUUUCAUUUUCAAACAAAUGCAGGAAAUGCUUAGCCAGCCGUUGCAGAAGCACUUGUUGGUGCAGAAGCACUUGUUAGUGAGUGAUCGCUUGUUAGUUAGUUUUCUUAAUGAGAAGUAUCGCUUGUUUUGGGUGAGUCUUUCUAAUAUGCUGUGGUUAGUUACUUCAUUCAUAUGCAACCUAAGCUAACGCUUACUUCUCUUCUGGGCACUGGGCAAUAAUAAAGUCAAGGUGCUUGGUGGCUUUCCCUUUGCGUGGAGCAGGGUUUUUCGAGUUCUUUACGUUGCUGGGCUUUCCUUUCCCUUGUAGUGAUCCAAGCAUUUCAGUUCAGAGGAAGCUGUCAACCUUACAAGUCAUAAUGUUACGCGUUAUAAUAGUUUCUACCCUUAACUAAAGCAAGCUGUCAACCCAACAAUAAACUCUCUCGUACGACGUCAAACCAAGAAUCUAUAUCGUAAACCACUUUAGCACCCAAAGGAACAACACUUGAAGAUUCAUAAUGGAAUUGAAACUCUCCAACAGUCCAACGAAUGCAUUUGUAGCCUAGAGCAAGUCCUUUCUGCGUUGGCUAUGUUAGCACAUAUACUGUUUUCGCCUGGAGCAAGUUCUUAUUUCGUUGAUUGAAACCUUGCUUUUUCACUAGCUUCUUGACUUUGCUUUAUAUACGGAAUUCGUGUUGAGCCGGUAAGUUUCUAAUUACGUAUAGAAAAAGAGAAUAUUCUGUGAGACUACGACUUUAUACUACUUGUUUGGUCUGCAAGAGAAGUUAUUGUGUCCGUAACUCUCAAAAGGUAGGCUUUUCAGAGAGAGUGAAGUUUGGGGGAGACGAAGCUGUGCUAAGGGAAGCUACAAUUCCAGUUUCGUUUGUGGAAAAAGAUAGUAUUGGCUCUUAAGCUAGCAAGGUGUCGUGGACGUAGAGAGUCUCUUUGUGCUUCUGAUGCGCUAAGUCCUGAUUACCCUUACGCUCUUUCAGCUUUACUUGGAAAUAAGUCUUCUUGCCCAACACAUACCUUAACCUUGAUUAUUGCCUUCUUAUGCUUAAGUAUAGGGUUCUAAGUCUACCGAGAGAAGUUAUUGACCUGACCGCGAGAGAGGAAAUGAAUGAUUCAGACAGGACAGACCCAGACUUCAGCACUAUAAUAAAUGGUAAGUGGAAGGAUUCUUUGUAUACCUUACUGAGUUUGACAGAAAGAAGGGAAUAGAGUAUCUCGCUCGUAUCGAGAAGCCGAGCCUAGAGAAGAAUCUUUUGAAGUGAAAAAGUAAGCUGCUGUCAGAGUUCAAUUAACAGUUUUCCUUGGUGAAAGUGAAAUGACUGUUUUCGUCUUGUUCUGUUCGCAAGUAAGUUGAAAGUCAUUCUGCUCUUUCUUGUUAAGGUCUUACCAGAGAGAGAAUCCGCAUGAGAGUUGAGUGUUGCGGUAAGGACGGGACAAUCUGUUUACCAUGAUAUUGCCUUAUUCCCCGGGACCUGAAUUAUGUCCUUCUUCAGUGCUAACGAGCAACAGAUGAAGCAGUUAGAGGAAAGUAGAGAAGUUAUGUUGCUGCAAGUGAACCAUCAAGUGAAGAAGCUGUGUUAGCUCCCGAAUAAGCUGUUCCAAAGUAAGCUGCAAACGGGUAGUCUUAAGUUGAAGUCUGAACUUCCCGGUGGUGUUCUUGUUUUGUCAACGAGAUCAGGAUCUUAAUAAAGAGAAGAUAAAGGAUCCGGCGUGAAAGUAGGGGGAAAGGAAGCUGCAUCGCCUGUUGCAAGGUUGAGCCUCAAGUCAGCGGGAAAGAUAGAUGGAUCAGACUCAGGCGCUGGGUUAAGGACAUAAUGUAAAGGCUUUGAAGCGUUAGCGGUUCCAACUUCAAGUUUCGUUCAAGGAUAGUUUGGGAGAGUGUAAGUUGAAGCGGAAGCAAGAUCGGAUCGGAAUCUUAUUCAAAAGACAGAGAACCUGGGUAUUUACUUGACUCUAUACUACAUGUGCUCGAUAGAUGAAAUUCCAUUCAUUCAUAUUGCCCCAUACUAAAGGCAAAGUUGUUGACAGAAGAUCCCCUGCUUGAAAAUGCAUUUGAGCCUAAGAAAUAGUCCUAUAGCUCUUAAACAUCAACUGAAACAAUAACUUCCAACUCCACUUGAAGAAACGAACUCCACUUUACUUCCAGCACUUGCUGCUAAUGACAAAACCUCUUCUGAUCUAAUUACUAUUUAUAUUGCACAGAGACCCUUAUUUAGCUUAUUGCCUCUUUAUACUUUACUGUGGAGCUGACUUCCUUUCUCUACGAAAACUAAGGUCAAACCAAUCACUGACACCGACCUUUCACAGUUCUGAACCAACAACGCAUGAACCUCUAGCGUAAACAAAGAGCUACGCUACCCUUAGACACAAGUAGAAGAUCGAACCUCUCUCCCACCAAAAGAACAAGACUCCAAGUUUCGCUAACCAACUUAUAAGAAUCGCUAUGACCAGACUUUAGCCUUAUUCUCGGCUGGCUUCAAUUCCAUUCAUCUUUAUUGAGGAUAAGACUUAUUGCCAACAGGAUAAGACGGAUUGCCUACUUCCCUUCCCGACCCGAACUCUACUACAAGGAAGAAGAAAGCCCUUCACUUUCUUGCAGGACAUAGGCAUAGGCACCGUGAUCCAUACUAUACAAUAUACUUUAAUACAAUAAAUAUACUUGACUUCCAUACUAUACAAUAUACUUUACUUCAAUCAGAAAAGAAAGAAUGGAAUGACACUUAUGGAGGAAUAGAAACCUUACUCUAAACUCAUAGCUUUGCUUCCUUAAUAACCUUUGACUCUAAACUCGUAGCUUUGCUCUUCCUUAUAACCUUAUUGUUCCGUUGCUUGUUAGCUUAUUCUUGUUAGCUUAUUCUUUUCUGCUGUAGUUAGUUGGGCUGAGUCACCCUUGAAUAGAUUUGAGUUCGGAAUCCGAAGAACCUCUCUCUCUAUCCACGAGACUGAAUUGCUUCUUCUAAAGAUUAUGACUUUAUUCUUCUAAAGCAUACUAUAGCAGAAAUAAUAGAAAAGAAAAUAUGACCGAGCCCUCUAAAGUUCAAGUAAAGGGGUGCUUGGCCAUUUGAGAACUCUCUUGUGCUAGACCCUUUUUCCCUUGAUAGUCUUUUGAUACUGGGAAACUUGUAAAAAGACCGAACUUCUACUUUAUAGAUAUAGAUCCGAGCCUCUAAUUGACUCUUUUUUUUGCUUAUGCUUAAGCCCGGAAUGGAUUGACAUACCUGCUUUUGCAAACGAGCUUGCCUAUCGCUACAAGAGAGCUCGGUUCACUUGCUUACUCUCUGAGUGCAUUGCUUGAAAGAGCUCUUUGCGACCUCUUCUCUUGCCCUUCCUUCUCUUGUGCCGGGCGUGUGAUCGAUUGGACCUUCCCCUUUUCGCCUGUAAUAGGAUCAAAGCAAAUGAAAGCGGUGGAUUUGAUGCUCUCCGGAAACAGCCGAAAUUGCCGCGGAUGCAGAGUUAGCACUACCUUGCUUCCGUCCCUCACCCCUUCUUUUCCUAUGUCGACGUUGCACAAUGACUUUACGUUAAGGGGUCAGUCAAGGUAUACACAAUGACUUUACGCUCAGGGGUCAGUCAAGGUAUAAUUCGUCAUAGUUUCCUUCGUUAGUCAGUAAUGUGGGUUGGUUUGCCUUCUAAUCCAGCUUGAGAUCGGCCAGUGUUUACUCGGAGUUCUAGUUAUAUUCGUGACUUCUUCGCAUCUAUCAAUCAAAUGACAUGCUCGACAUCCAUUCUAUCACAACCCGCGCCCAUAUUUGGCUAAACAAAGCACUUUAUUAUUAGUAGCUGGUUCAACAAGAGCAAUUGGAUCUUAUUGGCUUGCUUAUUCAAGUAGUUUUAGUAAAGCCAGUGUUUUUGUCCUAAACGCCUCUUCCCUUUCAUCCAUUACCGCGCAAUAGGCUGCUCUUUUUCCCAUCUCUUCUCCUCUUGCCUGCUAGACCCAAUGGAAUGGAAAAUAAGGCAAGCGCUAGCUACCUCCUUGCACGGGAUUUGUUUCCAAGAAGAAGUUGAUUCCAUCCUGCUAGUUAGAAUCCCUCACUUCACUCCCUAAAGGCGGAUUAAGACUAAGGCUAUUCUCGGGAGGCAAGGAAAGAGAUAUUCAAUCAACCAAGCAAAGAACCGAUACCACUACCACAGUAUUAACCAAGACAGCGGGAAGGAAUAGAGUCGAGCCCAAUAGAUAGGAAGAAAAAAGAAAAGCCCGGGCAAGAAGAGGGGACAACCUCGCUCUUGAAGUGAGUCCUCUUCUCUUAGUGGGAGUCAGAGUUAAAGCUACCUGAGCUAACUGCUUUUCACUCGAAUUAACUUCACUGCUCUUAGAGCGAGAAAAGGGAGUCGACAUCAAAACGGAACUUCCAAUCUACAUAUAGGGGGGCAGCUUCCUAUCCUAAAACUAGACCCCGUGUGACUCUCCAGCUUGUGUUCGCUAACUUAAAUGAUCUGUCAUCCAAGCAAACAGCACUUCUUUCCUAAUAAGAUUCGAGGGUGUUAGCGAUAAAGAGCACUAGGUUUACGAGAUAUAUAGGUCAAUUCCAUUAUUGAGUGUAUAAGGGUUCGUUAAAUAAAUAUACUUAUGUGCUAUAUGCCUUCCCAGUAUAGGAAAGAAGUUGAUAAUAAGGAAUUCACUGCAUUAGUGAAAGAAUAGCCAAGUGCCAGAGACCACAGAGCUCAACUCCAAGGUAAGAAGUCACAACUAUACUACAGUAUAAAGUGAAUAAAGAGAGGCAUAGGAUCAAAGCUACAACACCAUAAGAAUUGGAACAGAGUAGUCCAAGCCUGAACGCGGAGUACUUUAACACAUAAGUUAGCCUGCCGCUCCUGACCUCCAAUCUUAUCCCUGCCCGGACACUCCCGCUUCUGAGUUUUGCUCUGCAAUUAAUAACUAUAAUAACCGAGCUGCACAGAUAAAAAGAAUGAUAUCUCGGCCAAGCCUUGUGCCUGUUAACUUCCAAGCCUUCCCUUCCUUUCUAUUAGACUUACUUCCUGCCGAUUAGUCUACUUAUACUUACUUUUAGUCUUCCUUCCAUUGCUUUAACUCCUCCGAAUUGAACUAUUCACCGAAGAAGGACAGAAACAAGGAAGAAAACGACUACCCCAAAAUGCAUUAUUUAUAAGAUAAGGAGCUGGUAACUAAUAGUAGUGAAAUAAGAUAGGAGCGGGUAACUAAUGCUUGAGUGGAAUUCUUACGGUUACUACUGAUGUGACUAAAACAAUAGGCAGAGUUGGAGGUAUGCAAGAACUCAUUCACUUAGCACUGAGGCGAGGUAGGCCAGGUGGGAAACUGCAUCAGUCUUGUUCCACGCUGUGAAGAAGGUAGCCUACUUUGACUAUAAACUUAGAGAUUGAAAUUGGUAAGUUGAUGUAUAGAAUAGAAGAACUUAGAUUUAGCUGUUACUACGGGAGAUUGGAAUUAGAAUAAGUGUAAAUAAAAUAGACUACUAGACCUUAGCUACGAGGCCCUUAUAGUAAUUGCCAAGCAUCUCUGUCUGUUUAGGGUGUGAGUUGGCGACGAAAGAGGUAAUUGUUUCGAUUCUUAAAGGAGAGUUUCUUUGUUACAUCGACUAAGAUGUUUGGUUCAAAUGCAUUCUAAGGCAAGUUGAUGAGUUGAAAUGAACUGUAGCUGGUGGUAUUGUUGCUGGGUGCUCAAGAGGUUAUUGUCCCGCUUCUGCUGGUGGUAUUGUUGCAGGGUAGGGUGAAAUGAUGAGUUGCGAGUUGUGAGUUGAAGCCUGAGCGGACAGUAGUAAAGCCUGAGAUGCACUGGUUGAAGUCUUGGAUUGCUGAGCUUGAUUCUUGUUGGGGCGAGGCACUGUUUGAUUCUUAGACUUAGGGGUUCAAUUCUGAUCUCUGGAGAAGAGGUCUAAGGCUUAGUACCCUUGCUUUCAGUCUUAGUAUACCUUUUAGCAGUCCCAUACUAGCUACCCUUGCUUUCAAGCUUAGAUGCAGUGGUUCAAUUCCCAGACUACCCGGUUUUAGUCUUUGAUGAGCUUCUNNNNNNNNNNNNNNNNNNNNNNNNNNNNNNNNNNNNNNNNNNNNNNNNNNNNNNNNNNNNNNNNNNNNNNNNNNNNNNNNNNNNNNNNNNNNNNNNNNNNNNNNNNNNNNNNNNNNNNNNNNNNNNNNNNNNNNNNNNNNNNNNNNNNNNNNNNNNNNNNNNNNNNNNNNNNNNNNNNNNNNNNNNNNNNNNNNNNNNNNNNNNNNNNNNNNNNNNNNNNNNNNNNNNNNNNNNNNNNNNNNNNNNNNNNNNNNNNNNNNNNNNNNNNNNNNNNNNNNNNNNNNNNNNNNNNNNNNNNNNNNNNNNNNNNNNNNNNNNNNNNNNNNNNNNNNNNNNNNNNNNNNNNNNNNNNNNNNNNNNNNNNNNNNNNNNNNNNNNNNNNNNNNNNNNNNNNNNNNNNNNNNNNNNNNNNNNNNNNNNNNNNNNNNNNNNNNNNNNNNNNNNNNNNNNNNNNNNNNNNNNNNNNNNNNNNNNNNNNNNNNNNNNNNNNNNNNNNNNNNNNNNNNNNNNNNNNNNNNNNNNNNNNNNNCAGAAAUGAGAAAAACAAUCAAUUAGAAAUCACAAAUAAUCCAGAGCCAGGUAAUAUAGAAUCCAAUCUGGCAACACUCCCUAGUCAUUAACUCCUCUUGCUACUGCUACUAAUACAACAACUACCGGUAUUCCACUGGCAGCUACUUAUAGAUCUCAGAGAAUUAAUACCUUUCCUACCCGACCCUAUAAUGAAAAACGAAGCCCUGCCCUGGACUCGUCACUUUCAUAAUUUCAUUCAAUCUCAGAUGACUCAUUUAUUAUAUACAAAAUCCACGAACUUAUUUCUACGCUUCCCUUGAUACUUUACCUAUGGAGUUGAGAUCAUCUUCCUUAAAGGAUUCCACUGGAGCAGCUCUCUCCCGAACUCUGCUUUUACGCCUGAUUGAGAGCGCAGAAGAUAAGAUUGCUUUGUGGAUUAAGAUUGCUUGUUCUCUCUAAAGCACCUACCCGCUCAAAUAAGUGUUAGUGCAACAGCCUGUUCAAACCAAUAAGUGUGGUUUGCGCCCCAAGAACUAAGCGUAAGCACAAUUGCUUGUUGACUUCUGGAAUGGAAUUAGUUGACUACCGGCCCAUUAAUUAAGAGCACAGGUACCGGACAGGGUCGAUUAUUUACCCAUAUCCUUCAUGCCCAUGCCUAGACCUACAUCCUUCAUGCCUAGCUCCCUCUGCUUUACCUGCUUAAGAUUCUAAGGAAACUUCUUCUUAGCGUCAAAGAUGAAUUGAGUCUCCAUCUUUUGCAUAUAAUUAUGGAAUGGAAACGGACUCUUUUCUUUCUGUUAAGUAUGUUUUGUAAGGAAAGGAAGCAAGCCACUAGAGCAUUUUAGGGAGUUUGUCAGGAAAGGAAGAGCAAAGGGAAGACUAAACCAAACCAAAAUAAGGGGCUUGGAAGCUAUCAGUGAAUUCUUACAGUCAUUCUCACAGGCACCGGUUUCGUUCUCAUACCCCUAAGCAAACUCUUAUUCUUAUGUACUUGUUUUAUCCUUACUCGUUGUAGCUUCGUUCCUGUUCUUAUUAGUAUAGUUUGAUAACCCAGGGGAGUCACUCACUCCUAUACAACGACGUUCAAUUCUUUGUAUUUUGGUUAAUUCCGAUACUACUGUAGCGAGCUCUUACUUCUUUGUUUAGGGCAACUUCUUUUGGUACUCUACUUGUGGGCAGUGUUUCAAUCCGGACUUAGUGCGCUACACGAUACAUUCUGACUUUCAUUAUAAAUGGAUUAGGCAGGAACAGCAAAGUUAGAGACAUGAUAGCAAGAAUUUAAGGAACAACUACAAGAACUAGAUACGGGGGGGGCGAAGGCAAACUCUUUUUUGCAGGCUUUACUUUUAGGUGGUAUUUACAGACGGAUAUAGUUGGUAGCGUAAGGCUAAGAGAGAGCAGUGUCCGUUUUGGAGCUAGUGAAUAAAGGCAUUGAGGCAAGGUAGGCUCAUAGGUUUUAGUCGCAUUAUUAUAGGUAAUAGUUUGAUCCCUUAUUCUAAGAUAAAGUAUUGAAAUAGGUAGUUCAAUCCUUAUUCGCAGAGGAAUCGGACUUAAACAAAGGUGCUGAAAGCCUCGAGGCCCGUAACUACAGAAUAAGAGUCAGGUCGGUAAGCGCGUAGGGGGAUUCUGAUAUUGCUAGUAAAGUAUGAGAAGCACCAGUUGGUUUCUCAGUUAUUGAUUCAAGCAUUAGAAGCACUAGUCGCAUUCUUUUUAUAGUAGUGGAUUUCCUGGUUUCUUUCCCGGUUCGGCUAUUGCCAGUAGCUGUGUCAUUCCAAGUUUCCAGCUAUAUCCCUAUAGUUGCAGUUGCCUCAUCAGUAGUGUUUCUAUCCAUGUAGGGGCGUUUCGAUUCCCUGUUCCGAGUUAAGAUCUUAGAAGCGGUAACUCAAUUCUGGAUUCUAUUAAGUGAAAGCAUUAGAAGCGCUAGCUACAGUUUGAAAGUAAGCAUAGUCAGAAUCCACAGUUAGUAGAACAAAGAUAUGAAUCGGGAGUUAGAGAAUCCAAAGUCAAAUACAAAACUCAACCCAGCAGUAAGGGGAUGAAAACUAAGAUAGUGAGGGCGAUAGUAAGUAGAACAAGUCUGUUAGCCAUAGGUUGAUUCUCUCUUAUGAGAUUAUGGACGAGAACCUGGAGAGUAAGCCCGAGAAGCUGCAGUUCUAUUCUUAGAUGUAGUAAAGCAAGCAUUACUAGAUUAAGCGCGGCUGGUUAGUUGGAAUAGGAGUUUAGUGAAGGACAUCUUAGGUGCCAGUAUCGGCAGUGCAGAUGUUGAUUCCACGCUCACUUACUUUGUAUCCAGGUAGGGUGGUGGACUGACUUGGUGGUCCAACUGUUGUUGCAAGAGAAGUCGAAAGUCCAUUAUUGGCCCUGACCUAUAGGCCCUAUAGUUCAAGAGAAGAAGUAGCCCUUAUAGUCAGUUUCGGUUGAAGGUGCGAGUGUUGGUUCGUGGCUUUCCCUUUGCGUGGAGUACACGGUUGAAAGUUGGCUUGUUCCUGCGCUGGCUUAGUCUUAAGGAACGGUAUAAGAAGAUGAAUAAGCUGUUUGUAGUUCCUUGACUUCUAUCCCAUGUGUUCAAUAAGAUAAUAAAUGCUGUAUUUACUCCUCAAUGAGUAUCUGUCUGUUCUUGUUUCAAAUCCCUUGUUUUAUCGUAUCUAGUUGUUUGCUCCUUUAAGAAUGGAGUUGACUACUAGAAGCCGGGAAAAAAGCCGAAGAUAGCAAAUGAACUCUAAACUCGUUCCCCCAGUAGCUGCCUUCCGAUGGUAUCUUUUAAGGGCUCGUGUCUGGUCGGCUGUAUACUAGCUUCUCUGAGCAUGCGUGAAUCCCUGUCGGAAAGUAGAUUCCUCCGCAUGAAGGGAAAUCAAUUGCGUCUCGACUACCACCCUACCCGGGACUGUAAACUAUCCCAACAACCCAUAAUGACAUGACUGGAAUCUAAAGAAGUCGCUUGAACCCCUCGGUGCCGUAUUAUGAUGGAGAGCAUAAACCGUUGGGUCGCUGGAAGAGCAUUUGGAUUUGUCUAUGAAACUACAGCCUGGGUGGAAUGAUCCCCGCUUUCCUCGUUCAUAUGUGACCUCACCUCAUCUCCGUCGGUUGAAGACGAGGCAUCUUCUGACCCCACCCACUUAGCUCCCGGGGGGCAAACUGGAGGUUUGUGUUGGUAGUCUUCUAUCCCCUCUGGAAUGCUAAGUCUUGCUUCUAUCUUCGUCCAUUCUCCAGCGUAGUCUUUUGAACACCUCCUAAAGCUGCUUCUUGAAUACCGCUUUCUCUUUAUCCCAUUCCCACUUUCUCUGGUUGACAAAACCACUUUGCGCAGAUCACUCCUACACGAGUAUUAUACUAGCCUUAUAAAUAGCCUUACCAGCAACGGGGCUUGCUAAAGGGCUGUGAACGUUAACCAUUUGAAGUCGUAAGGCAGGCUACUUACUAAGGCAUUUCAUCAGGUCUGGAAGAAGUGGAAAGAGAAAAGGCAUUCGAGCAAAAGCGACUUAUUCUUGAAAAAUGUUUCUAUGGGGGUUAUAAGGAACUUGAAAAAGGCAUGGAAAGAAGUCUGCCCCUCCUUUUUCUAGUGAAUGUCGGAAAUCUUAUUAGAGAUUGAGAUUCUUUCUUGUCUGAGACUGUAGCCAGCUUAUAAGGAGAGUGAUGCACUAUUCGCUAAUUAGGAAAGAGGGUUGACUCUUGCUUGUCGAUCUCUAUUCCUCCUAUUGUAUAUUAAGGUCGAUCUCUAUUCCUCCUAUUGUAUAUUAAGUAUGUAACUUGCUUUCACUAGUAGCUGCUAUUCUCCUCACUGCAGAUAAGGCCAAAACUGCCUAAUACUAUGUCCUGUCCCCUGCUCUUAGAUUCACAAUGGAAUUGAAGAUAGCGCUAUCACAUCACAUAUAGAAAUUGUAGUAAAAACACAGAGCUCUAUAGUGUGGUUACAAAUUCUAUAUAUAAGAAUAUAUGUAUACUUAUUCCGGAACCUUCUAAGAAUAUAUGUAUACUUAUUCCGGAACCUUAUAUUGAUUAAGGCUUGGAAUCUCCCAAUCACCGGAUCGGAUCAGCAGUGAAAUGUAUUAUUAUAUAUCUGAUAGCUUAUUAAGUGGGUGGGCACUCCCAUAAAGUCUGUCUACAAAGCCCUUGACUUUCGCCUAAGGCAUCAGAUCCUAAGGUUUGAUAUGAAAUGGCUCUAUAUCCAGCCACUUCUUCGUCAUCAGCAAAGAGAAGUUACUAGCGGGUCGUCGAUAAGGAACUUUCCCCUUAUUUGGUUGGGGGCAAAGAAGAGCUUAAGACACCCUUUGUUUGCUUGGCGGUAAACUGAACUUUGCUAAUCGGGGCUUAUGAAAGACAUAGAAAACACAUUCAGACUGCACUUGAAAAGAGGAGUGGAAUAUAGAAAGAGCACACGCAACGCAACGGAGCCCUUCUUUAAACACCAACACCAGUAGGCUCAAGCGCUAUAGAGAAAUAUCUGAAUUCAUUAUAUGAUGGCAAAGAAUGUAGGUUUGGGGGUAAGUUAAGUCUAUGGAAACCGUAUCGAAAGCGAGAUCAGACUGACCUUUAUUGCUGGAAUGAUUCAAUAGUAGCAAAAUGCAUGUAGCCCGGGCCAAAAAGCUUGUUUCCUCUAGAGAGUUUCUCUUCGGCCUUGCCCUCCGCUUCUUCGAACCCGCAAUAUAGCAGCAAGCAAUCCCGCUUCAAAAAGAGAAUAGGGAAUCCCGCUUCAAAAAGAGAAUAGGGAUAGGGUAAGUGAUACCGAAAAAGACAUCAUCAUAGGUUGGGGUAAAGAAAUGAGAUUAUUGCAAUGCCAAGGCAAGAGUGAAUAUGACUUAUUGCAAUGCCAAGGCAAGAGUAGAUAUUAACUUAUUGUCGGGGCCAUCACCUCUGUUACAAGGCAAGAGUAGAUAUUAACUUAUUGUCGGGGCUAUCACCUCUGUGAGAAUAUAUGGAGAUCAUUUAAGUGAUCAAAGCGAAAAAGGAAUUUGGACUUGCAUUGCAGGCUUCUACGAUGGGCGGGAAUCAUAAGAAAGAAAGCCCUAUGAUGUGAAAGCUCCCCGCCCUUACGCCUCACCCUUCUACUCUUGGUUGACGAUCCGGUCCAAGAUUUCCUCAGUUCGGAUUUCUCUACGAAAACUAUCUAGGGAAGAUGAAAACCCAGUUGCUCAAGCACCGCAAAGGUAAUCCUCAUUAUGUUUGUUUGAACGUUCUUCUCCUGUUAUUUAUUAUGAUUAUAGAUAGCAUAUAAAGAAUAUGAUUAUAGAUAGCAUAUAAAGAAAGCAUUUAGUAUAUCUCUUAAUAACUCUCAAACUAUAGCAUAUAAAGAAAGCAUUGAGUAUAUCUAUCUCUUAAUAACUCUCAAACUCAUUCGUGUACAAAGCAGUGCAGACGAAGUCCAAAUCCAUUGCUUGGAAUUACAUCAUCUUUUCGUCUAAGGUCGGAUCGGAUGUAGGCGAAUCCAACCAAGCUAAGUUACAGCCACAUAUAAGAAACCUUGCAUCUAAUCUGAAUCAAUCGUUUGCCUUUGAAUGAGCUCAGUAAAAAGAUAGAGAAUAAGCUCAUUUAACUUCACUAAUGUUUACUGUGACCCCACUUCUCUAGCUGUUGUAAAAACACUAUGUUGGGAAUACUGGCCUCUGGUAAGAUAACAACUAUGAUGCUAUACCCUUUCGAAAACAACUAUGAUGCUAUACCCUUUCAAAAACAGAGUCUCUCCCAUAACUAUCCAAAAGUGGUUCUCUUUCCGAUUACUAUUCUGGGAAAAUCCAAAUAGACCUUGAGUAUUGCGCUUUCAAAAGAGAAAGGUACGGGACCCUCAUGGCACUGAUCGGCCUUGAACGGAAGCUACUUUGUUGGAGAGGGUGUGGAUGCUAAUUCCAAUGUUGGCUAAUGAAAAGGUCUUUCGUCAGUCAGCUAUCUUACCUUCAAUCUGACCUUAAAGUAAACCACCAGUUGUAAGCCGGGUUAGUGAAGCUCUUGACUGUCUUAUCCCUGGUUAGUUAAGCUCGGUUAGUUAAGCUCUUGACUGUCUUAUCCCUGUUCUCACUCAAUCCGGGUUAGUUAAGCUCUCUCUUGCCAGAAGGUGGAAGCAAGGGCGAUUACCCUACCCUUGGGAAGUAACGAUAAUGGUUUCUCCACGGAAUAUGGUGGGAUAUUUGAUUCUAUGUUUGAGUUUUGGGAUGGACUUGGAAUCCACUACUGGCUCAUAGGAUGCUUACUCGGAUUCUGUAACUGGCAAUUCGCAUUCUUCUUAUUAUCUCUAAUACUUGCACUUUGCCCUGGCUUUAGACCCUGACUUUCUUCUUUAGAGUGUAGUGGCUUGGGCAGUUUACGUAGGCAGUUGAGAUGAGCAUUCAAACAUCAAUUCCUUAACAGCUUCCUUUCGAACAGCUUCGCUUCCUCUGUGUCUUCUUCUCCCGCUUCAGAUCCGGAUUUCACCCUCUGAAUGAGAUUUGAGAUUCGAUGAGGCUUCUUAAUAAGAUGAAACAAGCAAUAGGCGAACUUAACUCCACUUUGGGACAGAUACGCUUGCGCCAACACACACCUCUGAUUCUUUAAUGACUAAUUGUUCUAUACAAUCAAGACCCCCGGAUUUCUCUUAUUCUUAUUCAUGGAGCUUCUUUUCUAAGGUUACCUUGAGACUUUCUUUACCGACGGAGAUGAGCAUUCAAAACGAAACUAUUUCCAUAGGAUCAAAGUCGAACAGGCAAUUCUCGGCAUAACACCCAUGUGAGACAGAGCUAAUGUAACUGAAUGAAUACUUUGCCUCUGGCCUGCUAGUCUAGGGAACAUGUGGAGGCAGCCCCCUCUACUGUUUAGUGAGUUUUCUUUUGGGUGUUUUGUUACAGUUGUCCAUUAUAUGUUAGCUCCAUUCCAUUUCUGAAGCGCGUUAGUCAGUUGUUAGGAUAGGGCCUACCAAAUCUUCUUUUGACUUUCCGGGGUAGGUGCCCAUCCGCUUUUCCACUCCAUGCUUUUUGGCCUUCAUUCUAUUCUUUCGAGUGAAGUUAGCCGUUGCACAAGAACAAGCAGUAACUGGUUGGUGGGUUUGGGGAGUUGGGGAUAGCGGUGGCCUAGCUGAUAGAUUCAAGUAAAGAGUCAGGAGUUACUAGUGCGAGGUUACUACUCCUUGGGUCUGAGUCCGGAGUGACUAGUGCUUAGAGGUUAGCACGGAGUGGGUCUAUAAUGUGUCAGUGAGAUUCAUUUCUUUGAAAAGCAAGUUACCAAGUUCCAGCAACAGGCCAAGCGUAUACCUUAUUUCAUGCAAGUUUAGUAUCAAAUAGGGAAUUAGGGAAUCCGAGGUUAGAAGCAGUUCCCAAAGGAAGGGGAAGCAGUCUCUUUACUCAGUGCUAUACCUAGUGAAAAAUCAGAUACUAUUUCUAUCCCUAGUGCUCAAUAAGUGGAAAAAGGUAGAGUUGCCUGUUUAGGUUCCAGUUUCUCAAGAGAAGCAAGCGGUAUCUAAGUCUGGUGGGUGUCCAAGCCUAACUGCCGCUUAGCUCGCUGCCGCCAUGAAUAAAGAGUGAUAACUCGUUAUGACCAAGUCCUGUCCUGUACGGGCUCUGCUCUAUCAGCUGACUCUAAAUCAUAUGUACUACUUCCUGCUUACUUUAAUGCUCUAUCCGCUCUGACUCAAAAAGCAACAGAAUAAGAAGCAACCGGUGCCUCACGCUACUAACUUCUUGUUUCGGGGUUAGGUGGAGCUAGAUCUGGAUCAGAGGCUUGAUCUGUGCCAACUCAAUCGGAUAGUGGAACAAAAACGAUUCUAUCUGUCUGUACCAACUCCAUAAGAGAAAUUCCAUACUGAAGUUUGAGGGUGGUAGGACUUUCCCUUUGCUUUGCAUGCUUGGCGGAACCUUGUAGUGGUCGACCCCUGCUCUAGCUGGUAACUCCACUGAUUCUAGUCGGUGCUGUAGCUACUUGUCGGCGAGUGACAGUUCCUGUUCGAGUUUCAUCAUAUAUAGAUAGAAUAAGAUAAUAUGCUGUGCGGUACCCAUAUAGGUAUAAUAAGAUAAUAUGCUGUGCGGUACCCAGGCGUUGAACCGCUCCUGCCGCGCAAGCGAACAGAGAAUAGUUUUGGUUCAUCUUAAGUCGCUAAUGGAAUGGGAACCGCUCCUUACGCGCAUUCGUGCUGUUGUUCCAAAGGUGGUAUUUUUUUUCACUAAGUCAGGAAAGAAUAAGGUCCGGAAUGAAUGAAGAAGGGAGUUGGUUACAUCAUUCUUUGUCAAUGCUACUCCUUUGUGCGGGGUAGAAGGACUAAUGGAAUUAUCCUAAGGAGAUAGAUUCUUUCUAAGCCUAUCUAUAAGAGGAUGAUAGAAGGCAUAAUUCCGGGGUUUCUAAGAAGGAAGUGGGCUCCAUCCCCCUAUUAUUACCUGAUAGCUCCAUCCUCUUCUUAUGUUUAUUACUUUAACACAAACAAGGGAUUACUGAAACUAUAGCACCGAACCUAGUAGCACCCAAAGCAAAGAGACGAGACUUGAAGUUCAAAACAAACCGCUUGCACCUGCUCUUAACCGGCCAGUACUGGAUUAUUACCUUCGCCCUGCCAGGCAAUUCUUCACUACUCUAAGAUUUCCCGAAACUACUUGUUCUUUCGCCCUGUCCUUGCUUUUCAUUCGCAACUGUAGUUGCUCAUCCCGUUGCUUGGCCCCUUUGCUUCAACUCCCCUUGAGUACCUAAUUGUGGAUUCUCUUGGCAAACUAUACUUUCCUUCCUCUUAUACUUAUUAUUCUGUUACCAAUGACCCAGUACAGGAUUCUUUUAUUCCCGCUUGGCACAAGCUACUACUCAUUCUGUUUUCGGGAGCUCCAGUAGGGAGUUAGUAUGAGUCAUUAAAGUCACAGUUUUAGGGGUCAGCUACUUAUCCCUUCCUUUGGUGACUUUGAUUCUCUAAAUGCUAAGUUAACCUACAUUCCAUUCCACAAGUCCAGUUUUUGGCUACCCCAUAUCUAUUCUCUUAGCGUCUAGACUGCUGACUUUAGACCGAGAUACUUGACUGCUCCUGCUUAUGCUUGAAAGCCUAUAUCCCUUUUUUCCUUUAGCGUGUAAGACCCAUGUUCCUAGUAGCCCCCUAAAACAUAAUGGUCGGUAAGUGAACUCUAUUCUUAAAAGAGAACUAGGUUUGUUAGGUACCCAUAUCUAUGAAAAUAAGGUUGGUCAGGUACCAAUAUCUCUAUGAAAAGAAUAUAUAAGUGUAUAAUAUGCCCUGCUUCUAUAUGAUCUCGUUUAACAAUUCGAUUCUUCUCCUUUAUUCAUCAUGGUUUUGAUGCCCCCUAAGUGGUCCAACCCCAAGCAUGAAAGGUUUACUCGGCAUCAGGAAAGAUAGUUUCAAGUAAGAUAGGUGAAGAAAGUGAUAUUUCAGUAGAAUUUGACUGAGACACAUAUAGACCCAAAGAGCGGUAACCAAAGAGAUAGGUUGGAUUCGAGAUGAUCUUCUUUCUUCUUUAUACGAUGACUUUUCGCACGGCAUCUGAAACUAUAACUGGAACUCUACUUUAUACAGCUAAUUCACCUUAUUCCUCUUCUCCUGAUCCUUCUGAUUUACAAUAUUCUAGUGGAUACUCAACGGAAGAAGAAACUAGCACAGCGUAGCCAAUCACUUCUAUUGGAGACUUUGCGCGCGCACACCUAAUAGCUACUGUUUCCUGCUCUGUGGUGUGGGCAUGAGAUUAGCAUUCGGCUUCUGUAAACUCGGAUGAAACUCAAACCGUAUCAGCUUCAUCAGAAGUGCUAGAUGAUGACCUUCCUUAACCUAGCUUUCCAGUCAAUACUAACCGAUACCCCUCUGCCUGGCUGUGGAAUGAAGUUCAAUCAAAAGAGAAACACAGGAGCCUAAGUAGGCCUAAUUCUGGUAUCAAAUCAAUUGAAUUAGAUGAACUCUAGUUCUUAAAGAAGCAAGUCAAGUUAUCGGUGAAGAAAUAUAAGUGAUAGUGGAAUCUGUAUUAGUUGACUACCCGGUAUUGUAUUAUUAGUAUGAGUAAAGAGGAAAGAAGUUUCAGAGUGCUAGGUGUGUUGGCUACUAGUUUCAUCCCGUAGAGUUAAUGGGUUUACUAAUGAAAUGGAAUCUAAAGCAGAAGCAUCAGAUCUUCUCUCCAACUCUGGAAGUAAGGUUUCAUCUAAUACAAAGAAUAAGGUGCUGAAAGCCUACAAAUACUUACUGAAACUAGCCAAGCUACUAUUGAGGAAGGAAAGAAAGCCAGUUAGUGCAGAGGCUACAAUUGACAAGCUUAAGGAGUAAUGUUGCCCGGAAAGCAGGAUUCCAGUCUCGUUGACUCGGCAGGGAGGAAAGUGAAAGUUCUCUUAGUGCUACAGAAUUGACUACCUCCCGGAAAGCUUAUCUCAAGGCGACAUCCCGGCCAAGCAGACAGCCAGCCAAGAUCCUUCAAUACCAGAUGCGUAAGAUUUGUGAUAUGCGUAAGAUGGGUGAUACGGGUGGUUCCUCUCCUUCAAUGCUUCAAUGAAUAGAUAUAACGGCCAAGCUUAGGAUAGACAAGACACGCAGACAAGUAACUACUCCAUUCCCUCACUGCGGUUGUUACUUUAGCGUAACAUUAUAAGUGUCUUGGCGGGGAUUCAACCAGAACGGGAUCAGGAGCAGUACUAAAGGGAUGGGAUUCCACUCGCCCAGCAGAGCCAGCAGGGUUCAAUGAAUUGUAAACAUUGACUAAGAGAGCUUAGUUACUUAUGGUAAAAGGAAUGAGACCUUCUAAGCCCCAUAACUGCCACUACUGCUAUACCCAAACCAUACCCGAAACUAAGCUUUGGCACUAAGAAUAAGGGAACGAAUAAAGGAACUCUGCCUCUUGCUCUACAACAGUUGUUACCGAGUCCUUUGUUUGGGUUAGUGACUUAUUAACAGCAGUGAAAUCUCAAUAGGGAACUUCACCUUACCCAGUAGCAGUGAAAUCUCCAGCUCGGAAAGCACUCUCCAUUAAGUGGUAAAGAGAAAGGGUUGAUACAAUGCAAUCGGUAACUAUUUCUUUGAUACCUGAAUUCGGCUACUAUACUCUGGUUCCUUGAUACUCUCUCUGCUCUAGCUGUUAGUAACGAGUCCUGUGUGAGCCUGUCCGGUAAGAACUAGUUCGGUUUACAAGGGUUUCGUCAAAGUGGUAUUUACUACUUGUUUAUAGACUUACCCAUCACCUGCAGGCUCUGGCUCUGUGAACUCGGUGGGCAAGGGGCCAAGCAACUUCUAAUGACCAAGCAACGGCGAAAGACGUUGGGCGGUAGCCAAUAAACAGUUCUUACGAAGUUAUUACAAUAUAUGCCUUCGGCGGCAGGAGCCCCGGUAAUAUUAGUGGAAUUCUGGGACGAGUGAGAAGAAGACCGCUACUUAGCUACCCGGCUGCAUUCUGGUUAGCACUAGUUUCAGUAUGUGGCUAGUUAGUGUCAUUCUUAUCUACUACCCUGGAUGCUCUGAUCCACUACCCUAGAUGCUUGGCCCUUUGACAAUAGGUGGUUUAAUAACAUUCUUAUGGAUUAACUCGUUGAUGAAUGGAGGGCCCACUUUACGACGAGAAAGAAUUUGUACUCUAUAAAGCGAUAUUGAGCUGUAGUUAUCAAGUGGUCGUGUACUGUGUCUAUAGGAGAAUCUUUUAUCAACAUUUCUUUGACUACACUCAUUGCGGGCAUCCCUAUAACAUUUCUUUGCCUACACUCAUUGCGGGCAUCCCUCUCGGUCGAUAUUUCAGUAUUCCUAUAUACCCUACAAAAGAUGAAGUCUAUCAUAAACCCGGACUCCAUUAUCAUCUCGUCCUGUACCGUGGUCAAGUUAGGGACUCUCUCGAAAACUGGGUGAUCCCUAGCUGAUGCGAUCCAGCCGAGAUGGCGGAUCAACCGGAUCUUUCAUUCCAUGCCUUAUCUUUCGUUUUACAGAACUUCUAGCACUCGAAGCAUUCUCCUUAUGAUGAGAGAGAUGGUCUUGUUAGAAGGCGAGUAGUCCCUCUUGGAUCUUCUUCCUGCCAUUAGCUAAGAGACAGCUGGAUCGGACCUCUAUCUCGGACUUCCUGAAUUCAUGCUGGUUACAAAGAGAAAUCCACUCGCGGAAUCAGGACCUUGGCCAAAGAUGGAGUAAUAGGUUUCCGGGUAUGUGAGAACUUGUCGUCUUUGUCAGCAGGACCGUCGUGGAGCGGGUUGGAGCCAUUGCCUAUACAACAUCAAAAAGCUUCCAUCGCCCCGGAGAGACUUAGCUUAAUCUGGACGUCUUCCCAUUUCCAUUAAUUCCUUGACUUGUAACGAUAGUUCCUUUAAGACCAGUAUAGGGCUUUCAGGCGCCUGAUCUUAAUGAUAGGUGCGGUGCCGAGUGAAAGGCAAAAGUCAAGAUUACGUGCACCCAUGUCAAAGGUAACCGAGUCAUCGGAAAGGAAAAGGGAAUAGGUGGUUUUGCGCAUCCAAGGAUAAGGGUUUUGUUGCUUAAUAGCGGAUUCGUAGGUUACUAAAAAGAAAGUGGGAUUGGAAAUGGAACUCUCGACCUGACCUGGGGCGGAUAGGAAUUUCGACUUUCAAUGGAAUCAUUGGCUGGAUCGAGAUUAGAGCCCUUUCAUGAGUUUGAGCCCAGAGAGAUACCAAACUAACUGGACCUACUCCAUACACUUUUGGAAAAGUAGGAGCUUGUUAGUUAGUAUUUAUAGUAUGCUGUGGUUAGUGACUUAAUUGUAUCAUAUGCAACCUAAGCUAACGCUGACUUUUCUGUUGUUGCACUGGGCAAUAAUAAAGUAAAGGUGCUUGGCUUUCCCUUCCUUGACCUGACCGCAGGGUUUUUACUGAAUUCUAUUAGAUGAGCGCUCUCUUCAACAAGCAAGGGAACAAGUGAGUUUGUCGGCGCAAGAACAAGUGUAUGAGUGACAGAAGCCCUUUAACGAGGUGAGUUAACCGGCGCAAGAACAAGUGUAUGAGUGACAGAAGCCUUUUCUCGAGUGCUUUUCGACCUUGUAGUUUCAGAGUAGAGUUCCAGAAGUGCUUGUGUGCCAACCGUCCUUUGAAAUGAGUAAACGUUCUUUCUUCAUUGUCAAUAGUGCCCUUUCAGAUGUGUGGUGGGAGACCCGAUCUUAGAUCCUAAAUGGAGUCUCGUUGCAGGAAUGGGAUAAAUAAAGAAAUACUAUUACUGAUUUCAAUGAGAGUGGGAAGGAAGAGAGCAAGGAAGAGGCAUUCUGUUCUAUACUUUAGAGUGAGAAUCCUGGAGAAGAAGAGAAAAUCAUAUAAUCGAUUCUAUAUCCUCCAUAAAAGAAGGAGCUGUUAGUUAACUUAUGUAUGACUGACUUUAUCCAUUUUCAUGUAAUUCUCCAAUCUAUUUCUCUUACCAGCAAGCGGGAACGAAAGAAUAAGCAAUUGGGGGGCAGUAUGGAACUUGAUUCAAUAAUAAGAUAUAAGGCCCAAUGAAACAAACUAACUAACUAUGUUUUGAUUCGGAGGAUUGGGAAGUCAAUAAGAUAAAGUAUAGUAAGGCUUAUGAAUUACAGUACUUGGUGCAGGGAUAUAAUACCCCGUAUAUCAUGAGGCAAGAGAGAUAGAACUUUCUCAUUGCCGAGAGGUUUACUUCAGACUUCGAAGCCUCUAUUUCGGGUGCUUGCUUGAAACCCGGCCCGGCCCUGACUCUUUUUGUUUCCUAUCAAGAACCACUUCCCUUAGGCAACUCCAUUUACUGACUUACUAUUUCUCUAUCUCCAUAUGCCUCUGUCUAUCUUCCGACUAUUUCUCUAUCUCCAUAUGCCUCUGUCUAUCUUCCCCUUUUCCACGGGCUGGCUAAUCGAGUGAGUGCUUUUUGUGCAGAAAGAGUUAGGUAAGAAGGAAAGUUCUCAGAUACAGCAAUGCUUCUCUCUGGGAAAAAAACACUUGAUGAGGCUUCCUUACCAGAAGAGAAAGAGAAAGGAGAUGGACUGAUUCUAUGGUAGUGUUUAUUGCUUUCAACCUCCUCAAUUUCCUUCUCUCGUAUGCCAUCUGAGGACCUUGAUCCCCACUAUAGUAGCCCGAGUAAGAAAGUCCAAAUAUUCAAAUAAUGGAAAAACGCGAAGUUGACAGUUCUCUUUUUGCUAGAUUGACCUGACUUCAUUCGUGAAAAUCCGAACCUAUUGUAUUCCUGGCUGGAUCAGACCUCUAUGGGCCGAGCUCGUUCUUUCAUUUUAGGGAUUUUCUUAAAGGAAAGAGAAUUCUCUGGAUUGGAAAGUGCCCCCAGGUACGUAGACCUCGAUCCAAGCCCUUUUGUUACGUUAAUGGGAUAUCUGCUUUGGCAUUUCCCAAGUUCCGUUCUUCUAAAGCUUUGAUUCUUGAAACCUUAUUUCUUUGAUUUCCUUUGGAGCGGUAGAGAAAAAGAAGUAGACUCUCGUUAACUAAUUCGAAAAAGCAUGCUUAGAAACGUCUCUCUUUUGGAGGGUUGGAAGAAUCUAAUAUGAACAUGGAUUUCUAGUCCUUAAGUGUUGUAUAUUUUAUGGUUCUUUUUAUAUGAAAGCGGAUUGGAGACUUGACCGCGUUAAGCUAGCCCUCCGAACCGCUCUCGCUCGAUCAUUUGAAUAGGGGAAGUCAUCAGCUAAAAAAACUCCUGCAAGCCGCCCACUAAGUAAGAGCUCUGGCAAAUCAUUGAAUAGGAGUGUUGGAAAGCACUCAACUCAAACCUGCGCAGGAACAAGUAUAGUUGAGAGAGGUCGGGCCGGGUGUUAGUGUUUAAGUAGAGUUAUUGUGCGAAGAAAAUCCAGUAUAGGGUCGAAUGGCCUGAGUGUCCCGCUGCUUAGCCUUGUGAAACUGAUUGUACUGCUGGAGCAAUUGUGAAACUGAUUGUACUGCUGGAGCAAGUAGGUUCGAUAGGUGGGGUAUAUUUCCGAGUGGAGAUAGGUUGGGGAAGAAGAAAGUGUAUAUCCUAUAGAAGCAGGACUAUAAGCAAGAUCCGAAAGAGUUCAUUCCGUUUCUGUCGAGGUCCAGUCUCAAGUCGAGUCACAGUUCAAGUCAGAGUGAAGUCGACAACUUAAGAAGCAGUUUCAAGAGACGGAUCAGGCUCAGAACGGAAAGUCGAAGGUUGAGACAGAAUCUAAUCUAAAGUAAGCUGUUAUAGCAGUUGAAACAGAGGAAGCAGUGGUCUUUACCCGCAAUUAAUAAGUUAGCAAGUCCUUUUGAUUAGGCUAAGGCGUCAGUUAAUGAUUUUCCUGGUUGGUUGACCCGGGUUGGUUGGUUUACCCGGCACUUUUCAUCGUAUUUAGAAAGAAGCUCUGCUGAGGUGCUCUAGCUCUAAGUCUACGAGAUAAGAAACAAGUUGGUAUAGAACCAGAAUAAGGAACAGUGGAAUAAGUAUCUUCAGCAAUAGAUGGGGCAAGUCUUGUUGAGGUCGAGGUGAAAGUCAGAGUAUAAAGUAGGCGGGAAGUUGUUAAUUGUUCAAGAAAACAGUAGAUGUAGGAUUCCUUAUAAGGCCUUGAUCCAGGUCUGAUAGCUAGAAGAUGGAUAACCACCGAUUUGAUAAGAAAGUAACAACACAGCGAUACUUACAUGUUGAUGGAAGAAAGUAACCGAACAGCGAUACUUACAUGUUGAACAAAUUGCUUCUCAACUCACUACUGACUUAUGGAACUUGAAUGAAUUGGGGCUGACUGACCUUUUAGGUAUCGAAUUAUUGCGCAUGUCGUUUGUUGCUAGCGUUACUAAUGAUGUUUCUAUAGCUUAUUUCCUAGUAGCUCUGUUAGCGAGUUUGGCACUGCUUACAAUUAUUCCGCUUCCUAUGUGGGUGGUUCAUUGAUGUGUUGAAGCAGCGCUAUAGGAUGCUUGAGUUUGCUAGCUAACGGGUUAACCCAAUUUCCAUGAAGGCACUUUCUUUGGUCGAGAGAGAUCAACUCUACUGUCUUUUGAUUCUCGUUAUGUAAGCCUUAACCACGCAGUCUAUAGAUAGAGUUGGGACAGGCAAUACUUAACUACACUUUCCUUUCGAACUGCAAUGGAAUCUUUGGACCACCAAUAAUAGAGUAAUUAAUAACACUGUUUCUUUUCUUAUAAGCUAGUCCUCUUAUUCUCUUGCCGACCUUACCUCUACAUGAAGUUCAUAAUUGGAUUUGAUCUCUCUUGUACAUGGUAUAGCAUUUGAGUGUAAAGAUACGGAACUUGUCCUUGUUUGUUGCGCUAACGGAGCUGACGGUUAUGCAUUAGCUUACUUUCCAGGGUGUCAAUAUUCAUGAGAUAGUUUUUGAGUGUUGUAGAGUUUCGCAGUGUGGUUAGAUAGAGCAUGAGCUGGAUCUGAAUUAGGAUAUUAAGCAUAAGAGGGAGCAGGAGUAGUGUGCGAAUCCCUUAAUGGAUAAAGUAAUGCAAUCAAACAAACAUGUGAACAAAACUCACUAGCAAACUCGGUAAUGUAAGCUUAUUCUCGGGAUGCGUUAGUGAGCUCGGGCUCGGGGCUAAUACUUAGCUUCUUUUCCGGAACUUGACUUUCCGUGGGCAGCGGAUUCUCGAGUGGACUUGAAUUGAUUUGCUGCUGACUUUAUACUCUUACUUUUCACUACUUAUGCUGACUUACUUUAUGCUGCUGAUUAAGAUUAUGCUGAUUACUCUUAUUCUCUAAUUACAAUAAUCAUAUUAUAUACGAUCGAUUGCCCUUACUUAUUAAGGCUUGCCCGAACUACACUACAUUGCCAACACAACACCGAUUUGCUUCCCGUAUCAAGCAUCUGAUAUUCUCAUUUCGGAAUGGAAUGAAAGCUUACGGAGUUUUGCUUCAUCUAGCGUUAGGCGAGUUCCAGUUAUUUGUUCGAGUCGAUACUCUUACUCUAGAUGAGGUCAAUUCGAAUCCUCGGACACUACAUCACGGGCUCUUUACAGAAAGAGUGGCCCAUAGCAAUAGCUUUUAGGGAUUCUCGAUCCUCUAAAGUCCGCCUUUUUCGAGAUGUACGGAAAAGGAUCCCCUGGCUUUCUUAAUAGCUUCUUAUUAACUUGCCCUAGUUUCAAUACUCCUUUACUAGUUUCGACUGGCUUUCCUUUCUCAAGUCCCCACGGCAAAUAAUACAACGUUAUCGAAAGCUUCAUUUUCCAGGAAAGGAUGGCUUCAUUUAGGUGUUAAUCUAACUCAGCUCAAUCUAUUCGCUCACUUAGGAAUAAAUGACUUUAACUCGAUGUAUUUCCCUUGCUUGCUUUACGAAACUAGAUUUCACGGAACUAGCAAGAGUGCGAGUAUAAGAGGCCCUUUCAAUAAACCCUUUCAGUAUUACCUACUCUCGAUAGAAACUCUUUUCUCGCCUACCCUUCGCCACGUCAACAGGAUCACUGGGUACUCCAACAAAGGCUGGCAAGCACUUUCACAAUGGAUAUGAUUAUUUUGGCACAAAGCUUAUUAGAGUAUUCUUCCAAAGCAUGUUCUAUAAAGCAUGUUCCUUCUAUAAAGCAUGGAUAGCCGGAAACUAGCAAUAUUACAAGAGAGAAAAGCCACUCUAUCUGAAUCGAAGGUGCUUGCAACUUCACUUACGAGGGACAAACAAACUUGAUGGUAUCUUGUGUCAAUGGUAGCUGGAUGGCCCAGUUAAAGCUCUCCGCAAUCAGAAUAUCCGGCAUUCUUUCUAUCAGCCUCCGAUAAUGGGCAUUGAGCUUGAGAAAAUGUGGAUAACCUGCCUAUAAAGAAAGGUGCUGCAAGCCUUAGAAACGAAAGAAAUUGAUACCAUCGAUAUAGUCUUCGAUUCAACUCGAAAGAAAGUCGAACCUAGAAAAACGAGAGAGAUAUUUGCUAAUCAGGCUCCCCUCCAGGGGUCUCGGGAUAGCAUAGCAAGUGAAAAAGCUGGGAAAAAGCCCAUUUUGGAUGAGGACGUGUGUGGUCGCUGAAAGCCACUACUAUUCCUGAAGUAACGGAGUUCUGAGAACAAGAGGGAUGUGGUGACUAGCCAAGUGGAAUAUGUCAGGCACUCUCCCAGUUAAUUGAUUAGAGCAGGUUGGAAAAGCGUUACUUAAUUGUUUGAAAACUAGAUACAUUCUAGGCUCUUACGUGAAGAUCACUUACCAGCUCUCUAUUGACUUGACUCUAAUAGCCAUAACUAUUCUAGCCUUACUGGCGGAGUUAGGUUCUCUGAUGAGUCUCCCCUUCUUCCGGUUGCUGCCGAAGUAUAUGCUCCGCUUUGGUUAAUAUCCUUGUGCUAUAGCUAUCUUUGCUUACAAUUUGACCGAUAUAAAAGGCGCUUCAUUAAUCUAUCCCUCCCUAAACUAGCUGUUUAGCAUCUUCAAGCUUGGGAAAGAGUGCUCAGAGUAUAUCGGCUAUGUGCUGCCUAUGUUGACUUGGAGGUCCUAAGCACGUAUCUAUCUCUCUUCCUCUCUUCGCUUUGGACUUAAUAGAUUGAAACCCGUUUUUGGAGUGCAAAAUGCCUUUGCUUUGUUUUACCCCUGUCUUUCUUUCUUAUUAAGAGUUUCGUUAUUUGUUUCUUCCCUAUAUAUAUAAGAGUUUCGUUAUUUCUUUCUUUCCUAUAUAUAUAAGAGUUUAUUAGUUAUUUGUUUCUUCUUUUUCUUUCUUAUAUAUAUAAGAGUUUCUUUCUUUCUGAUUUUGCACUUCACUUCUUAUUUGUGUUUGUGUUAGUUUUUCGAAAAACCUUUGCCGAGGAGCUCAUAUAGCGCCAAACAUAAGUCUAAAGGAGAUCGAUAGGGUCCACGGCUCGCUCUUUAGAGAGGAAACACUAAAUGGGAGCCGAUGGCAUUACAUUGACAUGAUUUACAAACGGAGCUGGAACUCGAGGUAGAGGAAAAGGGGGGCAAGGAGGAUGACUUUCUUAUAUAUUUUCGAAUUCGAGAUGAGGGAUGAGCGAGACGCUUGUGCCAAUAACACAUUGGAUGGGAGCCUUCUCUUCUCUGGCUAAAGGUUUUGCCGCGGGAACUCGCACAGAGGCCUUAAACUAAUCAACAUCAUCCUUAUUCGGGCCUCCAUGUAGAAAUCAACCUCGUACGCUGAUCCUUCACCCCCCAAUUCGAUGGGAAAAAGGAAAUGGAAAGUGUCUUGCAGAACAGAGAAACGGAGAAUUUCUUCUUUGUUAAUAGAUGGAACACUAAUAGAGGUUUUUUGAUCUAACAUGUGUUAUACCCAAACCGGAUCCAUCACCUAGAACGAUCUCAUCAGGCCCUUUCAUACUCAUAGUUCAGAGAGAGAUUGCUUAAGUCACUGGUAACACUCUUAGAGGCAGCCGAGUAAACAAGCCAUCCUUUCUUGAUGGGGGGAGAGGACGACGCACAGUUGGCUACAGGAUCCUUAGUUUGGUGGUGCGCGAGGACAUUUUCCGGCGGUGUGGCCGGCUCUUCCAGGUCAUUAGUUUUAGUUGUUAGUUUACACACUCUUUUUUCACCUUGGGCUUUCUGUCCAUUUCGGUUAUUGCUCUAUUUGUUUGCUUGAUUGUUAUUGCUGAGCGAGUGUAAUUGGCUGUUGCUAUGGAUACAUCACUACCAGCUUCUUUUCUUAUAAGAGACCCCUCAUAUGCCACCAGCUUCUUACCCCUCAUAUGCCACCAGCUUCUCAUGCAACUCCUCAAAGGUUAUGGGAUUUUCUCGUGCACGAACCAGCAAUCUCCUUUCACUCUGACCAUUCUUAGCAUUCAUAACGAUAUCGUCCUCAGCCAAUGGUGCAUCAAUGAUGGCUAACUCAUCUUAGAUAGUAUUUCUCUGUUGUGCAAGUCUUUUGCCACAGGUUUCGAGUCAUGGCGAGUGAGGGUGAGCCGCUCUUUCUGAUUCAUAACUCUUGAGCGAGAUCUAUUUGCAUAAAGUUUGCCAAGCUUCGUCUAGGCUUCAUGAGAUGUUUUUUCAGAUGCUAUAAGAGGCAUGCCCUAUUCUGAGACUGAUGCAAUGAUAGCAUGCAGCAACAACGGAUCCUGUCGAACCCAAUAGGUGUAGGAUUUGGUGAGACCGAGUGAUUAAAGGGCACCCAUCCUGAACAACGGUCUUUCGAAGGGCAUGGCACAGAGCCAUCAACAAAGCCCAUCAGGUCAUAACCAAGAAAAGCUGCGAGUGGAACUGAGAACGCCAUGAUGGAAAAUUCAUGGGCUUGAGUUUCGUUUCAGAGGUGACUGGGCAGCGGCAUUGAUCGAAAUAAGGGCGCUGCUCGAAGCGAGUCAAGUAUAUGUAUAGACAACCACGUGAGCGGCAGUUGAGUGUUAUUGGAUGCCAUGGGGGGUGCUUUUCUCUCUUGCUCGUUGGAGCGUGAUUGCUCCGUUACCAUGUUCUACAAUCAUGUGCUCCAAAUUCCGCUAUCAUAGGCCUAAUAUUCUAGUGUUGCAUCUAUCGCCUCUGGGCUUUCUUUUCUAUUUCUUUCACAAUGAAAACGUCGUGCAGAUGCUCAGGUGCCUACGGCUGGCUGGUCAAAUAACAGGGAAUCAGAUUAUACAAAAGAGAAACUCCAAUGCAAGAGACAGAAGAGAGAUAAUGGGUUUCUAUGAAUUGGCCUGUCCUACGAAUAGGCGCUGUCCAGAGUUCCACUUUCGGCUUGGAUGGAAUUGCUUAAGGAAAGGCUACUUAUUUCUUCCCUUCCUAUUUCAUUGGAGUGCCUACUCUUGCUCGAAAUUAUGAGAAAACUCCCACCUUGAAGAGAGCUAAAUGAAAACCAACAAUAGGACUGAAUGAAAGCGCCAUCACCCAAGGACGGAACCUUUCCUAUACCAGUACUUAAGCAAGAGACUCUUAUAAGUCCAAUACUGAUCAACGAAUAGAAUGAUUUUGCCGUAUCGGGGGAAGCGCUGAUUCAAAAGACUGAUCUUUCUGACUCAUUUUCUGACAUUGCCUUCUCUUUCUGACAUGAGACUUCUCUUUCUUUCAAAGGGUAACUAGCCUAAGAGUCACUUCCGAAGCGCAACGUAUGGGACGAAAUCCGGCAUUGCUAGCUCUGAAUGAAAUAGAUCCAAUCCACUAUGAAGGCAAUGGGUCUGGUCUGAGAAAAGAUAGGGCCACGCCCCUACUGCCUAUAGAAUGAUUGCCAUUAAACACACUAUAUAUAUGGAUAAAGGAUGGAAUGGAAUGAAAGAAACUCCUACUGCCUAUAGAAUGAUUGCAAUUUCCAUAUAUAUAUCCAUAUGGAUAAAGGAUAGAAUUGAUAGAAACCCCUACUGCCUAUAUUCAAUUGAUAUUCUACUUUGAUGGAUGGAAUUGAUAGAGAAAGAAAGCACCGUCAAGAUCUCGAACGGUUGAGGCGCUUUUUCUUAUCCAUAGAAAACAGAAAAGAACUUCCUUCGCGAGGAGCCUUUGAAUCGAUGCACCGAAGAAAGGAAAGAUCGAGAUGCCCUUUUAUCAACAUCACGGAAUCGUCGAGAAUGAUGAAUUGGCUAUUUGAAAAUAGGAAGAAAACCACAGCAUGUAAGGUUUCGGUCCAUCUUACCAUAUAAGGAAAAGCCCCAGAUACUUGAUCUGAUUCCCACUACUAUUUAUUAGCUUAAGUCACCAGACCUAUCAGACAGGGAUAAUCAUUCUGGUCCUGUCCUCUGGGGGAAUAACUUCUGAGACCUUAGAGCAAGUGUAAAGACCAAUCCAGCAGCAAAGCAAAAUAGCUGCCCCGUUGUCUUACCCGCCAAAAGGAAAAGCAGACAGACCCAUUCGAUGCAAUCCAUGGUAGUUGUGCCUUAGCGAGCUCUUUUGAAAGACAUUGUGCUUACAUAGGAGUUCCCGUCUUCCGCUUACGUAAGAAUUAUGUGAGUUCCCCUGUUUUCGCAGUGCUUGUUAAGUCUUAGAAAGAAUCUGAGGUGAAGUCGUUAACAGCAAUCGGUUCUGUUCCAGUUGCCCUUACUUAUAACGGUUGGUGACUCGAAUCCUAUAAUGAAAGACGGAAUAGAAUGAGAAACUGCUGAAGCAAGGUGUGGUCCAAGUCGAGUUGUGGUGCUAGGAAAGGAGACAUUGAAAACAGAAGAUACUGGAUCAGCACCAAACACUGUUUCAAGAGAAGAAAAGAAGCUGCGGUGUCAAAGUGAGCAACUGGCGGUUCCGUUCGAGUUUCACUUACAUUAGAUAGAAUUUGGUAACCAAGGAUAGGAUAGGACACUCUUUAGCCCGGAUCAGAAGCCUCAUCAUUGCCAGUGAUAGUUCUAGGUUAAGUUUCAUCCAUAAGAGCAUCUCUUUCAGUUCGCCUAGUUCGAGUGUAAUCCUUAUAGAAAUAAGAUCGAUCAUCUCUACCUACUGUACUGAUAAAGCUAAUGCUGAUGUUCAAUCAUACUCGUCUCUUUCUCUUGAAGAUAAGGAAUAGAUGAAGUUCUCUUGAGGAUAAGGAAUUGAGAAAGGUGUUGUAUAUAGAGAAAAGUCAUAUUAAUAAGAUAUUAGAGUUGGAUAUAGAGAAAAGUCAUAUUAAUAAGAUCUUAGAUGUGAUGCAAGAGAGUCGACGAGAUAAGUCAUUGGCUCUAAGUCUUUAACAGGAGAAGAGAUAGGUUCCGUUCGAGUUCAAGUUGCAAGAUCCGUUCUUGGCUACCAGGUUAUUUCUUGGCUUGCUCCCUUGCUUCCUGACAGCUUGAGCAACUAAGUAGGGUCUGUUUUCGGCUACCCAAUGAAAUAUAGUGCGCAGAUAGGAAUUUGACAAUGAAAUCUUGACUGAAGAAUGCAAUUGAGAGCAGAUAGUGCACCCAUACAUCCAUUAGAGUUGAGAGUGAAAGUCUUUGUUUGUUUUUGUUGGAUUCCUGGGUUAUUGGGUUAUUAUGAUCCCUCGCCCCAAAGGAAAGUCUUGCUUUUGGCAGUUCUAUUCUGAUUAUUGACUACUCUUUUUCUUAUGGCUCAUAUAAAAAGACAGGCUUUCAGCACCCGAAUCCUUUGUUCGUCCGCCUGUUUUCGUUCCUGUGUUUGUGUUGCGCGGCAGGAGCCCCGGGGUCGCAAAGGAAGCUUGAAUAUAGAAACUCAAGAAAGGCCCGGGAAAGAGCAUCACUACUAUAUGGAAUUAUAAGAACUGGUGCUCUAGUGAAUCAGUAUUUUCGUUCUUGGAAUCCGUUUUGUGAUUAAUCGACCGUUAGAGGUUCAAAGUAUGACUUAAAGACUCUCAAUCAAUUAGUUAUUUUCAUUAAGGGUUGAUUCAAUGACUCAAUUUCUCCUUGAUAAGGAAUUUGUGCAUCAGGUGCAACGACUUCUGGUGUAGCUUGGCUAGCCCCAGAGGCAUUUGCACAUUCAUUUUCCCACCAGAGUUUGAGGAAAGACACUGGAAUUGCCCGAUGUGCCCGCGCACUUCUUUACUUGAUUCAGAAGCACUUGAUUGAGACCACGGGUUACGUCUAGAAAGAUAUGGGAUAUGGGGAUAAAGGGCAGCCGGAGCCUUUGUUAGCGUUAACAGUACAGCUAGCUUCACUUUCAAUGGGUUUGCUUUCGUUUUUCAUCCGGGGCUGUGCCCUGAAAGAGACUACAAGAAUACGAGGUAGUGUUGAGACCGAAGAAUCCAUUCCAUAGUGACCUUGCUUGUCAAAAGGCAGAAAUACUCGCAUCUCUAUCACCGAAUCCGGAUUCUGGUUCUUUCUUUGAUAAGAAUCGAUCCUCCGUUUGCCUUGGCUGGAAGAAGAAGAUUUAGCAGGUAGUAAGGGAUGACAGCUGCCCCCAAGGUUGAAUGAAGAUCUGAUCUCCUUUCUUUCUGAGGAUCAACUAGUAGUUCCCGAUAAAGGAAAAUGACACUGAUUUCGGGUUUCUCUAUUUUCUUUCAUUUUCUUAGAAAAGGUGUGUUUGUGAGGCAGAAAAGAAAAGUAAACCUACCUAUAAAUAAGGCUUUCCAGCCCCAGCCAGUAUAACUAGAAAAGCUAUAAAAGUCCAGCUGUAUAACUAGAAAAGCUAUCGAAGUCCACAUACCAAAUAUGGAACAUGCAUUUCCGAAACUUCCAACUAUAACUAUAAUUCAAGCAUAAAGCUUAUGGCCAUGGGAUAAGUUCCUUUCGAAGGAAGACCUUUUACUUGCGAUUGAAUGAGUUGGUUUGCUAACAGGGGAGAAUUCUAGGCAAGGCAGGACUACUUUCUACUACAUUUUCAAUCAGAAGAGACGGAUUUCCAUUUUAAGGACAAGGAGACAAUUUAGUAGACCGCGGAUGUCAGCACCUUAUUGUUGGGUAGGGCCCGAGGAAAGAAGGAAAAGCUCAAGUGGUUGUCUUCCCGACACAGGGAGCGGAGAGCCUAUUCGUAGACCUUCGGAUAAGACAUAGAUAGGCGGACUUCCCUUAGUCUAUCAAGGAAGAAAAGAAGGAGUGAGUUUAGUACCAAAAGCCAGAGGUGUUACCGACACAGGGAGUGGAUAGCCUAUUUGGAGGCCGGCAGGGAAGAAAUAGCUGACUUAAGCUACUACAGCAAGGAAAGGAAAAAGCCCGAAGUGCGGCACUAACAAAAGUCCAAAGCUCAGUAAGCACUUAUACUUUCUACCCCAUACAUUAGCACUUAUACACUGUCAACAACAGUUGGGCCUGUACAAAUUCUUGUCUUGCAACUACAGUUGGGGCUGUACUCAGUAAACCUUUAAUGGAAUCCAUCUUAUAAAUACACUAAAUAUAUCAUCUGUUGCAUUAAGAAUUGGUUCUAUCUCUACUAUAGCAUUAAUCAUUUAUGCUGCAAUCUCUACCCUAGCUUGUAUACUCGAAACCUAAACCUCUGCUGCUUGUUUACUCUAAACCUCUGCUUUGUCAAGCAUCUGAACUAUCAUACAGGGCUAAGCUGUUUCUCUUUGAUGAGAGGUAAAGGGUCUCGUGCUCGUCCUCGCUGUCAGUCGGUAGGGUAGCGAGUAGGUUAUGGUCUACCAGUUGGAGGGUCCGAGUCAAGUAGGUGUCUGAGGGAAAGGCGAAGUCCAUAAAAGAACUAUAUGGGGAUGCCUAUCUCUUCUAUUACAUAGUUGGAUUGAUUCAUGUCCCUCAGUGGAGUUCCGUUAUUGAAGGCAGUGAGAGCCCAGUAGGAGAGGCGUUCCAGAGUAGUGGUCCAAGCAUUAAGGUUCAGCGGCUAUUACUCAGGGUAGUGAAGGAACUCCUAUAUGUCACUAUUGCUUAAGUCAGGGUUAAGGUCCAGAAACAUACUUGCUUGUAUAUGAAGGUACCCAUAGCUAUUGGUAUAUGUUGGUGCUAAUAUUCAAUCAAUACAAUAGUAGUAUUUUAAGUCCUCUCGUGGCUUUCCUAUGGAAGCAGGUGCCUAUCUUAUCAUAAUGGGUACAGUAGAGCUGCCAACCACGCCUUUACCGAGUCCACUGGGUCUUGCGCCGCUCCUACCCCUUCUUUCCUUGAUAAGUAUCAUCCUUCUCCCCUUUACUGAACCCAGCUUUUACACCCAACACAGAAAGAGAAGAGCACACGACAGAAAGCCAUUUCGUUCUCAUCCGUCCGCGAGCCUAGGCACGAAACACAAGUCUGUUCACCACUGCUAAAAAGAACGCUAGUGACCCGUAAUCCGACUCUAACUGGUGCUUGCCCACUACACAGACAGGAAGGAAAGAAGCAUAAUGUAGUAUAGAAUGCAGCCUAUCUAAUCUAAUGUAGUGUCAGUUCAACAAGGUAAAGGAAUGACCUAUUGUACUAAGUGUAAUAGUAUAUGGAAGCUAAGAUUUCUAAGUAUAUUAGUUCCAAUCUUACUAACGCUUUAUUCAGGACUCUCGCUUAAUUCAGUAAUGGCUUAAAGUCAAUAGUGAGGUUACUUAUUAUGUUAUAAGAUCAUAUCUCUCUCAGAUUUCUAAGUCUUACAUACAAGUAUCAUAGUAUCAUAGUAUAAAUUAGGUGCCAACUUCACUAUAUAAUAUUCCAGGGUGGAGUCCUGAGUUGCUUGUUCAGUUCAGUCUAAAGGAACAGUAUCAAAGGAGAAAUACCAUCUAGUAGCUCUGCCAGCAUGGGGGUAGUUCAGUCUAAAGUAAGGGUAGCAAGUGUCAUUGUCGCGAUAGGUUAUUGGCCAAAGGCAGGAAAGGAAGCAGUUAGAGCAGAGACAGCAGUAAUGGAUGAGCUUUGGAGUUUCGGGGAACAAGUUAGAGCAGAUCCAGUAGUCAAUAGAUGAGCUUUGGAGUUUCGCAGUUAGAGCUGAGUUAAGGGAGUAAACAGUCAGGUUAAUCAAUUACGGAAGUAGUAUGCACUCAACAAGCUAUGUUACCAAGUACUAGCUACGUUCUUUUAGUUGCGCAAACAGGUGAGCUUUGGAGGAAAGUAAGCUCGAGAAUCAUCUGUGUCAGCAGCAAGCGGGAAAUCAAGUGUAGAGUAUGGUUGACGGUUGCCCGUAAAGUAGACAUCGACAACAGAAUCCGCUGUUACAAUAAAAUCAGCAGCAGUGAGAGUUUCUAAAUUGACAGUGCCAGCAACCAACAGCAAAUAUAUUACUUGCUACCACUUGUGGCUUUGCUUGUUCCGGUGAUUUCAUCAUUUUCCCCUAGCAGUGGAUUCCCCCACUUUUCGCAAGAGUCCCGAGUGUGCGCAAGCCCUUAAUGCGAGUUCCAGUUCCGUUUGAGUGUCAUCAUAUAUAGAAGCGUAGGUCAAGUCAAGUAUAUAUAUAAGCUAAGCUGUCUUCGGAUUCUUAAGCAAGCAGUACAGUCAUUGUAUCAAGAAGCCCACGUAGCGGUUAAGCAGUUCAGUCAAGAAGUCGAAGGGCCGCCCAACGUCUGACUUAGUUGCUUGGCCCCUUAUGCUUACUACCAUUCCGAGUCUAUUUACUAUAUGUGCUUAGUCUAUUCCUUUAUUGGAUACACUAUGCUAUACCUCUCUUAUAAUGAGGAGCCGGGACAUGGGAUACUAACAACAGUAGAAGACCUCACACUCAAACACAAACAUAUGAAUUGAAGGCGGUAAACUAACCAAGUUAGAGCUAGGAGAGGAAGAGUCAAAGGUAGAAUACAAGCAACAGAGGGGUGAUUGAAGAAUUCGCUAUAGUAGUUUCAGAGUGUGAAUUGGUAGGUUCAAUCUAAUGGGGCAGUGUCCAAUUCUUUAAGAUACCCGUGAGUAUGUAAGUGGAGAGUCUAAGCCGGUUAUAUGGGUUGUGGGUAGGCCCCUUCCCUUCCUUUUGUGCAGUCUCUGAUCUCUAGGGCUACUCUUUAUUAGAUUGCUUCAGCUGAAGAACCCAGACUGGCAUGAUUGGAUUGAAGCGGUUUACUGACAAGACGUUCACGGAAAAACAGACAGACGAUACAUUCCUUUGUAUUGAGAGUGAAGAUGUACAGAGUAAGCGCGCUAAUCGUUUUUCACGACAGGAGCGCUGAAAGGUGUUGAAAGAAAAGAGCCUUUACUUGAAUAUAGGUGAAUAGAAUAUAGGAAUGAUUCGGAUAGAAUAUGGGAAUGAUUCAGAAGAUAGUUCAUUAUUGAGAGAAAAGAAUGGCUUUUGAGUAAAGCAUAGGAUGCAUAGAAUAUCUGUCUGAGUUCAAACACAAGGCUAUGUGAAAGAUCCGGUCUGAAAACGGAAAACACUAACCCAUUCAAGGCAUUGGAGAUAAGUACGCAUGGUGGCCAAACCUGUGAAAUCGGGACAGGCAAGUCAGUGUACCGAAUAGACUGCCUUCCUAAAUAGAGAGUUUCAUUCAUACUCUCCGUAAAUGAGCUAUCUGUCCUUCCAUUCUUUGGAAGGUGCAUUUAAUCUCCUGUCGUAAGCGCUAAGAAAGAGGCAGGAGAUCAAUGAAAUAUGAGUCAUCUUGUAUAUAUCAUAUCAUACCAACCCUAGGCAAAAAGAGACUCGGUUCACUAUUCGCCAUCGCAUAAAAAGCAGCUCUUUCCUUCUAUAUAAGCGGAGUUCAAAAGUUUCAAUAAGUAUAAAGUUAAGAGAAACUAGCAUAGCAUCUUUCGUGAAGAUCCACUACCAUCUUUCCUUUUAUUUCCUCCGCACCAUCUCUAAGUUCACAUUUCUUUUGACUCCCAUUAGAGACAAAUACAAAACAAACACAAAAGGGUAUAUUCUUUAAAUGGCUUUUUUUGCCCAGAUAGAAUAGGCGUGUUCAUACAGUUGUAUAUUCAACCAAAGAAUAAUAAGCUAUCACUGAAGAAUUGGACUUACUAAGUGUCGACUUACUCGAGUUUCUUAUGAACUGGGCUUGGAGCCGCUGCUAGAUAUGCGCUUAAAACCCCAAUACAUAAUGGGUCUUUUCUACUUUACUACAGGGGAAGAGCUGGAAAGAGGGACAGUAGCUUGGGACAGGUGAAACAAGAAAGCCAUCCGUUAUGUUCCCGUGGUUGAGUCACUCACGAAUGUUUCGUCCCAAUCCAUAUUGCUUUGGUGGGGAACGAGUAGUCCACAUCUCUGAUGAUCCACAUAGUCUGCUUGCUUUUUAUGUCCUUCAAGAUUGUCGGUGGGUGCAGAAUAUGGCUCUUUCCAAAUAGAUGAGGGACGGCGUUUUUGAUACCUAAGUCAGAGGAAGCUAUCAGACGCAUUGGCUGGCUUAAGAAGAUCAGAUCUAUCACGAAUAGGUUUCACAGCAGCUGCAGUCACAACAGAGGAGCUCGUUAUGAAGUAAAGUACCUGCAUUCCACAUUGGAAAUGAUACAUAGAAGUGGAAUUGCGGUCGUAACAUUCUAAUGCCUUAAUUGGGAAUACGGGAGAUCCUUGGUUAAGAUCUGGCUCGGAUGCUACAGGUAGCUAAGCUAAGCAUUUGGAUCUGCUACUCGGAUUGCAAAUGGUUCCAAAUACUGGCUGAAACGGAAUACAAAAACCAAUUGGUGGAACUACAAAUGAUGAGUAAACUCGGUAAAGUACUGCUUGCUACUUUUAUUAGGCGCUGAGCUAUGCAUGGACGCCUAUCGAGCUUCGUUUGACCUGACCCGACCCUACUCAUAUCCGAAUAUAUUACUAAUAUCCUAAUAUAUAAUAAAUAUGAAUUUGAUAAUAUAUCUUUGCCUUUAUGAAAUGGAUAAUGUAUCUUAGCCUUUGUUUGUAUAGUAUACGGGUGAAUGGUUUUAUGGAGAUACUCAGGGUCAAACCUUUAUUAAAGAAAUACUAUUUCACAUCUUUCGUGAGAGAGGGAUCGGAUCUAAGAAUCACAGUCAAUGCACUCUAUCAAAACGGAUCCUUUUUCUCCUAACAUCAACUUUACCGCCUCUUCGAAACUACAGGGAUGCUGGCUAGGACUGGUUCAAUUGGUGCUCUGGCUGGGUCAACUACUGAGCUGAAUCAACAACUUACAGUAGCUUAGAUGCAGCUGUAUCCGCAUUUCCACUUACUGGGUCGGAUAUGAUUCAAAUGCUUAAGCCUCUUACGCUGAUCCACUGGAUGCUGCUUCAACGCCCUUUGCCACUUUCGAAGAACUACCGUUCGGACUUGUUUCUUGCUAUGACGGCAGGUACGGAAUCCUUAUUCUAGGCUCAAGCGGAAGAUAUAUCAGAACCGGGUAAAGAAGAUCUAAUUGAUUCAUAAGAAUGAGCGGAUUAAGCAGUUACAAUGGAAUAAGCAAGUGCCCGUAUCUGAUCCUGCUUGAACUUCAUCUUUCUUUCGCCUCGCGGUCAACUAAUCAUUAAUUCCAUCUUUCGAGCUUAAGGAAAACAGUAAAGUCAACUAAUUCCAAUAAUUCAUUGAACUCGCCUAUAUCAAAGGAAUGCAAUCUAAAGGGCUUUGAAGCCGGAGUUUGCUUGCAGCUAACCUAACUGCUUCCAUCUUUUCUUUAUCUUCGAGCCUAUCUUUUGAGACUAUACUAUAAGCAAAGCAGGGUACCCGAGAAAGUGUUUGGAUUCCAGUUCAUGCACUGGAGCCUUUCUUUACCAACUAUUAGAAAGAAUCCCCUCCUCAGUAGCUAAGUGGUAUACGGUGGUAUAGCAGUUAUCAUAUUGAGUGUUCCAUAUGGGUUCGUCUACUUGACUUUGGUGGUGCUAUGCUAUAUUCUAUUUAGCUUCGUAUAGGUCUAGCUCAGUAGUGAAGACCACGUAUUACUCUUUUUUAGAAAACGCAACUUACCUAUAAUGAGAAUGGGUGAAGUUCAUAUUGACUUGGAUAUUCACUGUUGGUACUCGUACUAUCACCUCUGUAUCUGCUGGAUAUAGAUAUGGCUCUAAGUAACUGUCACUUAGUCAACAGGUUCUUCGUUCAAAAACCGGAUAAAAGACUCGCUCAGUUAAUGCUAUUGGUCAAAAUGUAACUACCACGGGUUCUUUGACUGGAUCAAGGUAUGUAUAUGCUUAUGGCUCUGCUCUUGCAACCCUAGCUUAUGGUGCUGGUCCUACAACAGGGUAUUAUGCAACUGAUGCUUUUUAUGUAUUAGCUACUUAUGCUCCUCUAGUGGUGUUGAUACUCGGUAGAGACAAAUCCAACCCGAAGAGCACCACGCUUGUUCACGAACGAAGUGGUAGUCAAUUUCUAUAUGUUUGGUACGGGCAUUCAAUAUUGGAUGGACGGCUUCUCAUGCAUACAGUUUUUUCCCGACGCCCUACUAUAGGGUAUUACGGGCGCACCGAUACGUCCGGCUCAUCCACAGCUCUAUCUUCCGAGCCCCCCUAUGUUGUAAGUGAUUGGGUUAGGGGGUGAAUACAAGCUAGCAGGCAAUAAAGCUAGUGAAUCAGAAUUCUAGUCAAGAUUGACUUGUCGUGGUUUACAGUGGCUCGCUUGGUGAUGGAGGCCCCGGCAUUCUUUAGACCAAACUGAAUCACCUUGUUACCCCUUUCUUAUAUAGUGCGCCGUUUUCUCUCUGUCUCGAAGGUAGGUUAAGUCAAGUGUCAAGUCAGGGCUUAGGUUCCAAAUGGGGGCUGGGCUGGAGCAGCAACUCUCGCAUCAGCUGUAGCGGCGCAUUGUAAAGGUGCUUAGUUCGUCGAGCAAUUUCAGGCUAUCUGAGCGGGCAGAGGGAAAGCAAGAUGAUCGACCGGCUACAGGAAUUGCAGAGGCUCUCGAACUUUAUGUGCUCACUACUCGUUGCAUAUCCUGCUCCUCUUAUAAUAGCAGUAGCUCUCCUUUAGUAGCUAGUGGCUCUUCAUAAGGUGGAGCUCAGUGGAAUAUGCCGCCAACAGCAGCAUCGGUCGAUAGGCAGGCGAUAGUUGCUUCGGUCAUCUUCCCUGUGUCAGUCUAGUCCUUUGUGCCAUAAGAGUGCCUGCAAGGUCAUUCUAUGAGGGCUGCCUUACUAGCGUUCCUUCCUAUAAGGCUAGACAGACGAUUCCACAUGUUCGUCCGUUACUAACCGGCAUUUCUUCCAGAAUUAAGAGAGAGUAGAGCUAUUGAAACAGAAAGCCUAUGAGGCUCGGUACGCUAUACACAUCCUGUUGCCAGCAUCAAAGACCCUUCUUUCCUUGUGCUCCGGCCAAGUCUUCCCGCUCGCCCAGAGAAUUCUUCCUUUUAGAUACUCACUAACGCCCUCCUUAAGGGUCUUGCUCUUGAUCCUAUAACUCUUCAAUCCUAUGAUUGGGGUCUUUGUCUUUGGGCUCUAUCUUCUUUCUUAUUGAAUCUAUAGAACUAGCUCGAGCAAGCUUAAGAAAAAAGGGGGAAUUUCUGGUACUAAAGGAGAAGGGUUCGUGCCUUUCCCCGAUGAAAAAAGAAGGAAUCUCAUCUUUGUUCUAUGUUUGGGAGUAAGCCAGUCAAUGUGCCCGCUGUUGUGUAUGAGCAAGCGAUCUGAUCCUAUGCGCCUUUCUCCUUUUAGUGAAACCAACCGUCCCUUAGCUCGUGUUAUCAGAGUCACUUCAUCCAGUUUUCAAUAAGGAUGAGAGGGCUUUGAAUGAGAGAAAUCAUAGUUCGGGUGUGGUGAAGUCUUGGAUUGGAAGUCAACUAGCUCGACUGGAAGUAAACUAGCUCGACCAGUUGCUUAUAAAGAUUUUCCAGAAGAAGGAAGAAUUGCUGAGAAGGCUAAUCAUAUAGUGCAUUGGUGGAAAUAUGUACUCUCCCCACGAAGGGUUGGAUCCUUCCGCUGUAUAAUCUCGCUUGACUACUGGUAUGUAUGUCCGAAGUCCCCUUCUAAGCUAAGCCAAGCUCUCUGUUCUCUUCCAUUUGCAAGCUCUUUGAUAUCCGGUAGUUUCCCUUUGAAAAAAACACCUAGACUCCACUUCGGUAUCAUUUUGGAUUGAGUUAGCUAGGGCUCCUUUGAUCGUGCAUCUUCCUUACUGCCUUAACAUACAGCCUUCUUAGGAUUCUACAUGACAUGAUGUAAAAGACUAAACCUCCCCUCCUUCUUAAAGACUGUCCUACCCGAGGCUAGCGAACCCACCACCCAAACUCAUUAGCAUUCCUGCCUACCGCUAUACGUGGGCGCUGGAAGCUAUUGAAAUCGGACAAUUCGGAUUGUUACUGAGACGCGUAACACAGGCUAAUCGAUGAAAUGAUAGAGUGAUAAAGGGGCUAAGGCUCACUACGAAAUUGAUUGAAAUGGUGGAGAGAAUCGGGAUGAAAGGUAUGGAUCAGAUCGAGCCCGAGAUGCGGAUCAUGAGCAGAGCAAACCAAGAUAUUCAAUGGAUAUGCAAUGAGGGAGCGCUAGCCCCAAGGGUCAGAGAAAGUAUAGCUACCCGAGCUGUCAUGAGUUCAGUUCAUAAACUCAAAGGAGUUGAUCUUAGCCCUUAAGAGGGGGCCGAGGCUGGUAAUAAAGGUAUGAAAGCCAAACCACUUUCCAUUAAGGGAAAACGGAGGCAGCUUCUUCGUGCUAUGCUAUAAGUGGGCGCCCCUAGACCAUAGAAAGAAUAGAGCCAACGGUGCAGCUUCGGACUAGGUAGGGUGUCGAACCUCAUGUUUUCGAUCUCAGCCCCAGCCCCACUUCUGUUAUGCCAACUACCAGUAUUAGAUAGUGCCCCCAAAAAGGAAGCUUUAGUUCCACUUCUAUUGAUGCAAUAUACCCUUCCAGCGAGUUUUCCUAUCCCCGAGUCUAAGGGGUAGCUUUAUAUACUAGAAUACUGGUGCCCUUAAGUAAUUGCAUCCGAACAUUUUCUACAUCAACCAGGGACGAAUGGGGGUCGCUUCCUCUCUGCUAUGCUAGGAAUAGGAAUACUUGAAUGAAAAGAAUUAGAAACCCUUGCCUUACUUCCGAAUCCAUGCGGCUUUUCUUAGGUCCGUUUUUGUUACCCUUUUACUUAGAGUUAGAGUUAAUGUCUCUAUCGAAGUUCUAAGAUUACCACUUUCUGCAUUUUAUUCCCGGCCUGGAUAAAGUAAAGACUUUGGGCACGUCCCUCUAUAUUCGUUUUCUGGGAAUGCCUCUACCCACUUGAACUCUCUGGGUGCAUCGAGACAAAGUAUCAAGUGUCUUUGUGAUUCAAUUCUAUAAGUGAGUAAGCAUAGCAUCCUCCAGUUCUCUCGUCUUUCUCUUUCUUCUUUGAAAAUGAUGUUAGGUUCCGAUCCGUAGGUUUUAGUGAAAGGGAUGCUCUAUCUGCUUUCCCUUCUUUCUUCUAAUUAUUUCUACGAGUCUAAAGGGAGUUAUAUUCUUUUCUCGGGGCUUGUUUAUUUGAAUAUAAGUCACUUUGAAGAUCUAAUUAGAAUUAUGCAUUCGAGGUGCUAAGUAAAGAAUCAGAAUUUCUAUCGUAUGGGAAAGUCAAAAGUCCGGCCGAUAAAAAGAAGUCGAAAUAUAACGCCAAUCCCCGCGGUGAUCUUCGCUUAAGAAAAACUCACGAGCUGGGCUUUUCCACGGACAAAGAAUGGAGUCCAACAGCUCUUUGUAAGGCGGAAGAAACAUAUAAUAUAUAAGAAGCGCUGUCUCCGAUGGCAUCAGCAUGCGUCUAGUACAUAUUUCUUUCUCUUGUCUUCGUAAGUCAAGGGUGUUUAGUUUCUUUUCGUUUUCAGUCCUCUUACUCGUUUGAUGUGUCUUCAUGUAUGGGUUGAAAGUUGGCAAAACACUUGUGGACCUCACGUUUAAGUCAGUCUAGUUACAUGAAUGUAAACUACUGUACUGCCCCCAUCUGAGAUAAUGAAUUCAGAUAUAAUUGAGGUCCAGCUCCUAUUUUGGCAAACUAAAGGGUUUGUGUUGAUCCUCAAUCUCGUCCCCUUCUGGUCUCUCUCUAGACAUGUGUUCUUUCGUCGAAAGCAUUAUGUUUCUUUUAGCCUUCAUCUUCCUCUGCCGUUGCUUAUGUAGGGUCCCGACCUCCUUCUUCUAUUCGACUUGUGCCCUUCCGGAGACUUCAUCUUUGCCAUCUGCUGAUGACUCUCACCCUCGUCGACGUGUCUUGUGUCCAUCCCUAUUACUUAUGUUGUACACUCUCGCUGGGCUAUCGGUUACAUUACUUGAGAUUGAUAGGUAUUAACAGCACUUUAGAGGGUAUUGAUAGGCAUUCACAUGACUUUCUAGGGUAUUGAUAGGCAUUCAGAGCAGCUUGCAGCCUCGCCAGAUCUUACAUCUCUGGUUGUCGAUCCUACACCACAGGUUCGUAGGUCUUAUCGCAUUUUCACGAAGCCUAUUUGUUUCGUUGAAUCUCACUUGUUCACUCCUCGUUAUCAUGCCUUUUUAGCUGCUCUUCACUCUUUCCAUGAGCCUCAGUAAACUAGGGAGGCAGGCAGCCGAGCCGCUAUUCAAUGUUGGCAACAGGCAAUCAAUAUCUUAAGAACGGACUGCCCUUCAGCAGAAUGCCAUUUUGGAUCUUUUUCUUCUUCCGUCUGGUAAGGUUGCUAUUGGUUUCCGUUUCCGUCUGGUAAGGUUGCUAUUGGUUUCCGUUAGGUUUCUAAAGUGAAGACGUGAUCUGAUGGGUCUGUUGAGAGAGACAAAGCUAGGCUGGUAGCCAGAGCGGAACCCGCAUAGACAUUAAGGAGACUUUUGCGCCUGUGGCUAAGAUGACUAGUAGUUUGACCAUUAUUGCCAUUGCAGCGGUUGGCCACUCUAUAAGUUAUACGUUCCUUAUAUGCCUUAUACCAUGGUUAUCUUCAUCUGGAGGUGUACAUGCUGCCUAGCCUACCCCUUGAAAAGAUUCCGCUCCUUCUACUAAUGUAUGCCCCUUAAGCAAAGCCUUCUAUGGUAGCCUAUUGCGUUGGUUUUUCAAGUUUAGCACAGUGCCAUUGCUCGGGGAGUUUUCAUGAUUCGGCCAUGUUCUUUUCUUUUUCUCCUCGAAAACGUGCUAUUCUGUUGUUCUAUGUUCAGGAUAUUCAACUUACUGGUAAUUACUCCGUUAACAUAUCACUGAUCAUGUGUCGCCUUCAUCAAUGAACCUCUUCAUCGCCCUUUAUCUAUACUUCACUCUAAAAAGAACCUGCUCCAUAGAAUGGAAUUGAAAUGAAAAAGGUAGUAAGCGGCUCUGCCGCGCAACUUGUCUAGUUGCUUGGCGAUUAUGAAUCGCUUAUUACUUGUUUGUUUACUUGUUUCAUUGAGUGCAAAAGAAAAAGCACAUUACUGGAAAUAGAGUAUUGUUGAAUAUGACGUUAACCCAUAAUGUAAUAAAGUAACUCACUACCUAUGACUCUCGGGGAUUCACUCACUACCUAUGACUCUCGGGGAGAAACGAAACACUCUGUUACUCCUGACUUGAAGAAUUAAGCUAGGCACCCGGAAACAACAACUAAAUCCAAGAAUGGAAUAGAGCCAUACUCGCACUGCUAAUCCCUUGAAAUAGAGUAAUAACACCUUGAGACUUGAAAGCUGGGGCACUGCUAACCCCUUGAAUAGCGUAAUAACACCUUUACCUUGAGACUUGAAAGCUGGCACUGCUNNNNNNNNNNNNNNNNNNNNNNNNNNNNNNNNNNNNNNNNNNNNNNNNNNNNNNNNNNNNNNNNNNNNNNNNNNNNNNNNNNNNNNNNNNNNNNNNNNNNNNNNNNNNNNNNNNNNNNNNNNNNGUUGUUUGCUUGUUCCGUAGGCACCGGCUUGUUAUCGAAACUCACUUCUGGCUUUACCCAACGAAACUGCUUGUUGAAACAGAACUGCUUACUGCUAUUACCCCACCUAGCGGCGAUAGGAUUGAGCUCUUGGUAUAUAUGCAUUUAAUAAAUAAAGAGUUUCAAGAUUGAUAUUCAUAAUAAGGAGUGAUAGGAUUGAGCUCUUGGUAUAUAUGCACUUCUAAAGAAUAAAGAGUGAUAGGGAUGCUAUAUCAAAGAGUAAUGAAUUUAGGGAUGCUAUAUCAAAGAGUAAUGAAUUCAAUAAGCCCGCGGUUUAGUAAUAAGCUAACGCACCCAAACAAAUAAGCUUGUAACGUCUUGCAUAACUCACUAACGCUUACUGCUCUUCGGGCUCUAAAUAGACUAUUUCCGUUUAGAUUUCUUAUGAUAUCCCUAGCAGCUUUGCUUCCUUGUUUAACAAAGGCUUGUUCCGGCCCGGCGAACUGAACUCGUUUGUUGAUUAUGAAUUGAGUGUACCUAGGAAAUACGCACAGUAACACACAUUCGAAACUCCUAAACGGAAUGAUUGCCCUAGUAUACCAUAGUACUUAUCUUAGCACCGUUGCUUGUUGAAUGGAGUGCACCUACUCAGAGGUCUAUGUUAUGUUCUAAUUUCGUUUUACCUAGGAAGAGGUCUAUGUUAUGUUAUGUUAUUAGGCUUCAAUGCUUGUGGGGUCCGGGUCAAAGUGGGUGUUUUUAUGGAAAGGUUUUUCACAGGCUAUAAACAACGCAAAAAGAGCUUAUUUAUACAGCCUUAACCAAUACCGAGUUUCUUGUUGAAGAUAGUGCACACAACUUAUGUAAGACAGCAACCUCACUGCUUACUCCUGGCGUUGUUACCUUACAUUAAUCAAAUCAUCGUUUACAGCCGAACCCUAUACUAAGCACUUGCAGGCCCUAUACACAGAAGCACCGUUACUCUACUUAACUACUAAACAAACAGGCUCUUAGCACCUUGCUUUCAAUCUACCUUCAAGCUUGUUCCCGCAGCUUACUCACUUGCUUGUGUAAUUUAUUAACAAAACAAAACACUGGCCAAGAAACUAGAUGAGAGAGAAUCCAUUCUUUUAGGAGAGUCUGGAGCGAGUGGUUCAAUUCCUUAUUCUUGUUCAAUGUCUUUACGAUGAGAUUCCAAAAUGUCUGUGUUUGUUGGCGGUGAAGAAAGUCUUUAUUGUGUUCAGGGACAGAAGAAAGUACUAGUGCGCGAGCUAUGUUAGGUGACUUUCCAACUUGAACAGAACUACUUGCGGAGGCAGACGUUGGGAUUGGCGCUAGGAAAAAGAAUGGAAAGGAUGCUUUCGUGCUAGAAGGAGAGGAUAGGAAAGGAAAGGAAGGGCGCUAAGAAAGUCAGUACUCUUGUAGAUGCCGAUCAAUCUUAUUAUGCCAUGCCGGAAAGAGAGAAAGAAGCUUUGGGUUGGGGCGCGCUGGGCAAGCAAUACCUUUCUAUGGGUUAGGUGCGCGAGCAGUGUUUUCUUUUUCUGACUUUCCUUCCACCCCCCACCAAAACGGAAGUCUACAGUCUCGUAUCUCGCUGUUCCCCUACUAUAGGGCUCGAAGUCAAGUUCAAGUCUUCGGGAACGAGUAAGAGUGGUUUAAGUUCCAGUCUUAUAGUUAACAGUAGUUGCUCGUCUUUUGGUCCUGUGUUCAGCUACCUAAUUUAUAAUCUAUCGCGGUCAACUCCGUAAGCAGUGAAGUCUUUUCAUUUACUUUAGCUUGUUAACUUGUUCUCGCCUUAGUUAGUCUUCAGACGCCUUGUAAACCAGUCAAAUCCUACAUGGAACUUCAAGCUCCCUAAUAAGCGCCUUGUAAACUAGGUGUAAUAAAUCAAUAAUGGAAUGUUUACACCAUAGAAUCUCUUUUCUCUACUGGCCACGUAGCAGUAAUCAGAAUCAAAGGCUCAAAAAGAUGCAGUAUCCAGAGAAUCCGCAGUGCAAUGAGAGUAGAGUGAGGAAGGUUAACAAACAAGCUUAUGCGCUAACAGGAAUGUCACGGGAGUUUCAAUUGUCAUCUUAUAUGCUUGACGGAACCAGCAUUUGUCCUGCCUGAAGUACAUACAAGUUCCGUUCGCCCAGUUCGUUCGACUCUCAGGUCUAUGUUUAGGGAGUUAGUACGUUGCUUUUUGAGUGUAGUUACUGAAUCUCAUUCUUAUUGAAUAACUCCAUUUGGAAAGAAGAUUAUGACAGUACUGUACACAUUAUGUAUCAAAGUAACAACACUCCGAAAUGAAAGAUUCCACACAAGGGAUUCAACAGCAACUGUUCCUGCUCCCACUCCAGAGAAAGCUUCCGCGCUAAGAUCUCCUGGUCGACUCGGUGCUAACAGAGUUUCUGCUUAGGGAGCUCAAUCCCCUUUUGUUGAAUUCAAUGAUGACUUUCGAGGUUAGGAGUAUAUAGAAGAAACAGUCUCUGGGGUGAGUCACAAAUCUCUUACUCAGUUUCCAGAUCAGAAUAAGGAUCAUCUGGGCAGCAAUCUUUUCUUCAAGUCUAGUUUGAGCAAAGGUCUGUGAUGGAGGUGAGAGUGCUUGUGUCUAAGGCGGUUCUUGACCUUGCUUGUAUAUGAGAAUGUCCCGUUCCAGUUUCAUCUAUAAGAGGAUUUCCUCUGUUCCGUUAGCGCAACAUUAUACCAUUAUACUACUAAGUAAGCUUGUUCGGUAAGAAAGCGUAGAGAGAAGCUCGUUGAGCGUAGAAAUCGGUAAUCAUAGAAAAGAGAGGUUAAGCUGUGAAAAAGUAAGCUUAUGAAUUGCUAGUUCCAGUUCUUGUUUCAGAAUCAGAAUAAGUUCGAUAAGAUGCUACAUCAGGGAGAGGGUUAAUAAUAAGUACUGGCGAGGAAGAAGUUGAAACAGAAUCCACAGUGCUAAAGUAGAGUGAAAGGUAAACAAGCUAUGUAUUUACAAACACGCUGAUCAUUGGCUUUUCAUCGUACGUAUUAAGAAGCUGAGCUGGUCAUUAUUGAAUCAGAGGCUUAGCUCCCGAUGAUGAAGAUAGGUAAUAGCAAAUAGAGACUUUUGUUCGGAUGGAAGGAGACUCGUAUCUACUCGGUGUAGUCAACUAAUUCCAUUAGAUUCUUCUGUCCAUCCUUUUGUAGGGGAAGAACCCUUUUCGCCUAGGGGACUCCUUUUUGGCCUAUGAUAAACCAUUUCAUCUUGUAUAACUAUUGAUAGCUUGUAUAACUGCAUGCGGAAGGUAAGGCUAAGCACGCAAAGCAAAGGGAAGGGAAAGCCUAGCCAACUGAAUCAUGCACCUACUUACACUUGAUGUUCAGCUGACCCCUUAACUUAACUGACGCGGAUACGAAAACAGUACUUAUUCUGUGUCCUUAGCUGGCGAAAUUAGCACUCCCUUAUGGGAUUACUUUACUACUUUACGAGCUUCUAUAUACCCUGUCCCCUUCUCUUUAGCACUUGUUCUUGUUGGGCCUUGUCAAACAAUCAUUUAUUACUGCAUGAAUAUAAGAGAGGCAUUGAAAAGACGACUCCCUUCCCGUGAGCUCACUGAUGCACCCUCUCCUUACGCACUUCGAGCAGUGAGAUGACUUUACUUCAGCAGUAUAGCAUUCAAUUCUUCUUCCAGUAUAGAGUCUGAAGCGUAAGCCGGAGAAGAAUCCUUUCUGGUUUCCUAUGUGUCAGCAGCAAUAGAUUCUCAAAGGAGAGUUCUUGUUUCACUGACUUAAUAUAGAAUAAGUGGGUAUCCAAAGGGAUAGAUAGCUUUAAGAUCCAGAAGUGGGUAUCAAAAGAGAUAGGUAGCUUUAAGAUCCAAGUCGUCAACAUCUUGUCCCGCCUUGUACUGAGUUAGAGUUCCUUUUCUUUACGCGUAAGCCAUUAGCAUAGUCACACCUCUGCUCAACUUAGAGAAAUCCCUUAUCUCUAACGCGUUACCAGACACAAGACAGGUCAUAACUACUUCUAAAGAAAAGACUGGUCAUAACUACUUCUAAAGAAAAUCAAUAUUACUCCCGUGACUCGUUGGGUUUAGAGCCUGAACCUGGAUUAUUGCCUUCUUCAGCGCACAGUAUCGGUAUCUCCUAGCUUUCUUUUGGAGAGUAUUGUUUGUCUCCUUGGGUGGGAGGUGAAGUAUCUAAUUACCUGGAACCGGAAGGUGAGGAGAAGAAGAUAGUACUGCUGGCAAGGAAUGGUUCCGAUGUAGCUCAGACAAAGUCAAAGUAGUAGAGUAGAGUUCUAUAAGAGAGGUCCACAAGAUCAUCUACAGGAUCAUCAAAGUCUCUCGGUGUUGUGGGGGAGUCUAGAACAACUUAUGAUAGUCAUAAUAUUCCUCAACAUCAGUCCAUACACCUUUCCUAACAAUAUUGCCCGGCGCGCAGGGGAACAAUAAAAUAAGUUGUUCUUUUCUUUGAAGCUGUAGUUUGUUGGGCCAGUGCUCUGUAAACUAUAAUAAUAAGCUAGUCAAAAACUCAUCAAUAUAAGUUAGUUAAUUAGGAACCGAACCUCACCGCGGACUUUUCGCUUUAAGAAAGCCCCACUUCGUGUUAGGAGUUCGCAGUUCCGUUGCUUAGUCUUUUGCCAAUACAAAAUGCAAUUGAUAAUCAUCUGCACCUCUAACUAAUAUAUUAUAGAAUGGAGUCAAAACACUCCUGUCCUUAAAGCUGACUCCCCCAAAGCUGACAUUAGCUGUUGCUUAGUCUUACUAGUUACUAGCUCUUGCUCUGUUGCUUGUUUCACCUUUUUUAGGGAAUACCAUAUAUACCCACCCGGUGGUAAAUAAUGGAUUGUGAAUGGCUCACGGUAAAUGCAUGAUUUUGAAAGGCGAAAAGAAGUAAGAAAUCCAGAAUAGGAGUAGAGACUAUCCUUUAUUACAUAAGGGGGGAGCUUCUCGACGGAAAAGGGCCAAAGCGAAUAGGAUUGAACCCCUAAGGAUAGAAAGUCAUAUCGGAAUGCUUAAAGCGAUAGAGUCGUGAACUGAGUUACUAGUGGGCUGGGCAAGAGAAGCAAUAUCGGAAUGCUUAAAGCGAUAGAGUCGUGAACUGAGUUACUAGUGGGCAAGAGGCUUGCUCAUUUCUCCUUUGUUUUGGGUUUGCCUAUCUAGCUUCUUGUCCUACGCACUAUGAUUUUCAAAAGAAGGGCUAAACGGGGCGGAGAGAGAAAGCCCUCAAAAACGAUCUUUCAUAUUCCCCCAGAGAUCCUAGUAGAAAUACAAUCCUAUAAAGAAGUGGGUUUGUUUCAGGCUUAGAAAGCGGAAGCCUAUUGUGGGGUCUAUGGCGGUCUACUACUUAGUCUAGUCUAAGUUUCCCAUUCUUUUCUAUUAAAUGACAUUCGAUAUUGCCCACGUGAAAGCUAGGAACUAGAACCACCUCCAACGUUAGUGUUCUACCAUACCGCAUAAAGGUGAACAAUUUGUCUAUCAAAAGAAAGUGACGAUUAUCUGCAUGUCUAAUGUAAUAAAGAGUGUUAUUGGUCAUUUUAUCCCAGUGUAAUAGAAUUCGAAAAAGGCAUUUAUUACUUGUGUUGAGUGAUAUGGUGACACUGUCCUCUCCUUGCGUGGAUUCCAUUCCUUGAGAUCUAAUCCAGCUAUUCGAUAUAAAAAUGGGAAUCUUCCUUUGGAUAUACAAAAGGGAAUCUUCUGAUAAGUGAGUAUAAGUGAUCGAGAAGCAUUGGUGAAAUGAAUCAAUCGACUCUCCCUACUUAGAUACAUGUAAGAUCGAAAGGGCAGCUCAUGAAUAGAAGGAAGAUCACAUAGAAUGCUAGUGUUGAGGAAGAGACGGAUGUUAGCUCUCCUGGUAUUACUUAACUAAAGCACUAACACCAAUAACAGAAGCACUAACAAAGGUAAAGUUCUCUUCUUUCUGGUGCUUUCUUAGACUCAAAACCAUCGACCCUAAAGUCUCGUUAUCGUUGUAAGUGAAGGGAGUUCUCUUAGCAAGCUAGUGAUUUUCCCCUUCCUUCGUUAGGGCUUACACUCUUCUCUUUUUCAGCUUACAACGAUUGGUUAAUUAGGAUAGGGGUGGAAAUCAUUGAAGUCGAGUCGAAUAGUAGGGCGCCAAGCAGACUAGUAGGCAAGUAGACAAGCAGACAAGACACUCAAAGACAACUUCCAAAAUCCACUCAAUAUAACGACCAAGCAUCCACUUAGAAUCUUUAUCCUAUAGAAAUAGAAGAUCAAGAAUGAGACAAGCAACGACAAGUACUGUGUUCGGGAGAAGAAUUCUGGUAUCAAAUGUAAGAGUCAGAAGAACACCGGAAGGUAUCAAACGUUUGAAUCACACCGGAAGGUAUCAAACUUAAGAGUCAGAAGAACACCUGAACUACUAUAUCUGCUGAGCAUCAAACCUUAACUACUAUCUCUCCAGAACAGGAGCAGGAGCAGUACUACCGGUAGCAAGAGGUGUUAUCGACCCCAACUAACUAUCCUUUUUGAACCCCUCGUUGCUUGGCCCGCACUCCCACAAUAACUCCACUCUUUGGAUCACAUAAAGGUUCAGGCUUCCAAAAAUCACCCUUAUUUCGAAUACUUAGCGGGCUGUAAACUAUUCUUUUUAGUCGUUGAGCUGAGGCUAAACCACGCUAAUGGCUAAUUCCCUCUCUUGUCCACCGAAAUGCUAAACUAAUGCCUUUGCUUGCUUAAUAAGACUUGCCUCUUGAAAACCCUCUAACGCUUACUUUCUUCCUCCCCAAACUAUACUUGAAGUUUGAUUAACCGACAACACUACUGUAAACCAGUCUUUUAAACGACUCCUGCCAGCGCCCAAAGAGUUUAGUAUGCACGACACUUCAAUUGACUACUUUGAUCUUUAAAGCCACCUAUCUCCUCCACUUGAAGCCAUUAGAAUGUUGCUUGAUGCAGCCUCACGCUAGACUCUACCUGUACUUUACAUAUUGUCCGGCGCGAGAGAGUAAGUUGUAGCACUUUGGCUUUGACGAACUCAACUCAACAAGCAAUAGAAUCAACUCACUAGUCAAAGGGGCUAGGGAACAAACAUACAAGCAAGAAACAAGCGCGCUAGCGAGUUCCAAGCGUUAGUCCGGCUCCGCUUUCACUCUCCCGCUCCUUACUCUUAGUCUUGAGUGCCCUCCCGCUUUUGAAACCUAUCUAUCUUUGCUUGCGUUCCGUAGCUCCUGAUCCAGAUUCUUUGCUAUCAACCUCAAACUCAUUACUGUUAUACCUUAACUAAUGCCUUAGAUCCUGUCCUUGCUGCCUACGAGCCUACCUCUAAACCAGUACCGCUGCUUUCAUUCUCUUACCAUUCUUUAGUUACUGACUUUUCUUCUGACUUGUUUGUUUGAGCCUGUCACUCUUAAACUACCAGCUCUGGGCCUGCCUCCCCCUUAUCUAAUUAUGGUUUUAGUCCAAACUAUACUUUAUGGAAUUCUGUAUUGAUAGCUUUAGUCUGCUACUCCUCUUUCUAUUAGUCUGCUUUUCCUUCUUUUUGGAUUCUGUAGUUACCGAUCUGCUUUGCUUCUUAGACUUAGGCGACCUCUGCCUUUCUUUGAUUCCAACUUUACUGGGUUCUUCAAUUGCCGAUUCUAUUUGCUUAUAUUCAUUAUGAAAUUGCUUAUUGCCUUUCGAACAUAGGAAUAAGAACAAGAAAUAGGGGUUAGGCUUAGGAUCUAGGCAAGGAUAGCUAGUAUUGGAUGAUAACUCCAUUACAGAACUACUAGCUUUGAUUAUUACUACAACGACUAUUAGGCUAAAGGCAUUAGUGCCGUAGUAAAAGCAAGACUCAAUGUAGGUAGCGGGAGACUCCACCUAUAAGUAAAAGAUCUAGAUCCGGGGGGAGUAGCUACAGACUCAAAAGCAGCAGUUGGGUUCUUUAGUUGACCUCGUCCGCAGGGGUUGGUUUAUUUAUAUCAGAAUAAAGUCUUAGAAGCACUAGUGGUAGUUUUCCUCGGAUAGGUAAUGCAAGUCAAGAGUAAAGCCCUAGAAGCUGUAGCGGGAUUCUUUAAUGAGUAAAUAAAGAGACUUUAUAAGCAUUUAUAGAAUUCAAGUAAACAGUACGUCCUCUAUUGCCAAUAAGAGGAAUGAAUGCUAAGGGAGGCUAUAAUACAUGAAAGUCAUACUUUUAGGCGGGAAAGGCAUACUCGAACAUUGGUAUUGAGACCGGGAUGGGAAUACUCAAACUCGGCAUUGAAGGUAAGGUAGGUAGGGCAGGCUUAGAAGCUGUAUCGGCAGCCCUAGUUGUACAAUCAAAGACAGGGGAUAGAAGCUCGUGGGCUGUAAUGCAAUCCUUUAUAUGGGGUUUUUCGUAUUGGAGGUAGUAGUUGCUGCCUUAUCCGUAGGAGUUCCAGCCUUGUAAGCCUCCGGGUCAGUGUAUUAUGCCCACAUUCCAAAUUCUGAGAGGCAGGGUUUAGCGGUGGUUUCGUUCUUGUACACUGGCGUUUGAUCCCAAUUAGGCCCUAUCUCAGUUAAGCUUGAGUACUUGUUUACUUGUCUCUCAUAUCCUAUAGCAACUUCUCUUUAUUCGAUUAAUAAACUAGAGACUUUCUAUUAAUAAACAAGAGACUUUAUCUUUAUUCUAUCAGUGGGUGCACUAGACCAUGCCAUACCUAUUACAUUGGCUCCAAACUGGAAUACCUAUUCUCAUUCUAUUGACUAGCGCUUUACAUACCUAGGCGAUUGACUCUAACUCUCAUUAUGAUUUGUCAUAUCAAACAUAUAUCUUUAAUUGCGACACUCAAACUAUUCCCUUACUGACCCAAGGAAUAUUCCCUAACUGUUGAUUCCAUUCUUGAACUUAUAGAUUGGAUUCCAUGUUUUUGUACUCAAUUCUUCUACUGUGGAGUUUGAUUCCACUGAUGACGUUUCGGUCCAGUAGGGUACCAAGUCAAUCUUACUUAAUGGAUAGGAUUCGCCUACUAGGGACAAAAGCCUUAAUAACAGCGGUUCCAUUCUUUUACGCCCGGGUUCGAUCCCCAGUUUUGAGUGUGAGUUUGGUUCAGUGUCUCAAUUCUGUAGUUUGUGUGAAGAGGUGAAGCCAGUAGCUGAUGAGUUCAAUCCUGUUGUUUCGGCUUUGGCUCUUGCUUUCCUAUUUCAUCCAAUAGAUCAUGUCAUAGACCUACUCGAGCUUCUAAUGCAUUUUCUGCCUAUCCAAUAGUUAUGCCAAUAGGCAGUUAGAGACAAGUCCAAAUACAAGGUUUCAAGCAAGGGAGGUUAUCCUUAAAAGAAAAGAAGUGGAGCAAGCCUUGAGCUGUAGGUAAGGUUCUAGUUCAGUAGGGGAAGUUCUCAGGUAAGUAGCGGAGUCCUAAAAGUAAGGAUAUAAUACCAACCUCAAGAAUGGAAGGCAGGAUCGAUUAUUGUUAUCCGCAGUUAGAGUUUCCGUUUUUACUAUAGUCGUCCAACCUAUUAGCAUAGUAUAUAAGCUUGAAACCAAUAGGCAAGGCUUAGAGACAGGAAGAGCGGACUCGGAGAAUAGAUAGUAAGGCUUAGCUAACGGAGAGGCGAGCUAACAAACAAGACUCUAGGGGGUAAGUCAAAGAAUGAAAAACUCACAAGCAAUACUUUAAGGCAGGAAAGGCAUACUACCAAAAAUCCAAUAAAGAGGUCAAGUCAAGGGGGACAGCCUUGGGAGCGCUCGUUCCAUUCUAUUUAGUCUAAGGGAUCGGACUUUUCUGAAAGAGAGGUAGCCUUAGAGACGGGGAAGGCAUAGCGCAAGGUAUGAGUUACAGACCAAUAGAAGGUAAAGACAGACUCGUAGACAAGAAGGUCGGGCUUUGACUUGAAAGUUCAUUCCGUACAUCCUGUUUUUGUCUUUGACUCCUUAUUCCUAGGUGUGAGUUAAGGUCCUGUUCCAUCAUAUAUAGUAGUCAAUCCUAUAUUAUAAGAUAUAGUAUUGGAACCACUAGCUUAAGCCUGAUGGUAACAGUAGUCGGAAGCUAGCAAGCAAGGAUACAAAUAAGCAGUUCAGAGUGAAAACAAGUCAAGUCAGACUUCUAAUAAGGAAAGGUAGCUUUGAAGUAAGUAGCAGCAGCCUCAUCAGUAGUACGAAGGAUGAAAAGCACGAGUUAUAGUUUGAACCUUGUAGUGGAACUAAUUAACAUACUCCUGUUGGUAACUACACUCAUUGUCCAACAAGCUACCCCCUUAGAGUCAAGGGGGGCAGGCUACGAAGUUCAAUACAGAUUGGAGAUCGGGAGCUACAGGCCAAUAGGGAAACAAGGGUUUUAAGUCAGUAAGGACAGGCUCGGGUUAGAGCAUAAGUCUUUGUGAUAUAAGUCUUUGUCGUGUAUUGGGUUCAUUCCCUCCAUAGCGUCGAUUUGAUUCUACUAGUUGGUAUUUGGAGUCUGCUUGUCUGUAGCCCUAUAUUGUAGGUUCGAGCCGUUAGUCAGUGGGUUUAUUCUAUACUAUAAGUAAAAGGAGUGAAAGGCAUGGGUGAAAGAAUGAGAAACUCUAUUUGAAGAGCGAAAGCCAAAAAGUAGAGGUUUUCGUUUAGGGUGAGAGUAUUGUUUUCACUUGUUCUAUAUGUUAGGGUGCCUCUUCUCUUCCUUUUUUUGAUAGUAUAGGGUUAGGUUCCAUAAUGCUAUUUGAUAUUUAAGGUGCCUAUGGCUAUAGGUCAAUCGAGUAAACAAGAAGGUUGAGACCUGUUUCUCUAUUAGAUAUAUAGGUAGGUAGUAGAUAUAAGUACUAAUGUGUUGGGGACGAUUGCAAAGUCAAUAAGAUGGUUUCUUGAGAGUAGGUGUGCAGGGAUCGAAUAUAGUGGAUGUUGGGUCCGAUUGGUAUAGUUUAGGGUUUAGGCGCCGAUAUGCUCUUAUGUGGAUGAGUCAAGUCCGGUACAGGAUGCCGGUCAAUAAUACUGCUGAUAUAUGGGGUGCCUCAACAAUUCUUCUAAAGAGUCGUUUUCGUUUCUAAAGAGUAGUGGUUGUUUUGUUCGGUGUUUGCAUUAAACAGCUAUUGACUCUUCACUUCAAGUUGGAUUGAUUUCAGAAUGGAGUAGAUAUCCCCAUCCUCCUAAUCAAUUAAUAUACUCAUAGGCUCUCUACGUUUGUCUUUCCUACGAGUAGCUCCGUUCCGUUUCUUUCAUAGAAUAGACAUAACGACCUAGGGGCAGUAAAGCAAGCCUUCUUUGUUCGUGCUAGGCUCGCACUACUGGGAACCUAUUAAGAAUUCAUAAAGAAGCGCAAAACCUCUAUCCUCGUCAGGGCAUGCAUUGAGUAUUAACAGGGCGAAGGGAUAUUGACGGGACUUACCUUUCAAACAGGCAUAUCUAAACUGACCUUUCAAACAAGGCGUAUCUAAUCAGUAUAGUAUCAUGGGAGAGUAGAGUGGUAGGGUCGGAACUGAGAGAAAGCUAUAUUUUGCAAUUGAUCGUUACCAAUAGCAACUUGAACUAAGUCCUCUGGUGAAUGAUCGAUGUGUGCCAGAUUGAAACCACCUUCUUUAUCAUUGGAAGAAGACCGCUUCGUAAAGCUAGGGCUGGAUACCUGAAUUGGAUCUUGAAUGCCCCGGUUAGGGCGCCUUGUGCGUGUGCUCUUAAUCGUUGGGCCUAGCUUAGCUCCAUUACUCAUUCUAGCUCUAGCCUCAUUGGGGAACAGGUCUGGCAAAAGGAGAAAGAACUAAGGCACACCCCAAACCGAAAUGCUCCUUACUUAUCUUAUAUUAUAGUUAUAGUAUGAUGUACGAUCAUAAGUUCCCAGAUUUCUCAUAAUAGGAAAGGAAGGGCUUUGGACUAUUAUGGUUUGAGAUUGAACUUCUCAUUCAAUGGGGAUCCAACUAAACCCCCAGGAAGGGAAGUGCCAAAGAAGAGGACUUCACCUAUCCUCCACCAAAGGCUAUAGGAGAAGGUACCUACCUUUUACUGAGGAUCCAAUUUCUUCUCGCUAACGCCCUUGUUGCCAUGCCCUCUAUCUCUCUCUUUGCUUUGGAUCGAGAAGGGUUGGCUCUGCCUCAGAUCUAUUCAGCUUCGACCAGACGACUACCGCUAAGUGAUGAAGUUUGUUUAGUGCGGAAUCUGGCAUACAGUUACCAAUCAAGUAGAAGUCAAUAGGCUCACUCAUAAAGCCCCCCGCUAGUAAGACAAGAAAACGCUUCGCUUGGUUGUCAUGUCAGGGCACUCUGGUAGGACGUGGCGUGGAGAAUUACCUGCAUUACGAGAAUGGGCUUCUCUUUUAAUGUAAUAGAAGAGUCACGGUCAAGUGAGCCCGGCUUUCUCCCUAAUCGACCUUACUCAGGGGAGUUGCAUUCAGUUAGGUAUAGGCUUUUUGACCUUGUGUUCUAUACUGGUAAGAGGCUAAUACUGGCAAAGAGUUAAGCAUUAACGUGUUUUGGGGUAUUAAUAGAAAAGAAGGCGCCCAACAAGGAGUAUGGACUUGGAUGCUUGCUGGGGAGAUCUAGAGAGAGUUCUAUAUCAACAUAGAAAUCCAAAGUAGUUCUCAGUUCUAUAUCAAAUAGAAGUUAUAAGUUCAAUAUCCAAUUAUUAUAAGUGUAAAUAUCAAAUUAAGGAAGAGUACGCACGGCUGACGCUGUUAGUUGAUCGAAUCAGAUACAGAUAGCUCUGGCUACCCCAAUUCUGAUCCACAUGAGGUAUGGCUCUGAGCGGAGUGGCUGAAGGCAUAGGUUUGCGAAAUCGACAUCAAAUAAGAUUGUAUAAUGGAUCCCUACGGAGGCGGGCGAAAUAACAUGAAAGAACAAACCUAUUCUUGGUAGAGUUCCCUGAGGACGUACAUAAGAGCACUAACCACUUUUGAGUGAAACUAGAAGCUUGUGCGCUUUAUUUGAUUGACCGGCCUGCCCAUCUUAUUUAUAGUAGCAUACCCCUAAGUAUCAUUUGUAUAGGAACGAAAGCAACACUUUGACUUUUGAAAGUAAUGGGCUACGCUUAUCCCUGACUAGUCAAGUAGUGGUAAGGUAGGUGCUGGUGCUGUGCUCUUCGAUGAAGAAAAUCUACAAUAUAUUAUAUACAAAUACAAAUAUACAAAUACUACAGAAAAUAUACAUACAUAUUAAUAGGUGAUUCAAUAGGUGAUUAAGGUAUCUAAACCAGAGCAGAGCAAAGUAUUCUCCGUUUUCUUGUGUCAGUGGUUAGAAAUCGAAAUUAGUGAACACGUCGCCUACUUUCUUUAAAAGGAAGCAAUUCUUCUUACCUAUAACCAAUAAGCCUUAUUACCUCUGUUUGUAAAAAUGGGGUUAUGGUUAUAGAAACCAUAGACUUAUCCAUUUGUAGAUGAACCUCCUUGUCGUAUUUAUUACCUCCUUGUCGUAUUUAUUACCUCGCCCGAAAAUCAUUGAAAAAUAUAGGCAUCCGGAAUACCGCUUAUCGACUGAAUCGCAUAUGGGCAAAUCGACGAGGAAUCACAGUAAAGCGCCCUAGUACCAUCACUCCCUUGCCGGAACAUUAGAAGACCAGUAAGACGUGGGUCCGCUCCUAAUCUUGAAUGGCCUCAUCAAUGACUGAAACACAGUAAUGAGUCACCUACUCUUUAUUUAGACAAGAAAGACGGCGGACAUUGAUGGCUCUAAGUCGGAUGGCCCCACUGGAGAGUGAGCGAAACGAAAAAGCAGUGCACACGCAAAAAACAUCAUUAUGGGCUUGCUUUACCUACCCUUUACUCAUCAUUCCGUUUUGGAAUCUACAAAGAUGAUGAAAUGAUUGGAUUAUUUCCGUCUUCUUGCUUGCUCUGUCUGAUACUAUGUAUGUGAAACCAGAAGAUAGUAGUUCCCCUGCGACGACAGGAAUCUCGUCCCUUCUACUCUUUGUUUAUGGUCCCCCAAAAGCAAAAGGAAAGAUUCUUCAUGAAAAUAGAAACCACCUAUGAGACGAUCCCUAGUCUAUUUCAUACAUUAUGCCUAGGUCAAAGGUAUGCCUGCUUUCUUUCUACCUAUGGGUCAAAGGUAUGCCUGCUUUCUACUUUCCACCUAGUUAAAUUCGAAGAGAGUCUAUCCACCCUAAGAUCAGAAAAGAGCCUAUUUCUCUUUUGUUUGAUUUAUGAGAAUCAGAGACAGGGUUCGAAUUCCUGUUGAGAAUGAAAUCAUGAAACUAAAUGAGAAACCUCUGAAAAAGACUUGUUUGUAUGGAGCUUGCAUACUCCCUGCGCGCGAUCGUAUACUUGAACCCUCGCUUUUGUUGGUGGUUCAGCGAUAGAUGGUAGUUUGCCUUAAUGAUGGAUAGCCUUGCCAAGGAUUCGAUUUCUUUAUCUUUUCAAAUAGAGAAGAGAUCGCAUUACGAUAGGACUGACUGCUGGCUUAGUAGUUCUUUCCCCGGGUACCAUGACAGUGCGAGCACCUUUUCCGAAAACCCAUUUAAGGAAGGGCAGGAUAGAGCAGUUUUCGGACUCAAAGUGUAUAUGGAUAGAACCUUGUCCAGAUUUCCUACUUUACAUCUCUGCAAAGAGAAAUCAAUUCAAUAAAAACAUGACCCAUAGCUACGAAAUGAAUCCAAUUAGGUCCCUUAAGAGAGAACUCAAUCUCAUGCAUCGAUGUAUUCCUUCUAGAACUAUAGUCGCCUGUCUUUUGAGUUCAGGGAGAUGGGCAUGUCUUCUUCGAAAAGGAGGUCGUGGUCAACGAUCAAAAGUGGCUUUGACUACACGAAUGGGAUAAGCAAGAAGAAUGGAAUGCUGUAAUACUGUCUUCUUUGGUUCUAAGAAAGAUAUUCAAAGACUCUCUACCCUACCGCCUGCCGACGAUGGACCUCAAUCACCAUCAUAGUAGGGCAAAGCUUGUAAACAAACACAGAUUUAGACCUUUCCUUUAGUGGAGAACCUAUUGAUGGAGACAUCGCAACAAUCAUCUUACAUUCAAUCUCAGAGAUGAUAGUGCGGACUUAUGAUGGGCAAAAGACUAAGAUCUAGAAAUAAUGAUAGGGCCGGGCCGCACCCUCUCGCCUUUUAGUUACUUUUACCGAAAUACGAGACUGACUCCUAAAUUCAGUCGUUCCUCACUAAAUAUAAGAUUUUGGAAAGAGUCAAACAGUCCCGUCCCUUUGGACUCGAAUUAGUUGUAUAUCAAAUGAGAUUGUAUAGACCCGCCAGCAAUCCAAAUUCUAUCUCAAUAUUAGCGCAAUGGUUCUUAUCCAUGGUUUGGCCAGAGCCCCACCUUUGUCUUUCUUGUUUGGGUGAGGAAAAAGCGGAUACAUAAGCAUCAGGCGAUAGUCAAAAGAGAAGGUUGUCUUUCACAGGACAUUCCAUUCAGUUAUCUAUAGCGGUGCCUAGCUUAUUUGUUGGAUAAUGCUUCUUCCUGCUUGAAAGCCCUUCAUGACUAGGUAGAGGGGAUUAAUCUAAAUAGAAACAAAUAUCAAUCUGGGAACGAUAGGAUCAAUCAAUGCAAUUGAAUUGAGGCGAGUGAAGCUAUAGGAAGGCAGUAGCAGACCAGACCCGAUUGGGAGGGAGUCUUUGCGUACGAUAGGUGGUAUAGGGUUUUUGGAAUGGAGUUCAAACGGAAAUGGCUCGAUUGAUUUGCUUACAGGAAAAAGACUAGUUUCAGAAAUCCAAUAAUUGGAACAAAUUGAGUGACAACGCAACGGACACCUUUCUUUCUCACUCAAAAGCUCAUCGUUUACCAACGAGUAUUGAGAGUAUAUACUCUUACAAAGACAGACCUGUGAUCCACUUUCGAUCUAAAGCACCCGAAUUCUACUCGCUUAUUUUAUUACUUUGAUAUGCGUUCAAUAUUCGAUUUUAUGGAAUGGAAUUAAGCUUCACUGCUCCUAUCCAUGCUUUCGAAUUCCUUUAUUACCGACCCAUCCUGGCUAUUUCUCCUAUUUGAGAUAUAACCCAUCCUGGCUAUUUCUCCUAUUUUAGAUAUAAUUAGAAUAAUGUCUUUGUUAACUUAUUAGUAUAGUCCACUCUUACCUUAGAUCAAAGAAAGUCAGACUGAGUAUUUUUCUAUACGAGACGUCGAUAAAUCCUUUGUAUAUGAAAUUAUUGUGAAUGGAAAGCGCAUACAUCGAGUAAAGAAAGACGGAAGAAUGGGGGAAAAUAGAGUACCACUACUGACUAAAGGAUUAUGAAACUCAAGAAAAAGAACCCUAAAAACAAGGGGGAACUGUCAUAAUUCAUACAAGUAACUAGCUAACGCCUGAGAUAGAGACCCCGUCUGUGACUCGUGAGAUAGACCACCCCGUCUGUGACUCGACUUCUUUUAGUAGUGUGCUCCAACUUACCCUUAUACUUCGCUCGGUUCGGUGCUUAGAAAACUCCAAUAACAUACCAAUAACAUCAAGGGUAAGCGUUAGCUUACCUUUUCUCUUCUCUUAGGGAGCGCUAGGGCAAUAAGCUAUGUUGUUUAGGUCACUUUCAUAUAUUAAUAAUGAGUGAAGUUAGUAAUUGUCGUUAAGAUUCAUUUCUUUCAAGUUGAGUGCACCUUUUGCCUAUAUGAGUGAUUAAAGGAAAAAUACAGGAGUUAUGAAAAUCAAGAGAAGAGUAUAGUAUGCUCCGCUCCGUUUUAGAAGCAGAAUAAGCGUGAUCGCGGACAGGAGAAGGGGUUAACUGACUCUGUGACUAUAACCUUAUUGAAUGGAAUCGAAACUUGUCGAGCUUCACUUGCUACCGAGAUACCAGCUAUAUACUUGCUACCGAGAUACCAGCUAUAGCUAUAUAGUCGUGGAAUUCAGAAGUUUGGAGGACGAGUAGGGUCGGUCAAAUAGGAAUUCAAUAUCAAUCAGUCAACCUGCAAUUAAGGGCAUAUCAUGAAUUCCAGAAUAUAUAUGGCAUAUCAUGGAAUAUAGUAACAAAACACUAUAAACUCACUUACUCUGUAGUUUCCAAUCCUUUUUUUCCCUGACAUAACACAUAUGUUCUAAUUGCAUAACUGGACUGUUUACUCCAACCAAUAAGCGUUAGAGCACCCCAAGAUAGAGAAUGAUAGAUUAGUUAGCGAGCGGCGAACUCACAUUGCGCUUACGGAGCACUUGUUCAUUCUAUUGUUUGUUCUUUUCUUCUGAGACUUAUGUCAGUUAUUAGAGUUUGGGCCAGUAUGUAAAGUUCACCUUUCAUUUCAUCUAUCUAGCCAUAUGAUCUUGAAUAGCUAAUCCAUCUUGUGCAUCAUCUCUAGCCUAUAAGGGAGUAAGAUGACCUCUUUAUAUACUCAAUGAGAAGCAUUCGCCAACCACUAAUUAGCUCCUAGCGCACACAACAAAAAGAAUGAACUAACGACCACAUGAUACGAAAACGUCACUCAUGUUUGUAACUAAUGCAGAUUCUAUCGUCGCAAAGACAGAUCAGAUGAAACUCCACCUUUCCCGCUUGCUGCUUCUGAUCUUGAUUCUGAUCCUGUAGUAGUUAAGGAUACGGCUGCCAAUAACAUAUUAUUCCCUUAAUAAAGCAGCAGGGGGCAGAAGCUUCUUUUUCUUCGUAGGGGUUUACAGACACAGCCGAUUCCCUAAUUGCCCCAUGCUAUACUCAAUGAGACUCUAUUCUUUCUACUGUUCCUUUUCCUUUAUACCUAACAGCCAGCUUAUUAGAUACAGACAGCACUGCCAGCUUAUUAUCGGCUUCAACUGAAAGUCAUUAUUAAGCUUCUUCCCAUUUCUGUAGGAUCAAAGUCGACAACACAAGAUUCAAGUCGCUAACUCUUUUCGGCAGUUUAGAAUUCCAUGAAACAAUUCCAUUCUUUAUCGGGGAAAUAACCAACAAUGAAAUUAUGUAUUUGGAGGCACCGGAUAUAGGCAUGAGUAAAGACACUGAACGCACAGGGACAAGCACUUCUGGACCAAUACUGGAAUCUGGAACUACACUUUCCACUGCUUCUUCAAAUGGUGUUGGAGUGGAGUAUAUCAAUUAGUAAUAUGAAAAGGAUCUAUACCCAGGCUCGCUAACAGAGCUGUUUCUUCUCAAGUCGACAACACUAAUUGACUUUGCGCUUACAGCUUCCUUUAGUACUGCUUAUUCUCCCCCACUCUUGCUUCUGCCUUUGUCCUAACCCUAUUUGGAUAGUGAAAUAAGGGUUCUUUGAUAGUGAAAGUAAGCGUUCAGCUGCCUCUGCUCUAUAUGAGUAGGUGUGUGACCUCUGUUCUAUAUGAGUAUAGUGUAUCAAACUCGUCAACUUCAUAGCUUACACUGCUUAAAGAAAUGAAUCUGUAACUUAGAAGGGGAACUCACACAUCAAUCUCUGACUCUCGGAUCCAGCUGGGUUAGUCCGAUAAUUUGUGUCGAACCUUGCUUGGGCUGGCUUGGCUCUAAGAAGAAGAUAUAGUAGAUGAAAGAGGCUCCACGCUAUAACAGUGAAAAGAUUUAGCAGGUUAAGAACUUCAAGUUUAGAAUAGGUCGGCUCAAAGGCAAGUAAGGGAUCCACCAACCAAGGUAAGAAGCAUAAGCUAGAUAAGAUUAUGUAUAAAGUGGAGUUUACUUUAGAUAAUGUCAGAAUUUCCGUUUAUAGCUUAGUCUAUAAUUCAGUGACAGGGAGUACAUUCCUUCCCUACCCGGAGACAUAGUCCGCAAGUGGUUUAAGUGCUUGUGUCUAAGGCUUCUUUAAGUAGAGUUCUAGACUAAAGUAGAGUAGAGUUCCAGUUCUCAAGUAGUCUACGAGAGAAUCAGCAAUUACUGGCUUUGAAGAAGAAGCUUUAUCAAAAUCAGAAGCAGUUUCAAGAGAAGUAGCAGAAUAUCUUACUGGCUACGCAGGGUGUUGGGCAUCAUAUCUUACUGACUUUUCAAGUUGAAGCUAGGUGUGGUCCACGUCGUCGAUUGAAGCACGGUGACACUGAAUACGAGUUAUUAAGUUCCAGAAGAGAGAGACGCCGCUCCACUCUUUUUGGUAGUGUUCCAUCCUUGUUAGCAGUGGUUUCCUUCUUUGUUUGACCUUAGACUCCUUUCUUCGAUUCUGACUUUGGAGCUUACGGACUGACGCUACACUCUUUUGGUUUGAUUCUUUGUUUCUACCUUGAUUCUUAUACCUAUGAGCUCGAUUCUACGCCUAUGGGAAAAGAAAGGCUAUCCGCCAGCACUCGCCCAUUAUGGGACUGUUGAGUUGGACUCCCUAUGGUUGGACUACCCUUUUGUAUUCCUAUUAGUCUCAUGCGCUAGUAGCUCGGACCCGACCCUUAUUCUUAUCCCCAUGGUCGAAAGACGGCAAUUGAAUAAGUAGAGGCGAGAAGUCAGCCUAAAAGCGAGGGCUGCUUUAGAUGCCUGAGAUUCCAUAAUAUAAGUUGGAAGGGAAAGUCAGUAAGUUACAGUUCCAAAGUUCUCCUGUUCCUGUUCGAGUUAUAGUGUUUUCUUAUAAGGAAUACAGUAACCAAGGAGAUAUAAAGGAAGUAGGUAACACCAAAGUGAGUUGAACCAAUUCCAAAUUCUAAAGAGAAUCACCAAAACUCGAGAAACCGAAUUCAUGCCUUGUUUUUUGUUUGUUGCUAUACACUUAACACUAAGCAACUCCACGCCAAAAAGGUCUCGAUCAAGGGCCUUCCGCCUUCUCGUGCCACAGCUCUAAUCCGAAUGGCUUCAACUAUGAACGCAAUUUCCAGUUCGAGCAAGAGCCGUUUGUUUUUCGAGAAAAUCCAGAAACUAGAAAACGGAUCGUCGUUAAGUCCGGCUUGCAGAACCGUCUUUCGGAUAACUAUAAGUGUGAGUCGGUUAGCUCCUUUUUCUGUUGCUGUAGUUGGUCGAUAAACACUCCUAUAUUUCGUAAUGAAAGACUUAAUUCAGUGAGCUUGGUACCGCCUGUUCAAGGGGUUGGAGGAGAUCAAACCCAAGAGAGGCCCGAGCACAACGUCUUCAUGAGUUAAGUGUUCCCACCUUGGGAGCUGAGAGUCAGGCCUGCAUUAGUGGAAUAUCCUUUACAGCCUUCCUUUAUCCGACCAGACAACUAUUCUAGUUCCACUUUUGAUACCGGGCAGAGCAGCUAAAGUGGCUUCAGCCUCUUUCUUUUGGCAGUUGCUUGCGAAGAAUUUGGGUAUUACUUAUCCUAGCUCAGAUAGAGCACUUGAGAGAGAAUUCGAAUAGUAGGGUUUGGAUCGUAAGCACAAUGGACUCGCUGCCUUAUCUGUCAUAUAGGAAUAUCGAUAGCGAGCAGUACCCAUCGGUUGCAGCUAUAAUCGUUUGCAGCUAGUACCCAUCGUUUGCAGCUAUAAGUAUAGAGCUCGUUCUUUUCUUACUUACCCGACGGUCGGAACUUUCAAAGGAUUCUCCCCAUCUAAAGAGCACUUCGUUCCUAAUAAAUGCAGACGGAAAGGUAGGACGGACCAGUGGAAGACUUAUGUCGAGAAGAACGUAGUGGCUUGUUGGCACAGAUGCCUUAAUUGAUCUUGUUGGCACAGAUGCCUUAAUGGAGAAUUGCAUCCAUCCAAUUAUGCACUUAAGAGAUUGACAGUCCUCCGCUCAGGCAAAGAAAAAACCGAAUCUUAUUAUACUUAUAUUGGAUCCAAAUUGAGAAUAGAACCUAAAGGUUGGUGGAUCAUGGUUCUACUAAGCGCCCUUCACCCCUGGUCCUUCUCAUAUGUCUUAUACUGGAAUGGCAUUUUUCUUAGGGUAAGUUCUUUGUCAAUAAAUUGGAUGCCCUAAGACGUAAUCAAGCCUUGCCUUUUCUUUUUGUUCUCGAUCUCUUCUCUUUAGAACUUAUAAAUAGCACGUAAGCAUGACAAAGGAUGGGAGCGGUGAUUGACCAGAAACAUUCUGUAAAAACAGAAAAGAGUAUCUUGCUGGAAUGGAUUUCAAAGAGCAAUCGUAAGGCCCACCAAUCUAACGCCGACAAGUGGUAAGACUAUCCCUCGUAAGACCGACAUUCCUCAUUCACUUCGAGGUGUGGCGCUAACUAGGCAUUCAACGAAAACGGAAUUAGUGCUUAACUGAAACUCCCC